This 146311-nucleotide long non-coding RNA is filed under the name Cucumis sativus (cucumber). RNAcentral's name for it is "long non-coding RNA (CSAT_LNC002411)". The record is from RNAcentral. Lineage: Eukaryota; Viridiplantae; Streptophyta; Magnoliopsida; Cucurbitales; Cucurbitaceae.
CCUUUUAGGAACUGGAUUUGUUGGGCCUAUAAAUAGACUCAUACCCUACUCACUUAUACCUCAUCCAACGCUUAUUCCUCAUCCAAUCGGCAGAAAGGUAUAGAAAACUUUUCUUCUCCCUUUCUCUUUUUUUUUUUUUCUUUUUUUUUUGUGUGUGUGUUUUUUUUUUAUUCUGUUUUGUUUUUUUUUUUUUUUUUUUUGUUUUUUUUUUUGUUGUUUUGUUUUUUUUUUUUUUUUUUUUUUUUUUUUUUUGCAGGAAUGACUUUGUCGAGCUUCUUCUAGGGACGAUCGGGCUUUUGCCGUCAGAUCUAUCGCCCUAGUUGGAGAGAUCGACUCUGUCAUCGUCGGGCUUCGAUCUUCGUUUGCAGAAAUGACUUUGUUGAGCUUCUUCUAGGGACGAUCGGGCUUUUGCCGUCAGAUCUAUUGCCCUAGUUGGAGAGAUCGACUCUGUCAUCGUCGGGCUUCAAUUUUCGUUUGCAGAAAUGACUUUGUUGAGCUUCUUCUAGGGACGAUCGGGCUUUUGCCGUCAGAUCUAUUGCCCUAGUUGGAGAGAUCGACUCUGUCAUCGUCGGGCUUCAAUUUUCGUUUGCAGAAAUGACUUUGUUGAGCUUCUUCUAGGGACGAUCGGGCUUUUGCCGUCAGAUCUAUCGCCCUAGUUGGAGAGAUCGACUCUGUCAUCGUCGGGCUUCAAUCUUCGUUUGCAGAAAUGACUUUGUUGAGCUUCUUCUAGGGACGAUCGGGCUUUUGCCGUCAGAUCUAUCGCCCUAGUAGGAGAGAUCGACUCUGUCAUCGUCGGGCUUCGAUCUUCGUUUGCAGAAAUGACUUUGUUGAGCUUCUUCUAGGGACGAUCGGGCUUUUGCCGUCAGAUCUAUCGCCCUAGUAGGAGAGAUCGACUCUGUCAUCGUCGGGCUUCAAUCUUCGUUUGCAUAAAUGACUUUGUUGAGCUUCUUCUAGGGACGAUCGGGCUUUUGCCGUCAGAUCUAUCGCCCUAGUAGGAGAGAUCGACUCUGUCAUCGUCGGGCUUCGAUCUUCGUUAUCACCAAUUGAGCUUCUUCGUUUUUUUUUUUUUUUUCUUCUUCUUCUUAUUCUUCUUUCUUUUUGUUUUUUCUUCUUUUGCUUCUUUCUUUUUGUUUUCUUCUUCUUCUUCUUUCUUUUGUUUUUUUUUCUUUUUCUUCUUUCUUUUUGCUUUUUUUUUUUUUUUUUUUUUCCUUCUUUCUUCUUCAUCAUUUUCUUCUUUCUUCUUCUUGCUUCUCCCUUUUUUUUUUUUCUUUCUUUCUUGGUUGUGGUACUAGGGAGAAGAUGAAGAUGAAUCAAUCUAGCUUGCGACACCUUAGAGCUGAUGAAAAUGAAUUCCAUCGGCCGGGUUGUGACACCUGUUAGAUGAUAAAGAUGAAUACUCUCAGCUACGACAUAUAGGAGAAGAUGAAGAUGAAUCCUCUCGGCUAUGACAUAUGGGAGGAGAUGAAGAUGAAUUCUCUUCAGUUGCAGCACUUGGAAGAAGAUGAAGAUGAAUCCUCUCAGCUAUGACAUAUGAGAGAAGAUGAAGAUGAAUCCUCUCGGCUAUGACAUAUGAAAGGAGAUGAAUCCUCUCGACUAUGACAUAUGGGAGGAGAUGAAGAUGAAUCCUAUUCAAUUGCAGCACCUGGGAGAAGAUGAAGAUAAAUCCUCUCGGCUAUGACAUAUGGGAGAAGAUGAAGAUGAAUCCUCUCGGCUAUGACAUAUGAGAGAAGAUGAAUCAUUUUCGAUUGCAGCACCUGGGAGAAGAUGAAGAUGAAUCUUCUCAGCUAUGACAUAUAAGAGAAGAUGAAGAUGAAUCAUCUUUGAUUGUAGCACCUAGAAGAAGAUGAAGGUGAAUCCUUCCGGCUACGACAUAUGAAAGAAGAUGAAGAUGAAUUCUCUUUGGUUGCAACUCCUAAAAGAAGAUGAAAAUGAAUCUUCUUUGGUUGCGACACCUGAAAGAAGAUGAAGGUGAAUCUUCUCGGUUGCGACUCUUAGGAGAAGAUGAAGAUGAAUCUUCUCAGUUGCAAUUCCAAUGAGAAGAUGAAGAUGAAUCCUCUCGGUUGUAGCACCUAGAAGAAGAUGAAGGUGAAUCCUUCCGGCUACGUCAUAUGAAAGAAGAUGAAGAUGAAUCCUCUUUGGUUGCAGCACCUGGAAGAAGAUAAAGAUGAAUCUUCUUUGGUUGCGACACCUGAAAGAAGAUGAAGGUGAAUCUUCUCAGUUGCAAUUCUUAGGAGAAGAUGAAGAUGAAUCCUCUCGGUUGUUACACCUGAGAGAAGAUGAAAAUGAAUCUUCUUGAUUGCGACUCCUAGGUGAAGAUGAAGAUGAAUCAUCUCGGUUGUAACACAUGGAGGAAGACAAAGAUGAAUCCUCUCACUUGCGACACCUUAGAGCAGAUGAAGAUGAAUCAUCUUCGAUUGCAAAACUUAGAAGAAGAUGAAGAUGAAUCCUCUUCGGUUGCAAUAAGCUGAAGAUGAAGCAGAGGUUAAAGCUUUAGCAUUGCAUGCAUCUUCUUCAAGAGGCAGAAACGAUGUUACACUGUCGUUUUCAUCUUGGAGAGGCGAAGGCAGAGCUACCCGAUCGUCGUCCUAUCAAAGUUGUACCAUCGUUAUCCUCUCAAAGAGCUGGAGCUACAGCAUCGAUGAAGCCUUCAAACUUGAAUAUAAGGAAUCAUCAAUGAAACUUUUAUGCUUGAAUUUGAGGGAUCAUUAAUGAUGCCUUUGAGCUUGAUUUUAAGAUUCUUUUUUUUUCUUUUUACAUGCACUCAACUUGUACAUAGUCUUUGCACGGAGUUUGUACAUCUUCAAUUUAUUUCAUCUCAUUGUUACUAAAGAUGAACAUCUUGAAUUUAGGGAUUUGCCCCCAAUUUGUUAUGAUUCCUUAGUAGAGAUGAACACCCUUUGAAGAAAAGAAUUAACUCACGACGUAGUUCAAGGUUUUUUUUUUUUUUAUAAUGGUGGACUGAACUUAAAGUUUUCUUUAAGUUGCCUACGUACCCUUUAUAAUGUAGGGAUCAAGUCAUAACGUAGUUCAACUUUUUUUUUUGCUGGACUGGGCUUAAGGUUUUCCUUAAGCUGCCUACGUACCCUUUAUAACAUAGGGAUCAAGUCAUAACGUAGUUCAAUUUUUUUUUUGCUGGACUGGGCUUAAGGUUUUCCUUAAGCUGCCUACGUACCCUUUAUAACAUAGGGAUCAAGUCAUAACGUAGUUCAAUUUUUUUUUUUUUUUUUUUUUUUUUUACCUAACAAAAUUAAGCAUAAAAUUUCUUAAGAAAUUUACCAUUGAUUGGGCCAAUUCGUAGUCCGUCUUGAUCAACGAUCUUGUAUGCGCCAUUUGUAUAAACUUCUUUAACAAUGUAAGGUCCAUCCCAUUUAGGUGUGAACUUAUUUCCUGUAUGCCUUGUUGUGAUGAUCGGUCUCCUUACGGCAAGUACUAGAUCACCGACUUGAAAGGAGCGAGGUUUAACGUGUUUAUCAAAAGCUUUGGACAUUCUCGCUUGAUAACAUUCCAAUGCUUGCUGAGCCUCUAAUCGCUUUUCGUCAAGUGCUUCUAAUUCUUGAAGACGUAACUUCACUUUAUCUUCGGUAGUCAAUCCCUCUUGUACUGCCAUUCUUAGUGACGGAAUUUCCCUUUCGAGAGGAAGGACAGCCUCCACACCGUAAACAAGCGAAUAUGGUGUAACCCCUGUAGGGGUGCGAUGAGUCGUCCGAUAAGCCCAUAAUGCCUCGCCGAUCUUUUCUUGCCAAUCCCUCUUUGACUUGGAGACAAUUUUCUUUAAAAGAUUGCACAAUGUUUUGUUGAAUGCUUCUGCUAGUCCAUUCGCAGCUGCGUUGUACAUGGAUGACUUAUAUUGCUUGAAUUUGAAUUUUUCACAUAACUUGUCCAUCAUACUAUUGGAGAAUUGCUUUCCAUUAUCCGUCACGAUUCGAUGUGAAAUACCGUAUCGAUAGAUGAUGUGUGUUCGAAUAAAGUCUGCCACGUUCUCCUUCUUGGCUUCUCUCAAUGAAAUGGCCUCAGCCCACCUUGAAAAAUAGUCGUUGCUGCUAGGAUAUAAGAAUGUCCUGCUGAUGAUUUUGGUGUAAUGGGGCCAACCAGAUCGAGUCCCCAAGCCUCAAAAGGCCAAGAAGCCACAGUUGGAUGAAGAGGUUCUGGAGGUUGGUGUAUGAAGUUUGCAUGGUAUUGACAAGGCUCACACUUCUUCACAUAGUCUAUUGAAUCUUGGAUCAUCUUAGGCCAGUAGUAGCCCAUUCUUCUUAGCUGGAAUUGAAGCUUUGGUCCCGAUUGAUGUGCUCCACAAACACCUGCAUGUACUUCCUUUAGAGCUUUUACCGAAUCUUCCUUUCCGAGACAUCGAAGGAAGAGCCCUUCAAGAGAACGGCGAUAUAAAGUUCCCUUGUAAUAAAUGAAGUGUGCUGCCCUUCUUCGUAUCUCAAUUUUAUGACGAGAAUCCUUUGGAAGCUUUCCAUGUUCAAGAUACUCUAUGAUGGGUUGACGCCAAUCUUCUUCAUCAAUCAAAUAGGAUGUUGCCAUGUUCACUUCCUGACAUUCAGGCCUAACUGGGGGUAAUCCAUCGUUGACAAAGUGGUAUGUUCAGAGUUACAUCAUCUGGCAUGGUCAAGGCCGUGGCUAAAUUUGCCAAUGCAUCCGCUCUCUUAUUUUCUACUCUAGGGACAUGUUCUAACAUCACGUUAUCAAACUUUUCCAUCAAUUGUCGAGCAUAAGCAAAAUAUGGCUUCAAGUCUUCAUGUUUCACGUCAUAUUGAAGCGAGAGUUGAUUGAUUAUCAAUUUUGAAUCACCAUAGACUUCUAUGAAUGACACUCCGAUUUUUAAUGCUAUUUGAAGGCCAAUUAUCAAAGCCUGAUAUUCAGCCACAUUGUUUGAACACAAUUCGGAAAGUGCAAAGCUAUAAGGCAACAUAUGCUUCUCAGGAGAAAUGAGGACAAUGCUUGCCCCCGCACCACUUCUUCGAGCUGCACCAUCGAAGUACAUAGUCCAAGGUUCCAUAACUUCUGUGAAGAAAACCUCAUCGUCUGGUAGGUCAUCACAUAACUUCCAAUCCGAAGGAAUUGGGUGGUCUGCUAAAAAGUCUGCUAGCGCUUGUCCUUUUAUCGCCUUUUGGGGAAUAUAGACAAUGUCAUAUUGUUGGAGUAGAACCGCUCAUUUGGCUAAGCGUCCAGAGAUGAUUGGCCUGGAUAGAACAUACUUUAUAGGGUCUGCUUUUGCCACUAGAUGAACCGUGAAGGCCUGCAUAUAAUGCCUCAACUUAUCAAUGGCAAAGAAAAGUGCAAGACACAUCUUUUCGAUAGGAGAAUAGUUAACUUCAGCCCCAAUUAAUGUUCUGCUUAGAUAGUAGAGAGAACGCUCUUUUCCCUUUACCUCUUCUUGUGCCAGUAAUGCUCCUAAGGACCUUUCUUGUGCAGCAAUGUACAAUAUUAGUGGUUUGUCAGGUACUGGAGCUCCCAGCACUGGGGGAGUAAGCAAGUAUUUCUUUAUGCUAUCAAAAGCGUUCUGACAAGCUUCAUCCCACACAAAAUUUUCUCCUUUUCUCAUCAACUUUUGAAAAGGUUGACACCGACCGGCCAAGUUAGAGAUGAACCUUCGGAUGUAAGCCAGUCGUCCUUGGAGACUUCUUAGGUCAUGCAAACUUUUAAGUCUUGACAUCUUCUGAAUGGCAUCAAUCUUGGACUGGUCUAUUUCGAUCCCUCGAUGCCUUACAAUGAAGCCAAGAAAUUUUCCUGAAGUUACACCAAACACACACUUGAGAGGGUUCAUCCUUAGCUGAUAUUUUCGCAAGCGAUCAAACACGACUUUUAGAUCCUUCAAAUGGUCUUGUCGUCUCUUUGUUUUGACUACAAGAUCAUCAACAUAACAUUCAACAUACCUGUGCAACAUAUCAUCAAACACUUUCUGCAUGGCACGUUGAUAAGUAGCACCGGCAUUUUUCAAUCCAAAGGGCAUCACCUUGUAACAGUAUAUUCCCUUUGGAGUUCUGAAAGCUGUCAUUUCUUCAUCUGAGAGGGCCAUCCGUAUUUGAUUAUAUCCAGACGACCCAUCCAUAAACGACAACGCCUCGUGUCCAGUAGUUGCAUCAACCAUGAUUUCGGUGAUGGGCAAGGGAAAAUCAUCUUUAGGGCAUGCAUUAUUCAGAUCGCGAAAGUCUACACAAACGCGAAGUUGUCCAUUUUUUUUUCUAACAGGGACAAUGUUUGCUAUCCACGUUGGAUAUUUGACCUCGCGAAUGAAUCCUGCUUCGAUCAACUUGUUGACUUCCACCUCGAUUUGAGGGAUAAGCUCUGGUCAAAAACGUCGUUGUGCUUGUUUAAUCGGUCGAUAUCCAGGUUUAAUUGCAAGAUGAUGGACUGCUACUUUUGGGUCAAGUCCUGGCAUCUCCUUGUACGACCACGCAAAGAUGUCCCUGUAUUCGGUGAGCAAACUCAUAUAUUUAUCCACCUCUUCGUUAGAGAGGGACGCACUAAUGAAAGUCGGACGUGGUUCCUCUAUUGUACCAAGGUUCACCUCUUUUAGCUCGUCUACAGUAGAUUGGCCACCAUCCUCUAAACUUUGUGGGACAUUUUCUGCAUCUUCUUCAUGAGUUCCAGUCUCCGAUUCCUCAAUAAUGGUGAUGUGAUGACAUGAAGUUUCACAUUCCCCUUGUUCCGACCCUUCUUUUUCAGGAUUCGUUAGUAUAACAUCAUGUCUUUUUACCUUUAACGAACCUUGACUUGUAUUGAGAGUAACAAAAGUUUUUCUUUUCAUGCGAGAAGGAACGUUGCUAUGAAUUUCUCCAUUUUCCUUUGUCUCGCAAGGAAACUUCUUACUACGAUAAUUAUCGACAUCUGUAUGCUUAAUUCGACGCCAAACUUUCACACGAGACAUUGGUUCCUUCUUCUUUGUAUCUAUGUUGGAAUCAAUGUUGUCGUGUGAUCCUUUAUCCCCGAGAUGAUUAAAAAUCGGAGCACGAGGUGCUUGUACAUUUUUCUUUUUAGACACACCUAGCCUUUCAAAGGCUGAUGGUCUUGUAGUUGUCAAGGCAUGGCAUGUGCUUUCUUCCUUUAUGGGAGUCGUAGUUAGCCUUCGAAAGACCGAAUGUCUCUCAAGGUUUGGUACUGACUGGAGCCUUUCUCUUUCUGCCUCUGUCAUGCUUAGCCUUUCAAAUACUACGGGACGUGCAACAGAUGGUCUAAUUCGAUCAAAUACUGAGAUUCUCUGAUUAUCACCUUCUUUUACGUCAGUAUUGUCAUCCUCCUCUAUAGUUAUAUGAUUGAUGUCAACCACUUUUUCCUUCCCCUUUUUAGUUAUACGGAUCGGUUCUGGCGACUUGUAUCCGAGUCCUUUUCUCGACACGGGUAUAGAAUGUCCUUCCCGUAGAAGCUUCUUUUGAGUUGAGGAGAGCUCAGGUCGGUCAUGAAUUUCCAAGCUUUUAAACUCGGUGUGAGCUGUGAAGUCAUAACCUGCUUUCGCCAUCAAUUUGUAAGCCUUGGGGUCGAAUCCGUCUUUCGUUCGCCUUUGGGGCAAGCUUGCUUCCACCAGAUCUACCUUUACCUCUUGCUUCGCUAUCUUAGUUAGUGGUGUAGUGAAGUUUUCUUUUAUGAUUUCGAUGUCCCCAACUUUCAAACCUUUUGGAGACUCCAUGAAUGGUGAUUCGCCUUUCUUGCGCCUUGACAGAGGGACAUAACGCAAAACUGGUGUGUUUGCAGCAUUUUCAUUCUUCAAGAUCAUACCCUUUGUGCUGCGAGUGUAUGUUUCACCCUUUCCAGAGUUAAAGGUUCUCGCACUUUCAUGUGGUUCUGUGGUUGCGAGUGAUUUCAGUUGUGAAUUAUCUUCUCCUUUUGUAAGAGGGGUUUCUGCAGGCAAAACUUCUAAAAUAUUAUUAUUCUUUGAAUAAAACUUUGCAUCUGCGAAGUGAGACUCAGCUUCUGAGAAUGGAUUAGAGUCGGCUUCAACCUUCUUUACACCGUCCUGAUAAAAUUUGAAGCACUGAUGCAGUGUUGAAGUUACUACUCCGUUUCCAUGAAUCCAAGGACGCCCUAGUAACAACUUGUAAGUAGUCCUUGAGUCUAUGACAUGAAACAAUGCACUGGCCUUUAGGUCGCCAAUUAUGAGUUCUAACCGUAUCAUGCCUAUUGCUCUUUGGCUACCUUGGUUAAAACCUUGAAUUACUAGCUUGCUAUUUGAGAGCUCGUCCAUCAAGAUGCCUAAUUGCCACAUAGUCGACUUUGGCAUUAUGUUGACAGCUGAGCCAUUAUCAAUGAGGAUUCGAUCGACUCUCUGUUCUCGAACGUAUCCAGAAACAUACAAAGGUCUAUUAUGAAGUUUAGAUCCCAACAACAAAUUCUCAUCUGAGAAGUCUAUAGACAUACAAUAAGAACCACUCUCAUAUGUCAUAGUCGGAGUACUCGAACUUGAUGCUCUUGAAUUUAGCAAUGCAUCAAUAAGGAUGGUUUUGGUCUCUUGAGGAAGUGAUAAUAGAUCCUCUACAUUAAACCUUGAAAGGUCUUUUGAUACUCCCUCUCCUUCUAGUGAUCUUGGAGGGAUUCUUUCUUCCUCCGUUGUGUUGAUAGCAUGACACGCAACGACUUCUGGGUCUUCAUCCUGAUGAUCACAAAGGAAGCUUUUUGGAAGGAAGUCUGCCAAGGUCACUAAGCGUUGAGGUCGAGAGAAAUUCAUGUCUUCAUUAUGUACGAGCUUAAGCUUAUGAGUCUUCUUCUUUUUCUUAUUCUUUUGAGUCUUAUUUCCUCUUCUAUAGUUUUGGUAAGAGCGAGACUCUCUUUGGGUCGGGAUCGACUGCCUUUUCUUUCGGUGGGUCACCACUAUCCACCCUUCAUCGUCUUCUUCGAUUGGUCUUUUCUCUCCUUGAGGAUCCUCGUAUGAGAUUUCCUGAAAGAAUUGGACAACUAUAGGCUCAAAGGUCCCGAACUGGACCAAGCUUUUCCUUUGCUCAAAAAUCAAUCUCGACGAAGAAGCCUCAGACAUUAUCGUCACUUCAGCGUGGUUUGUUUGAGCUACUUCCUCCAAAUCUAGCUCAAUCCUUUUCUCACGAGCCAACCUUAGAAUUAGCUCCUUCAGCACGAAGCAUUUCUCUACUGGAUGACUGAUGACCCGAUGAUACUUGCAGUAAUUGGAUCAUCUACCUUUCCUGCUUGCUCAGGUCGUUUACAUUCUGGCAGCUGGAUCAGCUGCUUCUCUAGUAGUUGCUCUAGCAUGUCAGCGAUAUCUGAAUCAGGAAAUGGGUAAACUUUUUCCUGUCUUUCUUUUAAAGUCAGACGUCGCCUUUCGCUUCCAUCAUCCUUCUUUUCAACCCUCGCUUCCUUUCCUUUGGAGAAUUUCAGCGGGGUUGUGUUUACGACCAUAGAUUCUUUCGCGGUGCUUUUCACUAUCUUUUCAGCACCUUUCAUCUCUUUCUUAUCUUUCUUUACUUCAGGAACAAGAAAAUCUUUAGUUCCUCUAGUGGCGAUGCUCAACUCCAUAUCAUGAGCUCGAGUUGCCAGUUCUUCAAAUGUGCGGGGCUUUAUUCCCUGCAAAAUGUAGAGGAGUCCCCAGUGCAUGCCUUGGGUGCACAUUUCUACAGCCGACAGUUCGGUGAGCCGAUCUUUACAGUCAAGACUUAGAGCUCUCCAUCUAUUGAUGUAGUCGAUGACUGGUUCUCCCUUUCUUUGUUUCGUAUUUGUAAGCUCCAUCAUGCUUACAGUACGCCUGGUGCUGUAGAAGCGAUUGAGAAACUCCUUUUCUAGUUGUUCCCAACUCUCAAUGCUUUCUGGCUCCAGAUCAGUAUACCAUUCAAAAGCAUUUCCUUUCAAGCUUCGAACAAAUUGUCUGACUAGUUGAUCUCCUCUUGAUCCUGCAUUCUCACAUGUUUCGACGAAGUGAGCAACGUGCUGUUUUGGAUUGCCCUUUCCGUCAAACUGCUGGAAUUUUGGAGGCUGAUAUCCAAGCGGCAUUCUCAAGUUGUCGAUUCUUUUGGUGUAUGGUUUAGAGUACAUGAAAGAAGUCUGAGAUGGGCCUCCAUAUUGUGCUCUGAUGGAGCUUGUGAUCAUAUCUUGUAAUUGUUGAACCGAGAGAGAAGCCACAGAAGUUGAUUGUUGUUGUGGCUGAUUUUCUUGUACCACGUUCUUCCCUUUGUCAUCAACUUUAACGACAGGAGUUUGACUCGAUUCAGCAGUUUCACGAGUCUGCAUCUGCUCCUUUAAAGCUGCAAUUUCGUGGUCUCGUUCAUCAACAACCUUCAUCAGGAGAUUAAUUUUUCUCUCCAUCUCCGCCAUGGCAGUCUCGACUGCUACAUCAGCCAUCAUGACGGACAUCACAUCUGGGUGUGCUUCUUUCAGUGACCUGCUAGAGGCAGAAUCAUAAUCAUUAUAUAGAGGAUUUUCCUUGAUGACAAUUCCAGCUUUAGGAGAUUCCAUCAAUUGCUUCAGGAUGCUCUGCGCGAUAGCGGAACCUUGGUCUUGCCCAUGGAUGAUCCCCUUGGAACGACUACGGGUGAUAGGUCCCGUGUAGGUGUCGCUUGCAGCUGAAGAUUUGGAUGCAGCUUUCUUUGAUGCCAUUGGUUUGCUUGUAGAUGUAGAUGAUGAGAGAGAGAUGAGAGGUAGAGAUGGUCCCACUGGCGUGCCAAUUUGUUCGCACGAGAUUUCCGGAGAAAUUUAAUUCGUGGACUUGAACUUGGGUUGAUGUUGUAUUUUUGUUGAUUUGAUGCGAUGCGGUUCAAUCUCUAGAAUUUGAUCCUCUGAUUCUCUCUCAACUGUAUGUCUACGCUUGAUUUGGGGGAAGCGGAGCACGUGAUGUUCUUGAAGUUUGUUGAACGUCUACGCUUGAUUUUGGAGAAGCGGAGCACGUGAUGUUCUUGAAGUUUGUUGAACGUCUACGCUUGAUUUGGAGAAGCGGAGCACGUGAUUUUCUUCAAGUUGGUUGAAUGCUUACGCUUGAUUUGAGGAAGCGGAGCACGUGAUGUUCUUGAAGUUUGUUGAACGUCUACGCUUGAUUUGGAGAAGCGGAGCACGUGAUGUUCUUGAAGUUUGUUGAACGUCUACGCUUGAUUUGGAGAAGCGGAGCACGUGAUGUUCUUGAAGUUUGUUGAACGUCUACGCUUGAUUUGGAGAAGCGGAGCACGUGAUUUUCUUCAAGUUGGUUGAAUGCUUACGCUUGAUUUGAGGAAGCAGAGCACGUGAUGUUCUUGAAGCUUGUUGAACGUCUACGCUUGAUUUGGAGAAGCGGAGCACGUGAUGUUCUUCAAGUUGGUUGAAUGCUUACGCUUGAUUUGAGGAAGCGGAGCACGUGAUGUUCUUGAAGUUGGAGUCUUGGGAGAAAGUUUGUAUCUUCAAAACAGCUUCAAUCUUCGAGGGUGGUCAACUUCAGAAGUUAGGGAGUCUUCUAGCUUUUGGAAGAAUUCUCUUCUAGCUUUUGGAAGAAUUCUCUCUGGAUCUUCUAGAGUCAAAAUUUUCCAACCUCUACAAAUGAGAAGAAUUCCUCUAUUUAUAGAGUUUACUGGUGGGCUUUAUGGGUUUGAAUCUGGUUGGUCCAUGGACCAGACCCAUGGGCUCAACCAUAUGGACUUAGGUUAUAUUUAGUCUUUGGGCUCAAUUAAGCUUUUUUUUUUUUUGGCUUAAUUGAACUUAGUCCAAGUAAAUAAUAUUUAAUUGAACUAAAAUGAUUAACUUAAUCCAACGAUUAAUAUGAAAACAUGUGGCAUUCUUAGAAUGACCAAUUUAUUUAUUUUAACUCUUUAAUUUGGAGCAUGUGUCAAUUUUAAUUAGUCCCAAAUUUAAUUAUUUGUAUUUUUCAUCAUUAACUUAAUAAAUGAUGUGGCAACUUGUGAUUGGUCUCAAAAUUUCUUAUUCAACACCCAUUAAUUUCAUUUGGAUUAUGAUGUAAUUAGACAAGGGCAGAAACGAUCAAUCAUUUCAAAGAAACAACAAAGAAUUAGGUAACGACAGACCCGUAUGGACCAGAAAAGAAAAAUAAAAUAAAAAUCUUUAUUAAUUUUUAUUUUCUCAAGUAAAAUCACAUCAUGAUCAAUGGUAAGUACAUGCAGUAAUAAAAAUUUAAAAACAAAAUUGGUUUUUUUUUUUUUAAAGAAAAAGAAUACGUAACAUUCCAUUUGAUGAAGCACAUCGAACAAGUAACGCCAACCAUUCAAAUUUUAAAUGUAAUCAAGAAGCAUUAUUAUUCUUAUCGUUAAUUUUGAUUCACCACAAAAAUAAAAAAUAAAAACUAAUAAUUAUUUAACGAAAGGAAAAUGGGCAUUCCCGCCGCAAUAACGGCGAUUGGAAAGACAAGUUACCAAAAACUGCAAAACAGUCCCUAUAUUUUAAUGCAUUCACAUUGAAUAGCCCCCUGCUUCAAUCCAAUUUACAAAACUACCUCCACAAAUUUACAGAAUGGGGGAAGUUCAACCGGAUGCACUAUGAUCACUCCCAUCUCUCUCUGUUUUACCAGAACCACAUGAAAUUAUUGGAAUAUAGUUCGUUCAAUUAACUUUCUAUUCAAUAAUCGCAACAAAUAGAAAGAGAAAAUUGAAUAUUAUAUAUAUGGAUUUAUUUGAGAACUCACGGAGUAAUGAUCUCAGGCGGUUUGUCCAGGGGCUCACCGCUGGAACUGGAAGAGAGAGAAGGAUUAGAAGGGAGAGGAAGAGGAGCGUCUGAUAAUCCAGCGGAGUCUUCGAUGAGUGGAGUAGUAGUUGUAGUAGUAGUAGUAGUAGUGGUAGUGGAGGUUGGAGGGAAAUCGGAGUGGAUCCGGUGAGAGUGAGGGAAUCGAGAAGGUUGAGGUUGAAGAGAGUGGAAAUUCCAACCGAAUUCGGUGAGGAUGGUGGAAUCGGAAUCGGGAGGGAAGAAGAAAAGAGCGUCGGAGGGGGAAGUAGAGGAGGAAUCGGCAGUGGAGAAAAGAGGAUGAGGAGGAGGAGGAGGAGGAGGAGAAUCGGCCAUUAAUGGAAGAGGAAGGAAGAAGUGAGAGAGAGAGAGAGAGAGAGAAAGGAGAGGGGAAUUAAUGAAUUAAUUAAAGAGAGAAUUAGGGUUUGAGAAGAGAAAGGGGAAAUGGAGUGUACGUUGAAGAAAGAAAAAGAAGAAGAAGAAGAAAUGGAAAGGACGCGUAAUUUUUUCUUUUUCUUUUUUCUUUUGGUUUUGGGUUUUUGAACUUUUUGAAAGGUUUUGGAAAGCAAUGUCCCGUCAAUAUACAGUUGCGAUUGAGAGAAACGUAGAAGGAGGAAGGGAAAAAUAAAAAGUAAAUUUUAAAUUUAAAAAAUAGAAAGAAAAAAAAAAGCCUCAACUUCUUAAGAAGAACUAAGUCAUGGACGGAGGGUGGCUCCCCACGCGCCCAUCUAUUCAAUUUUACAAAUAUUCAUUAUUACGUUUAUUUUUUGUUUUAAUCCUUAACUCUUAUUUCAACUCAUUUUUCCUUUUUUUCAAAAAAUAAAAAAUAUAUAUUAUGUUUCUUUAUAAAUUUUUUUAAACUAAAUUUAUAAAUACACCUCGUUAAUUGUUGAUGAUUAAACACUACAAAUAAAAUGAUAUUUGAUUUUUAAAAUUUAAUAUUUUGUCUUAUAAUUUUAAUUAAAAAUUUGUGUGCUUAUGUUCGUUGAAAUUGGUGAAAGUAUAUCGUGAUAGAAAAUUUUAGAAGAAAUUACGAAGAUAAAUUACAAACACAUAAAACUAAAAACGAGAUUGUUAAUUAGUGAAUAGAGUCCUAAGAGUUUAUUUCUUUUAUGAAAAUUGGAAUAUCUAGCACGUGUGACAAUGACUCGGAAAGAUAUGACAAUAUUUUUGUUUCAAUUUCAAUCUUGGUCAUUAGUUGUUGUAGCCUUCCAAAUAAUCUCUAACUUUUGUAAUAGUCCAAUAGAACCAAACAUUAUAUUACAGCCUUUACAAGAAUUACAAGUAUUUUUGUAGUUUGGACUCUAUCUCUUAGUAAAACAUUUAAAUUCUCAUCCAAAUUUAAAAAUACAUAAAAAAGAAAAAGUUUAUAAAAACUAUAUUUUUAGUUUUCAAACAUUUAAAUUACUAGAUAGCAAAAUAAACAAAUUGAGGAGUGAAAGCAAAGUUUAAUAAUCUUUAACUUUUAAAAAAUUAAAAUUUAUAAAUCAAACAACAAUUUAUAAUUGAAAAAUAAGUUCAAAUGUUUAAUGUUAAUUGUAACUGAAGGGUUAUGAAUUAAGUUUUGGUUUAAUUUAUGUUUUAAAACGUGGAGAUUAAAAAAAAUUAGAGGAAAAGUUUAGUAUUAAAAUUUGAAAUUUAAGAAGGGAAAGAAAAGGAAUGAUAGUUAGAAAAAUGACCGUAAAAAGGGUAAAAUGAAGGCACUUUCCGACGAAAAGGAAGGCCAUGUUUUUCUGUACCAUCACCUAAAUUCUCCUUUUCUUUUUCUUUUUAUUUCUUUUUUGAUCUCUAAGUUAUUGUUUUUAUUUUAUUUAUUUAUUUUACACAAAACUUCCAAUCUCUCUUCUUCUUUUUCUCUCUCAUUGUAUUUAAUUUUACUGAAUGCAAUGUUUCCCUUUUUUUGUAUUAUCUAUAAACCAAUCAUUUCAUAUCUAAAAUGGAAAAAGAAAUUAAAAACACUUUUCAAAAACAAAUAAUAAUAAUGAAAAUGGAAAGAUCAAAUAAAAUAAAAUAAAAUAAGAAAGCUACUUUUUUAAAAUUUGUAAAAAUAUAAAAGAAAAAACAAAAUGAAAGUUUGUUUGGUUUAACGGACGAUCUUGUUUUUCUGUUUGUGAUUUUUGAGCAAUAAUUUAGGUCAAUUUGUAUGUUUUAAUUAGUUGAAAUUAAUGAGUUUAGGUAUAGAUUUAAUUGAUUAGUAAUAAUACUAAUAAUGAUCUAAUGAAGUAGUAUGAUAGAUAUGCACAUAAAUGAAAAUGGAUCUCGAAAAUCUCGAAAGUAGAAUUUUAGUAUAAGCGCAUAUUCCGAUGGUAGUUCAAACGUACUGUUCAAGGGUUACUUAAUUAAUUAAACUUUCUUAUCAAAGUAGCGAUCUAACUCAUUUGAUAAGAAAAUGCAUCCAAUGUAUAGAAUUGUGCAAACCAACUACGCAAGAUCUUGAUUGAAACCCUAGUCGAUGGCGACAUGAUGGCCCUAUUGGAUGGUGACCAUCCGUGUGAGUGCUAGCACAUCCCUCUUUUGAAUGGCACGAUGUUGACACAUUGCCGCCUCAAAGAAAAAGGCUAUACAUAACCCUAUAAAAGCAUCUAAUGCAACCUUUAUUCACAUGUAUUACACAUACUAGCUAUCGUUAUGAUUGUACUCGUUUGUUAUUCACUCUCCCCAAAUUUCACUUUAAGUUGUUUACUCGCGUUAAUUAGAAUAGCUAUAAUGUUAAAUUUUGUUGAGUUUUGAUAUUUUCAUUUACACGAUCACAUUUACUCCAAUUACGUCUAUUUUAGGGUUAGCUAUACCGUAUCUACAUAAUAUACGUGUGAAGAUUUAUCAUACUUAUUCUCCUAAAACAAGAAACAAGGUAUAUGGAAUAUUAUUAUUAUCAUAAAUAUUGGAGAAGGAAUUUAAGAAUUUAUACCCAAACUCACUUUGUUGUUUUAAUUAUUUUAAUUUUUUUUCCCCUUUCCCUAUUAGAAGCUAUAUUGCAUUUAGUAUCUCUAUUAUUUAUGGGAUUAUUAUAAUUUUAAGUUAAAGUAGCUAUCUCAAUACCACUAUUAGUAAAUAGCUCAUUACUAUUACACAUACAUUUAUAUAUAUUUAUUAUAAUCUAGAAAUGAAAGUGAAAUACUAAUUAUUAUAAAGUUUUAAAGGAUUACAUUUAGCAUGCAUCUAUGUAAUUACAAGUAGUUAUGUAAUGCAUGCACAUAUUGAAUAUAUUCUAAAUUUGUACGUGGAGAUCAAAUUCUAAUUAAUUAUGUUCUUUUAAUUUUAUUUUAACAAUAUGCAGAUGAAAACAUUCGAAUUUAUAAUCUCUCUUGAUCGAUAAUUUUAGAUUUUAUAAUAGUUUAGCGUUUCAAUGUCUGCACGAAUUGAGAUAUAUCCAGGUGCACUCAACUGACCUAUCGUAUAUUUUUCGAAAAAAAUAUAUGUAUAAAUUGAGAGGUUUGAUUCUAAAUGUUUUUAAAUUCAAAAUGAUAAGAAUCUAAUUUGUAACUCGAACCAUAGCUACAUUUUGGCCUAUGUACACACCUUAUUUUAUACGAUAAUUUAUUUUAGAUUUCACUAAUUAUUACGUGAAAGAGAUUAUUUUUGCAAGAUUUUUAUAGCGUUUGUUUAGAAAAACGUAAGAAUCUAAGUUAUUGGAUUGGUUUUUUAUAUUCUUCUAUUUACUUACAUUAGUGAUAUCAAUUUGGAAGGAAUUGGUGUCAGCAACAAAACAUUAUUUGUAUGAUAUAAUUGAUUUUUGGGAGAUUAAUUUCCUUAUAUUCAACACAUUCUUUUGUAGAAGCUUAGCGGAGAAAUUGCAUAGUUAUGUAAUUAAUUAUGAUACAACUAAUUAAAACCUUACGCAAAUUGCACAUAAUCUCUCAAAUAUAUAAGAGAAGAAUAUUAUUGAAUCUUAGCACUUAUGGAAAGGGAUUUGAUCAAUACCAAUUCCAACCCCAAUUUCAUGUCAUCAAUACUAUAAAAUUAUGGACUUUAAUGUCAGUUCAAAACUGACACUAAAAUUUUCUUUAUCAAAAUUUAAACUAUUAUUCCAACCCUAGAAUGAUUUCAUGUCAUCUACUUUUGUUUUUUUUUUUUUUUAAUUAAUUGAUUACAUAAAGAAAAUGCAAAGUAAUGUUUAUUAUUAUUAUUAUUAUUAUUAUCAUUCAUAUAAGCAAUUAAUUAAUUAGACGGUUACCAACUUGAAGUAUUAUUUUGGAAGUAGGUUUUUAAUAAUUUGAUGGGCGUUGGGUGAUGAGGAGUACUAUAGUAUAGUGUGUCCUCCCAAUUUUAAUGCCCUAAACCUAAGCAUAUAUUUAAUUAUGCUAUUAAAAUUUCUAAUCACAAUCCAUUUUAUUUUAUUUUUAUGCUCUAUGGGCCUAUAUAUUUUCAAUGAUAUAUAUAACAAUAUUCACUUUUCGCGGGUCACAUCCUAUCAACCUAUCUUAUGGUUGUGUGAUUGUACGAUAACUCAUAUUCAUUGUAUUAAUUAAAAAGUUUAAUUAACAUAGUUUGAUGUAGUACUUAGGGAUAUGAACGCAUAUGGUUAGACAUAAUAGCUAAUUUAAAUCCUCAACUUUUCUUAUUUUUUAGAUAUAUAUAACAUUUAAAAAAAAAUUAAAGGUCAAGUUUUUUAAUCGUUUUGUUUCUAAAAUGAAACCUAUAUAAACCUCUUUUAUCUUUAGGGUGGAUGAGUUUGGUAAUAGAAUUUAGGCUUUUAAAAUAGUGUAAUUCAAAACUCAGGUUUGGAUUGAACGUUUUGGGUCUGGUUUAUAAUACCCAAACCAAUUUUGUUUUCACAUUUCUGAACUCGCGCCCUCUUUUUCCACCAUUUUCACGUUGCACGAUCUCAUUUUCUUUCCGCCCUCAUUUAUUCCUCAUCCAUUCUAACGCCCAUCAAGUUCUUAGAAUUCUUGAUUAAAUCUCAUGCUUUGUUGUCUAUUUUUUACCAAAAUGGUGACGUGUAAAACUAUUCAUCUUAAUUCACUUAUUACUUAAAAAAAUCCUAAUUCACUUCCAAUUAUUUCUCCUUAGGAUAUAUAUUUUCAAAUGUUUUAAAAAUGGGAAUUUAUACAUUGGAGUUUUACUUGAAUGCCCCUUUUGUAUGCAUAAAUUUAGGAUGACAGGGAAAGGGUAAAAAGGUAAUUUUGAAGCUAUUGAUCUAUAGAUGUGGUUGCAAAUGAAGAGGUUCUCUAUUAUUCCAAAACUCCUUUUUAGGGAAAUUUAAUUUAAGCUAAUUUAGAGGGUCUUGUUUUAGUAAUGAAGAAAGAGUACUAAACCUAACAAGUAGGUUUGGUAUUAUUUUUUUUUUUUGAUAUCCAACUUCCCAUUUAUAAAAUUUUAGAUUACACACAACAUAUAUAUAUAUAUAUACCUAAAAAUAUCAACAACAUAAAGUGAUUAUAAUUUAAAGUACUAUAAAAAGCUUAACAAACAUGACCCUCAUCCGUGUUUUUGCAUCCGCAAUUUAAAACAUAAUCAAUCAAUAAAAAUAGAAUAAUUUUAUAAUUCAUCGUGUUUACCACACUUUAAUUACAAUGCAUGGGAAUCAAACAUUCGUACCUUCAAUCUUCAAUUAUAUAUUUUUUAUCGGAGUGAAAAUGAUAGACCGAACAAAUAUUAAUCAAGUUGAUUAAUCAAAACCGAUUUAACUAAGGGUAGUUGGUUGAAAUUGAUUUAAAGAUUUACUAGAUCAAUCUUAGUAAAUUCAUUAGUGAUUUCGUUAAAAUCCAACUUGUACCAACAAUGCUUACUCCAAAAUUUACUAAAUUUCGUUUACUAUAUUACAAAAAUAUAAUUUCAAAAUAAAAAUAAAUAAAUUAUUACAUUAUCUUAUUUUGUCAAUUAAUUACAAUAUUAGUUCAUUUUGAAUUUUUUUUUUGUCUAUUUUAAAAGUAUUCAUAAUAAAAUUAUGCUUUUUGUCAAAAUUGAAAAUUGAAUUAUUGAGUGAGUGUGUUUUAUAUUCUUAAUUUUAAGUUAAUUAAACAUUAUCCUUUUUUUUUCAAAGUAUAAGAUUUUGAAUAAAUAAAAAUGAAAAAGUGACAUUUUUAAUUCUUAGAACUGAAUAUUAUUUCUUAGAUUCUCUUUUUUUUUAAAUUAACUUUAAAAUUAAAAUAUAAAAAAUAUUUCAUACUACCUAAGCUUAAAAAAGAAAAGAAAAAGAAAAAGAAAAAGAGAAACAAUAUCAAACAAUUAUUAACAAUUAAAACUAACUAUCUAAAAUUAAUCAAAUCAACUAUUAAUCACAAAAUUAUAGUCUCAUACAUGUGAUGAAACAUACAUUCAACCAAUUCAUAUUUGUUCUAAAAUUUAGAGAAUCGUUGAAACGAGAGAUUAUUUGAUUAUUCGAUUCUUCGACGUUUAAAUAAAAAAAUUAAAUCAAAUAUAUCAAAAUAGAUAAAUUGGUUAAUAAUCUAAUACUUGAAAUGUCAAUAUAUAUGAUUUAAAAAAAAGAAGAAGAAGAAGAAGAAAUUGGUGAAAGAAAAUAGAAAGGAAAGGAAGGGAUUGUGAUCACGUGGUUGAUUGAAGGGAAUAUUUAGAAAAAGGAAAGAGAGAAAGGGGAACUAAUCAGAAUCUUUCUUCUUUCUUCUUUUCCUUUUAAUUAAUAAGCUAACUUGAUUCUAAAGCAAAAAUCUCAUUUUCACCCCCACACCCCUAUACUAUUUCCUUUUUACAUUACCAACCCAACCAACCUUUUCUUUCUUUCUUUUUUCUUUUUUCUUUUUCUUCCAUUAUCACCUUUUUAUAUAUAAUUUAUCUUUUUUUUGUACGAAGUAUAUAAAAUUAAAAAAAUAGAUCAUUCUAUAUGCGGAUUAACAUCUUACUCUUACUCCUUUCUCUUCUGUUAAGUACUCUCUAUUCUUUAUCGCUCUUUGCUCAGUAGUGAUGAGAAUCGAGAGCCUUCCGCACACAUGCAUGAUAAGGUGGUUUUGGAAAAAAAAAUCUCAAAAGUGGGGUAAAUUUCAUUAUCUGGAUAUGAAAUGUGGAUCAACGGUGAUUAUUUGCCUUUUCAAACUUACACAAUCCUAAAACUUUUAAAUAAAGUGUAUGGGUUGUUUAUUGAAGAAACUUUUUCUCUCAUGACUUUACAAUCUACACGAUUGUUGGAUUCCCUUGAAAAAAACAUACCUAAUUGGCUAAUUUCAAUAUCAAGUUGUCCCCUCUUUACCUAAAAAUCCACCGUAUGAUGUAUGAACUAAUUUCCUUUUUCCAUUUUUACCCAAACAACGCCACAUCCUUAAAUCUCUUACAAUCUUAUCAAAAUAGAAUCGUUAGCUUAGUUACGUUAAUCAAAAUUUCUCAUCCUCAAAAUUCACUUACCCACAAUCAAACAACAUAAAAUUUAAAAAAGUUGCAAUAAUAGAAAGAAAAAAAACCAUAGAGAUAAAAACGAUAGACGACCAAAAAAACAUAGCCGAGCAACAUCGAAGUCGAUUUGGGUUGAAAAACAAGAGGGUUUGGUUUCGGAAAGCUUUAAAUCAAGAAUUUUUCAAAAGUAUUUUUAAGUGUUAAACCGAUUAAUAACCGACUUUUAUCGACAGUGAUCAUCCCUAGUAAUUAAUGUGAUAUCUAUUAUAUACUCGAUGGAUGGAUGGAGGAAGGUUAAGAUGACGUAUUAGUGUAUAUUAGAAAUUGUUUUUCACUUUUUGGUGGGUCGUACGAGCAUUUGAAGGACACGUGUUAGAAGAUGAAGGAGUACCCCACAUUGUCAAUUCAAGAGAUUUUUGGAGAUUUCAACUUUUUGGUAAGUGGAGGGAAAGCCCAUUGCCCACACACAAAAUAUCUUUACUUGCUUCCUUAUCAUCUUCAUUACUUUCUUUCUUUUCUUUUCUCUUUUUAAUUUAGCUAAUCAAAUCUUAAGAUAACAUAUUUAGUUGGUUAUAUUGGUCAUUAUUAGUCCUAAUUUUAAUUAAUUAACUUCUCAUAAGUGUGAAUAAAUUAAUUAUACCUUUGUGUAUGGUUGAAAGGUCUGUCAAUAUUGGAAAUGAUAUCUCAAGACUUCCUUUUUUUACUAAAUAAAGUGAAGCCUUAGUUUUCAUAAUUCACUUAAUUUUGGUUUCAUUUGUGUGGUAAUUUAAUCAUCUCUAUCCCAAACAAACACACUCCAUCAUGUCAUUAACAAAAAAAAAAAAAAAUCUAAAUUUAAUACGAAAUUUCACAAAUAUCCUAAAUUAAAAUUUAUUAUUUUAAUUAGAAUUUGGUAUAUUUUUAGAACAAUUUUAACCUUAUUUUCAUUAUUUAUUAUAUAUGAUUUUCAAAGUUAAUUUUAAAUUAUUUUCAUAUUCAUGUUAAGCUAAAUGAUAACUUUUUUUAUUUAUGUUAUUAUUAUGGAAAUAGAUAAAUCCUUUUUCUAAUAUGAAAUAAUAUAAUAAUUAAAUAUAAAUUUAUAUAACUAUUUUCAUUACCUUAUAAAAAAAUCUUAGAAAUUUCUUUCCGAGCUGGCAAUGAGUUCUUCAUCUUUUUUUUUUUGUGAUUUGUCACGUAUAUGUUACUGUAUAUAUUCAAUAAUACAUACAUAUAUUCUUUUUUAUGUUUUGUGAUUUUUUUGUGUGUAUAUAUACCAAUAUAUACACAUAUUAUAUAUCCAUUCAAUAUCUUUUUUAUUUAUUAAUAAUUCAUUUAUGUUUUGUGAUUUUUUACAUAUAUACUAUUACAUAUAUUCAAUAAUACACAUUUUCUUUUCAUGUUUUGUGAUUUUUUCUUGCUGCACUUAUAUACCUCUGUAUAUAUAAAUUAUGUGUCCGAUCAAUUUCUUUUUUAUUCUUACAUAUAUAUUUAUGCAUAAUACAUAUAUUUUUUGUGAUUUGUUACAUAUACACUACUUCAUAUAUUCAAUAAAACAUAAAUGAUGUUAUCUUUAGUAUAUUCAAUAUACCCUAAUAUAUUUAGAAUAUGAAAUAUAAAUUCUUAUUAACCUUAAUUUUUUGGUAAAUUUUUUUCGAAAGAUCACUAUACCAGUUAGUAACUGAUGUUCUUCUUCUUCAUCGUUCAUACUUUCACCACUUUUCUAUUAUUCUACGUCUUUUAUAAAGAAAAUGGAAUUAAUAUUCAACAUAUUCGAAGAAUGAAACUUUUACUUUAAAAAAAAAAAUAUAAACCCUAACCCACAUCCCUCAUUGUUCUUCUUGUUGGUUCACCUUCUAUAAACAAAUUGAUAUAACAUUUCAUUUAUAAAGUAUACAUUGUAUUAUUCAAUAUAUACUAUACUUAGGUGGAAUAUAUGAAAAAUAAUGCAAAAUGAAUGAAAGAAUGGAGGAAGUGAGAGAUUGGACAGUGAGAGAAAGAUCUAGAGAAGAUUUUUUAACAAAUUAAAUAACCAAAACAAAAAUAAUUAAGAAUUUUUUAAUUAUAAUAUUACCAUUACAGAAUUAUUGACUUACCAUAUUUACAUAGAAUAUCUAAUAAAUACAAAUAUUAAUCAUAAUCCACUUUCCUUUUUCUUUUUUCUAUUUUUUUAAUAUAUUAAUAAUAAUAAAUAUGAAUAAAUUAGUCAUUUCGAUCUUAUAUUUGUGUAAAAUAUUAGUCAAUUAAGAACAUUUAUAAAAAAAAUUGAGAAAUUUAUGUCAAUCCUAUAAUAUAGUAUACAAUUUUAGACUAUAUGAAUUAAAAACUCAACAAAUAAAAGUGGUAGAUGGACCCUUCUAUCUUGGGCUUUCUACACUUCGGGGUAGGCCCAUUAUCAUAAAUAACGAAGGAAAAUAUUGAGAAAUACUAGCAAUUAGAUUUUAAUUAAUAUAACAACGUAUUAACAAAAUCAAAAUUUUUUGUAAAUAUAGUAAAAUACGUCCAAGUCUAUAACUAAUAGAACAUGUUGCAAAUGUUCAUUUUACUAUAUUUGCAUUUUUUAGAAAAAAUUAUAUACGUCAUUUUUAGUUUUUGCGUUGGUAUGUAUAUAUAUAUACUUGUGUGUUUUCUUUGAAAUAAAUUUUGUGGAUGAAUGAGAUGGAAAAAUUGGAGUGUGGUUCCCACAAGCUACAAAAUCAAAAUGAAAAACCUUCAACCUAAGUUUAAUUUUUUUUAAAUCUUAUUGUAACAAUUGACAAUUGACACUACUUUUAUCGAUGAAUACCAAAAUUGUUAUCAAUGCAUUGAUAUUGAGUAUUGAGAGACAUUGAUAGGGAGUGUUAUAUGAGUGUAAGCUUGAUUAUGAGUCUCCACCUGAUUUUCCUACAGUGAGUAUUGAAUAUAUAGUUUAGAUAGUCAGUAAAUUCUACUACAUGCAUGUAUUUAAUAUCAAACCAUCUAUUUGAUAGGUAUGAAUAUAUAAAAGUAGUAGCAGGAACAUAAAUGAAAUAGAAAGAGUAUCAAAUUAAUUAUCUUAAUUAAUAACAAUAAUCUUUCCAUCUAUUUAACAAACAAUUUUUAAUGCACAAAACCAAUAGGAAAAACAAAGGAUUUGAUUUAACAUGCCUGUGUGUGAGUAAAUUGGAACAAGAAAUUCAUAUAUCUAACUAAUUACAUUUUUAUCAAUUAAUCUCAUCACUAAUCCAUAUAACAUUUCAGUAAUAAUUACACAAUAAGUUUCUCAAAUCUAAUCUUUUUUAGCACUUAUAAUCAAAGAGUGGCCCUUUGUUUCCAUUUUUUCCCUCCAAAUACUAAUCUCUACACUCAACCAUCAAAUACCUAAAGAUCUUAAUAAGAAUAUGAACAAGAACAAAGGUUCUAGGAACUAACCUGCAUUUUGAUUUCACUCCAUAUUUCAAGCAACAGCGGGCAAGUCCUUCAGCCAUGGAUCCAAUGGCUUCCCCACAGAGUAAACUAUGAAACCAAUGCGUCUCAACUUCACGGCAUCGACAAUGUUGCGACCGUCAAACACGAAUGAAGGCCUUUGCAUAUCGUUGUAGAUUCUUUGGAAAUCAAGUUUCUUAAACUCGUCCCAUUCGGUUAGAAAGCAGAGUCCAUGAGCAUCUUUUGUUGCUUCAUAAGCAUCCCAUUCGACGCGAACUUGUUUUAUAGCAGUCGGCUCAUUGGCUGAAGAUGAGCCGGAUGAUCCCAAUCGAACUUCUCCGUUGAAAGGUCUCUUUCGAUGUGAUCUGCAGAAACUUGUGGAUCAUAUAUGCUUAGAUUUGCCUUUUCGCCUAACAAACCUUUGCACACAUCAAUGGCGGGUGUCUCUCUAGUGUCUCCUGUGUCUUUCUUGAAUGCGAAUCCGAGGAUGGCUAUCUUUUUGCCUGAGGCAGUGUUGAACAUGGAUGAAACCACUCGAUUGACAAAUCGGGACUUUUGGUAGUCGUUUAUUCUGAUGAUAUGUUUCCAGUAGUUUGCUACCUCUGGAAGGCCAUUACAUUCACAAAUAUACACUAGGUUUAAAAUGUCCUUCUGGAAACAAGAACCGCCGAAACCUACACUCGCAUUCAAGAACUUCGGGCCAAUUCUUGUAUCCGUACCAACCGAAUGCGAUACUUCACUGAUAUCUGCACCAGUUGCCUCACAGAGGGCGGAAAUGGCAUUAACUGAAGAAAUCCUUUGAGCUAAAAAGGCAUUGGCAGCUAGUUUUGAUAGUUCAGCAGACCAUAGAUUAGUACACAGAAUGCUCUCAACAGGCACCCAGUUAGCAUACACAUUUUUUAGUUUUUCUAUCGCCUUAAUUCCCUCGGGAGUUUCCGUCCACCUAUAAGAACCCGGUUGGGAGUAAGAAGGUCUUGAAUAGCAGUUCCCUCAGCAAGAAACUCAGGGUUUGAGAGUAUUUGGAAGUUAAUCCCGUCGCUGUUGUGAGUCAAUAUCUUUUCAAUGGCCUCAGCUGUCUUCACAGGGACAGUAGAUUUUUCAACCACAAUCUUGUCCGAUUUCGAAACAUCGGCGAUCAUCCGAGCAGCGCUUUCCCAAUACGUAAGAUCAGCUGCUUUACCAGCUCCAAGGCCUGAGUUUUAGUUGGUGUAUUGACAGAAACAAAGACUAUAUCAGCCUCACCAACGUGUUUCUCAACAUCACAGCUAAAAAACAAAUUCUUCCCUCUACAUUGUUUCACCACAUCUUCAAGGCCUGGCUCGUAUAUAGGAAGCUGUUCGCUAUUCCAAGCAUCGAUCCUCGAAACCGAAAUAUCGACUACAGUUACCUCGAUGAAGGGACACUUGAGAGCAAUCACCGCCAUUGUUGGGCCACCAACAUAGCCAGCCCCAAUGCAACAGAUCUUCACCAUUUCUAUUUGAUUCAAACAACAAUCAGAAGCAAAUGAAAGCAGAUGAUUACCUAAACUAAAUGCAACUAAACAAAAUCUCUAAUUUUCUCAUCAAUAACUCCACAUAACACAUCUCCAUUCCACAAUCCAAAUUCCAAACUACUAAAACCGUAAAUCCUUCCAACUCUAAUCGAGAACUAAAUUUUGGUAUAACAAAAUAGUUAAGACCUAAAAAUGCAUGCAAGUAAUCAAUUCAACAACCAGAAAUCCCUCUAAAAUCACAGUUUCCACAACAGCAUUCAACACCCAGACCUAAAAUAGAUUCACCCACCUACAAAAGUUUUGUUACUGGGCAAAAUCAAACUCAAAGAAGCAAGAAAAGAACAAAGUAAGCAAAACCCAGAACAUAAAAACACAAGACAGCAUUGUAAAAUCCAGGAGAAGCAAGAUGAAUGUGUGGUGCAAUCUUAGAACAGAGAUUAUCUUAGAGAAAUAAGGGGAAAUGAAAUCUUGAGAUGAAGAACAGAGAAAAUAUUACCUCGAAUAUUUGAAGACACUCAAAAUUUACUUGCAAAGAAUGAUGAAAUACAUUCAUUACAUAUAUAGGCCAAGAACAGUUUGCGAUUCAAUGCAUUAACAUUUUUGUCUUUUACUAAGAAAAUGGCCCACUCUGUCCUCUGUCCAUUUACUCAAAACCUAUAAAUUUGUCCAAUUAUCAACCGGUUUUGAUUGCUCUACCUUCCUCGUUCCUAACAAUUGAAAAGAUGAUUAAAUACACGAUACGAUAUUAUGUCUUCAAUCAUUAAACUAGUUUGAAAUUAUGUUUUUCAUUUUAACAUGUGUUUCUGUGUUGGGUUCUGUUAGUUGAGUUAAACUCUUAUUACACAAUUUGAUUUUAAAUUAUUAAAAGAACGAAAUAGAAAAACAUUUAUACAAAUAUUCAAUCUUGGAUUUUUCACAAGAUAUAUUCUUCUUCCUGGUUUAAAGUGUAUUUAUGUGAUAAGCAUUUAAAACACGAUUUUAAAUAUCAAACUCGUCACUCAUGCCCUCUUACAUAUUUUUGUUUUGCAAUGACCUAAUGUGGUUUGUUAGACAUAGAGUCACAAUAAGAAAAGACAAGUGGUUAAUUACUGACUUCUAUGAAAAAAUUGUUAUUAUAAAAUUUGGUGGAGAGACGAAUUUCUCAUGAAAAUGAUUGAGAAUGUUCCAAACAUAUAACAUAUAAUGAUAUAUAUAUCAUUGUAGAUAGGACAAUGAUAUGCCCAAAAACAAAGUGCAAAUAAUUUAUUGUCUUCUUGUCUUGGUAACCGAUGAGGUGGAAGCAAAAUGUGAUAUGAUUUCACAUGUGAUGUGAAAUAAUUUGUUCAAAUGAAGUCUUGGUCUAUAGUUUAUCAAAUAUCAAAUUUGAACUUGAAAAGGUGUAGAUAUUAGAGUACGUACAAGAUCGGAAUGGAAUAAAGUUUGACUAGCAUCAACCAAUCCCUGGAAAAAAAAUUUGAAAAAGUAACCUAUAACUCCAAUUUACCAUCGUCCAAACAUUUGAUUUUUGUUUUAAUUUGAUGCUUAAGUUUAAGAUUCACACUUCUAAUAUUGAUUUUUUCAACCCAUACUCAAUUUUCGAUUUUUACAUUUACGUCUAUUGAAACUUAGAGCACUAAAUUGAAACCGAAAUCUAAAAAGUGAGGAUUAAAAGUGUCACCAAAUAAAGAAAAACUAGACCAAAUUAUAUUUUAUAGAUAUCCAUCCUUAAUCAUUGAGGAGUGCAAUUCUACCAAGAUUGCUUUUAAAAGAAAAUGGAAGUAGUUAUAUAAAGGUAAUUAACAUAUAGUCCUGUUGACAUAAGUUCUUGUAGUAAAAUUAAUUAUGAAAAUAAAAACUAGUAAGUUCAAAUCUAUCACCGUAUGUAUAUAUGUAUGUAUGUAUUGCUGAACUAAAAAAUUUCAUGACAUUUUCACAUUUGCCAGAAGAAAUUAAAGCGCACAAUUAGGACAACUCAAACUGUAGCCAAUGACAACAAAAGCAAAAGCAUCAAACACUGUAGAAUUACCCUUCUUUCAUAUUCUCAGAUUUCUAAGAAGCCAAGAAAUUCUUGAACCAUUGAACCGAGUCCUUGGGGUAUCUCUUCAGCUUAUCCUUGUAAUCAACAAAGUAAAGGCCAAACCUUGAAGAGAAACCAGCUGCCCACUCCCAAUUAUCCAAUAGAGACCAUACGAAAUACCCUUUCACAUUGCAACCGUCUUCCCUGGAGAGCACACAAACCAUAUUUACAUGACCAGACAAGUAAAAUCACCAUUGACAAUUGAAGAACAUGAAGAAGAACUCACUUGAUGGAGGCCAAAAGGUUUGUUAAGUAGCCGUUGUGGUAUCUGAUCCUCUUCUCAUCCUUCAAUGCUUCUUUGAUUGGUUUGAAUGGGUCAUUUGGGUCGUCCAUCCCUGUUAUAAACCCAAUAACAAUGAAUCAGAACUUUACUUUUUGUCCAAAUUUUGUGUGCUUCGGAGAGCUUUGUAUUUACCAUUUUCAGUGAUGAUCACUAGUGGGUUUCCAUAGUUGUUCUUUAUGUAAUUCAUCAAACUUCGCAUCCCACGAGGAACAAUGUAUAACCAUAUUGAAUUUGCCUGCAAGUUCAUAAAAAAAAAAAGAUUGAGAAAUUAGAAUAGAUUAGAGUCUUCGUUUUUUUUUUUUUUUUUUGUCUUCUGGUUUUGCCAAAGAUUAAAAGCAGUAUCCUACCCUUUCUGCAAUGGUUUUCAAACCUUUGAAUGCUGCAUAAACAAAAAACAGAACCAGGGGAGAGUAUUAAAAGGGGUAAACUUCAAAUUCUGAUUCUGAUAUUUCUAAAGUAUUCAAAAGAGGUGGUGAUGAUCAGAUUAAGAGUUCUUACGAACGGUGAGGGCGCCAGAAUCAGCAAUGGUGUCAUUCAGUGUGGCACCAAUAAUGUUUGAGCGGUUGUGAUAAGCAUAAAAUGUGGUGUAGUGAUUUAUACCAACAAAAUCCUGAGACCCUUUCACCAAAGCCGCCUGCGACGGGGAAAACGUCGGUAGUCGCCCUCCGACCCUGCUUCUCAUGGAGGUUGGAUAAUCUCCAAAGAUCAACGGGUUGAGAAACCUGAAAGUGAAUGAAAAUAAAACCCAAUAUGAUCACCUCCAUUGCACCAACAGAAAUAGAAUGAAACUGAAACAUAUUGCUAUGAAUCAUCACCAUCCAAGCUGAAAAUCUUGAGCUCUUUUGGCUGCGUCAAUGUCUUCGGUGGAAUUCGAACCCGGUUCAAACCAGAUAACAUCGAGCGACAUCCCAAUCACUCCCUUCUGUAUCCUCUGCAAAAAUUCCACAUUCUUUCAUCAAAACAUUUCACAAUCUCAUUCAAAUGAAACCAGAAAGCAGAAACAGAACAAUGUAUCUGAGGAAUACGAAUUUCAAUGAAAAAUAAAUCUCAUUAUAGGGUUUUUUUUUUUUUUUUCUUUCUUACCUUGUACUUUCUUCUGUAAAUAUCGGAGACAGUAGCAUGAGAGAGGAGAAGAUUAUGGCCAACAAUGUAAGGCUCGGUAGCAGAGUUGCCAUCCCGACAAGUUAUGUGACCAAGAAUGGAGCAACGUCCCGGCGCCUGGAGACCAAGAUCGUAGCCCUGUGUAGCGAAGGUAUGGGGUUCGUUGAAAGUAAUCCAAUGCUUGACUCGAUCGCCGAACUUCUGAAAGCAUGUUUCGGCGAAAACCGCGAAAUCGUUUCUGCAAUUUCGAAGGUGUGAACUGAAAUGGAAUAGGAGUUAGGGUUAGGGUUAGAGUUAGAGUUUAGGGAAUUACUUACAUGAUUUGGGGACUGAGCCAGCCAGUGUAUUUGUCUUCUAGGGCUUGAGGAAGGUCCCAGUGAUAGAGAGUGACAUAGGGUUCAAUUCCUAAUUGAAGAAGGAGAUGCAGGAUUCAAACACCAUUGAAUUAAAGAACAAAGAAAAUGGCGUGAAGAUGAAGAAGAUUCAUACCAUUGGCUAAUAGAGCAUUGAUGAAAUUGUUGUAAUGAGCAACUCCUGCGUCAUUCACCUCUCCAUUUCCAUCUAAUAUAUCAACCAAAAAUCACAUCACACCUUAUUAAUAAUCUCUUUUUUUCAGUUAAUUACUAAUAAUCUUUUUAACCAAAAAACAAAAUAUUUAUUAAAAAAAACAAAACACCAACAAAAAUUCAAUUUAUUAAAUAAAAAAUUGCAAUUUAAGGUUGUGUUACAUAAAUUUUAAACAAUUAACUAGUUAAGUCAGUUUAGUCUCAUGAUUUUAAAAGUUCCAAUUUUAUCAAAUCGAACUAGAUAUCUUUGUUGAAAUGAAGAAUAGUAUAUAUAUAGGAAAGAAAAGAGGAUGAAUUACUUGGGAAGAUCCGAGACCAAGCAAUGGAGAAUCGGUAGGCAUCCAUACCCAUAUCCUUCAUGAGUUUAAUAUCUUCCUGUUUCCAAAAUUUUCAUUUUUAUUUAUUUCAAUUCUUCUAAUUACAUUUAAUAGUUUGGUUAAAUCUGUUCUAAAAAAUGUAUGUGUGUGGUUACCGGAUACCGAUGGUACUGAUCCACUGUCACGUCUGCAUUACUGAAAUCAAGCACCUUUCCUGUCAAUGUCAUUAAAAUAAUAUAUUUACAUAUAAAAUAUUACAAAAUUUUAUAAUAUAUCAGUGUUUAUCAAUACCAUUAAAAAAAAUAUAAAUAUUUAUCAAUAUCUAUCGUUAAUAGAAUUUAAAAUUUUAUUAUAUAUAUUUUAGUAUCUUCUCAAAUUCCUUUUGAUUUCUAAUGCAUAAACAAUAUCCUUGUUUAACCUAUCGUGGCAUUAAUAUUGAGAUAUUGUUUAACCUAUUGUGGCAUUAAUAUUGAUCAAGAAGACAAUGAUAAUAUGUUGACUAUAUUUAGAAAUUAGGUUAAAAUUAUGUUAUGUUUUAAUUCGAAAUAUAUAUAACUUAGUUGACAGAAAAUUAUGCGUUGUUUUUUUUUUAAAAAAAGAAAGAAAUUCAAUUUUGUUUUUGGUAUGACAUGCCUUAUUUAAUUGCAUCCUCACUCGAUUAAUAUUAGGAUAAUUAUUUUAAUAUCAAAAUUAUUGAAGAUUAUUUAUAAAUUUAAGAAAAUGUCACAAUUUAUUUGAAAAAUAUAUUUCAAUUAAAUAACAUUUCAAAAUUAUAUUUAUAAACAUUUGGAUGAUUCUAAGAAAAGAAAAGUUAAGUUGCAGAUCAAACUUAAAUUUUGUUUAUACUUUUUUAUUUUACUUUUUUAUUUUAUUUUUCACUUUUUUUAUAAAAAUAAAUAAUAAACAAUUACCAAAUGUAUGAGAAAACGUAUCCCAAAUUGUGGGUCCUCUUCCGUCAUCUUUUACCGCGCCUUCGUACUGUAUUCACGUAGAGUUAAAAAAAACAAAACUACAAUGAGUGACAGAGUCAAUAAUUACGUAUAGAGUAUCAUGUCACUAAAAGAAUAUAAAACUAUGGUAAAAGUAAUUCAUAACUUCAUAGUUUAACUAAUUUAAUACAUAUUACGAGUGUUCUCUACAAACAUUUUAUGUUUCAUAAUUGAACUAAAUUCCCUAAAUGAAAAGAUAUGAUUAUGAGACUAGCAAAUACACUAUUUGAAGAACUACAUAAGCAUCGUGAAUAUUAUCAUUAUGUUUUAAAAAAUUUAGUCGUACUAGAAAUUUAAGAUGAUGGCUCAGUAAUUUUGAUUGUUAAUUUUCUUUUAAAAUAUCUUUCCAUAUUGUCGUGUAUUGUCAAUAAAAUUAUAAUAUAUAAUUAACUAAGUAAUAGAACUCUCAAAUUUAUUUGAAAAUUAGGUAGAAAAAGGAAAAAUAAAAAUUAACAGUAUUUUUUAAUGGAAUAUUAUUGAGAUGUAAGAAUGAAAUUUUAGGUCGGAAUCUCGUAAAUUCCUUUGUUGUUAUUGUUUUUCUUUUUAAACUCAAAAAUAUUUAUUUUAGUGCUAAAUUCAUAUUUUAGACAGAAAAUUUGAUAUUAAAAUAAAAAUUAAAAGUACAAAUAUGAUUACAAUUGAAAAAAGAAACAGAUGAUAAAAACAAUUUAAACAAAUAAAAUGACAACAUGGUGAAGAAAUAUUGGUAUUCACACGUUCUAAUAAGAUUGUAAUGCAAUCCACAGUUCGUAUCUGAAUUGAUCUUUUUGAGUCCGAAUAAUAUUAUUAAACUUAUUUCGUUUUGAAUUUUUUUUGUUAAAACUAUAUUUUUCUUUGUUUCAACUUGGGGUGAAUAAUUUGAAUUCAUAACCUCAAUUCAUGUCGACAUUUCAUUUUUGUUUUGCCCUCAACUUGACAUGCACCACUAUAUUGACCCUCAAGGAUUAAUAGUAAGGAUUAUAUUUCAACUUUUCAAAUAACCCUUACCAAUAUUUGUUAACAUUCCAUUUUCUUGAAAGAAACAAGAUCGUGUGAGAUUUUAAGGAUAAUUUUCUAGAAUUCAUGAUAUUUUUGUAUCAAAAUGAUCAAAUUACAAAACACAGAUUGUUUGCUUAUUUUGGAAAUGCCUUUUUCUUUUAUUUCUACAAAGAGAAAACUUGUUUUCAAGUAAUUUAAAAACAUAAAACGUAAAAACACAAAAUGAAAGACAAAUAAAUAGUUACAAACCCAGAUUUAAAUUACUUGAAGCAAAAACGAUAGUAACAAAGGCGUGCAAGAAAAUAGAAUUAACCUUAGAGAAAAAGUGCAAGGAAACAAAUCAGCUUUCCUCUUAAAACCAACUCCAUUCAAAGCUUAGUUUACUUCAAUCAAUCUUCUUUCUAACAGUUUAAAAUUUGAGGAAAAUUAUUUCCCUCUCUCUAAAAUUCUUUCCCCCAUCUUUCUAAAUUUACAAUAAUCAAUCAAUUUACGUUACACAUUUUCAAAUAACCAAAUUUCCAAUUAUAUUAAUAUACAAUUUAAAAUUUAGCUUUUUGUAAAUAAGAAUCCAAAAUAAAUUUAUUUGGAUCGUUUUUAUUAUCGUUUUUUAUAUAAUUUUUUCAAUUUAUCAUUUUUGCUAAUUAAGAUUUUUUCUAUUUUUAUUUUUUAUAAUAAUUUAUCUUUAUUUUCUAACUCAAAUUGUCAAAAAUAUAAAAACUAACAAAAUAUUACGCUUUAAAAAUGGAAAUAGUUUUUUUUUUUUCUACUUUUGAAAAAAAAAACCCUCUUUCUAAACAACAAAUAUACAUACAUCAUAAUAGUUAAAAUGAUAUACCUAAUAAAUAGUAUAUUUUAAGGGUAUAUAUAUAUAUAAAGUAUACACCAUUAAAUAAAAUAACUAUAACAUUAAUUAAUAAUAUAAAAAAAAAAAAAACUGCACAAAUUAAAUCCUUGUCUCUUUCACAUGCCAGAAAAAUUCCAUCCAAUAUAGUUUUCUAUACUUUUUCUAGAAUAACAUUAAUAACAUAACAUAUUUAUUUCUUUUUAUGAUUACAAAUCAAAUCCUUAUCUCUUUCCUAUUAUCCCUUUUUUCCAGAAAUUAUUUCAAUCUAUGCAGUGUUCUUAUGCCCAAAAAACCAACAACUGCAUGUGUGUUCAAAAUAUACUUUUCGAGUAAUAUAAUAAAAACAAAGUUACAAAUAAUAAUAAAAAAAAAAGUUUUUCUAUAUUUUGUAAAUAUUUUUAAUAAAACAAAAGCACAUACCUCUGAUUGAGUUUAAAAUCACUUCGGUGGAGAAAUUGAUGUUGCAACGUUAAAUUUUAAAAAAAGUAUUAUAACCUUGAAAUUGAAAAAUACGAUUGUUCUAAAUAUUGCAAUAUUACAAAUAACGCCCUCAUAUAUUAUUUUAAUUAUUUCUAAAACUGGACAAAUUAUAUAAACUACCAAAAAGUUGGAUCAUAAGUAUUCCAAUUGUACCCUCACUCAAACUUCCUACUACCCAAACCCAAUCCUAAGCUUAAAAAAUUGUAAAAAUGGUAUAAGUUUGAGUGUUUAAUUUCUAUCGUUUUUUUAUUUAGAAGUAUAUUAUUUUCAUAUCUGGAAAUAAUAAUUAAGAAAACGUUUAAAAAAUAAGAAAUAAAUAAAGGAACCUGAAAAGCAGAGGAGGCAGUUCCGAAAACAAAUCCGCUCGGAAAACUGCUUCUGCUGAUCUGCGCCGAACAAAUCUGAACCCCUAAAACCACCAUGAUUACGACUAACACGCCGACGCCUUUGGUGGCGCCUCUUCCUCCGGCCGUCAUCAAGCCAAGAGAUGGAGAGAGAGAGAGAGAGAGAAUUUAAAAUUUUGGUUUAGGAAUUGGAUUUUGUCGGUAUUGCGUCGGGCAAAUUGAAGUGAAUAUGAAGAGAUGGAGAGAGAAUAAUGUGAACGGAGAGUGAGGGUGGCGAGGGUGGGGGAAAGAGCGUCAAAGAGAGAGGGAAUUUCUGGCUGUCCUUUUUAAAAUUGGCAGCGCAAUUAGCUUUUGUGUGGAAAUCCAACUAAAAAGAAAGUCCCUCAGUUCACACGCCUUCCAUUCAUUUAUAUACUUUUUUUUAUAUAUAUAUAAAUCACUUUUUUUUUAUUAUUAUUUUUCCAAUUAUGCUUUUUUCUUAGGCCACAACGUAUUGUUUUGUUGUCAUCAAUCCUAACUUAACAAAUUUAUCAUUUUCAUUUAAUCUUUUUUAAACUAAAGUAUUAUUUUUUAUCUUCAAUUUAAGUAUAGUUUAUGAAUUAAGUAUCAAUCCAUCCAUUUUUGGAGGUUAAAACUUUCGUAUUUCAUCAAUAUAAUAAAUUUAUAUAAUAAGAGUACACCAAUACUUUUUAUCAUUUAAAGAUUGAAAAAAUGUGUUAAUUAACAUUAUUGUAAAGGUACCAUCAUCGCUAAUUGAACCAAUUAUUCAUCGUUCUUAAGAUGAGUCCAAUGGAAAUGAUUGGACAAGGCAUUCCCACUUCUAUCCAAUGUGAACAUGAAUUUAGUAUUUAUUGGUUGCAUAGGAGAACACAACCCAGUUGAUGAAAAUAUUAGUUUAGUUUCAAAUACUAUUUAAAUUAUCAACCUCCUUGUUAAGAAAUUUGUACGUAUUUACCAUUACAAAUUAAGCUCUUUUCUUUUUCUUUUCCUCAAAUGAGUAAAUAGUUUUUCUAAUAUAUAUGCGAAUUACUGUUAUCUUUGAAGACUAAAAGACCUAGAAUAAUACUUUUGUUAAAUUGUCUUUUGUUUUUAUUUCAUAGCUGGUUUUUUUUUUAAUUUUAUUAUUAUUAAUUGAUAUGUUGAAAUUAAAUAGGCAUAAAUUUUAAAGUUAAAUGACUAAAAAUGUGUAGUUUUAUUUAAACUUUAUGCAUAAUCCCACGUCUAUGUAUUUAGACCAAAACGAAAAAGAAAAUAGACACAAAAUGGAAAGUUGUUUCCUUUUAUAAUUUAACUUAUUUUUAAAGUUUUACAUAAUCAUCAUUUCAAUAUUAAACCUUUAAGAGAAGGAGAGGAAAAUAACUGACAAAAGAAGAAGAAAAAGUAUUAAAUAUUUGGCUCCGUUUAGUAAUCAACUAAUCAUUUUAUUUCCAAUAAUUUGUCCUAUAGAAUUCAAAAUUUUAAGAUUAGAUGAGUGAUAUCGUUAAUCUAUGUCCACGUUAGCACAUGUUUAACUCAAAAGUGUAAAAAGUAGUGUUAAUAUUUGGGAAUAUUAGGAAGAUGUAGUUUGUACACGUCAUUAGUCAAAGGUCCAGCUGGGCAAUAACUCCUCCAUUUCAAUUGGAUAGGAAAAGAAAUUCUGACGAUCCUAUCACCUUUUGCCACGUUCACACUGCAUGCAUUGCGCGUGAGAUUAUCGUUUGUUAUCAAUUAAUAAAUUUGGAAUCACAAAUCAUAUAUGACAAGUUCCAGAAUGUUCUACACGCAACACUAUGCUAAGGAUGACGUGGUACAUUUUAUUUCUUUUUUCUUUUUUUAUAAACUCACAUGAUCACAAUUUUUUUUAAAAAUAUUUAUAUUAAAUGAUAAAUUUACAAGUUCAUAUCUUGUUAGUUUGAAAUUUGGUAGGAAAUAAGAAUAUUGAAGUUUAAUUUUAUAUAGAUGUUGAUGAAAAUAUAUUCAUGGCGUUUAUCAAAAUCUAUCGUAAUAUAUUUUAUAAAUAUUUUUAUUAUUUUAUCAUUUAUAAUCACUUUUAUAUAUUAUACUUUAAAUUUCACAUUUAAUUAUUGUUAUUUCAUAUUGUGGUAUUUUAAAAAUGGAAAAAUAUAUGUUCUAUAUAGUAUAACAUGUGAAUGAUGCAUGCAUCAAAUAGACCAAAAAUGAAAUAUUAAUUUUCUCCUAGCAAAGUGAAGAAAGAGUACAAGGAACAAGUUCUAUAUGUUGCAUUCUCUCAUACUCCAUUCUUCUUUAUUUCUAUUCAUUAAAUUUCCUAAAAUUAUACAAACUAUUUUUUAGAAGGAACAAAACACAUUUAUAUUAUAUAGACCAUUUUUUCAACCUAAAAAAAUAGACUUAAUCGAAUUUGUUCAAAUCAAAGAAAAAAUCAAGUGAAAAAGACUAAAAGAACAAAGUGUACGUUUCAAGGGCUCUUUGAGUGUGCAUGCGUUUAGUUCAAAAAACUUCAAAGGGUCCAACUCAACUGAGGUGGAAAAUUGAAAUUUUAGAUAAAUAAAUAGUGCAUAACGAGUCUUAAUGAAUUAAGGCAAGUUGUUAAGUCCCUAUUUCUGAAACCCUAAACUUAAGCAUGAAAUCUAGUGUGGUUAAACAAUACUCAUCAAACUAAUGUGUGUGCAAACGUCUUCUAUUAUAUUCGUUUUGAAAAAUUUGCUAACCAUGUGUAAACAAGCAUACACAGGUAUGUUUUAUAAUGAUUUGUGUAUCAUAUAUAUAUAUUUUGUUAGAAAAGCAUGUGGACCUUUAGCCUAUUAUAAAGUUACCUCUAUUGUUGUCCCACAUUGAUAAAAAUGGAAAAGAUAAAUAAGUAUAAAUAGUUAAGUGCCACUAAAAAUAUAUAAAUUAUGUUGAUGUUAAUAGUAUGACCUAACGGUCACCAUGCGUCUUGUCCCACGUCUACUUGAAUAUCACCUCAUACAUAUAUUCAAGUUUCAUGUAGACGUGAAAAUUCAAUUUUUUUUAACAUUGUAACAAUUGGGCUCCUAAACUUAUAUAAAGGGUCGAGAUACAUUAUUUCAAAAUCCUCCAUCUACUAUCGUCUUUACUAUUUUACAUUCAUCAUUUUCUUUUUUAAUUUUUCGCUAAUUAAAACGUUUACUAUUUUCUUAUCCAACUAAAAUAGUUUACACACUUAACACAUACUAUAUACUUUAAGUUUAAUUUUUAUCAUUUUAGAGGCUUAAAUUCUAUUAUUAUAAGUUUUGAGAAUUUACGUUUUACCAUUGAAAAUUUUACAAUAUGAUCACAAAUUAUUACCAUAAAUUAGGGUAUACUUAUUGUUUUGUAAUAUCUAUAAUGAAAUUUCAAUGGUUGAUGUGUUUGGUGAUUUAUUUGAUUCUUGAUGGAAUAAAACAUGAGAGAAAAAAAUUAAUGAGGAAUGUUGGUGUACCUAACUUAUUUAGUUUGAAUCAAUUAGUUUUGUGUAAAGAAAAAAGGUUUGCAAAUUAAAUUACCAAUAAUGUAAUAAUACAUUCAAAGAAGUCAUCCAUAGCCACAUUGAAAUAUAAUGUCUUUGUGAAUUGUACCCAUAUAAUAUUAUCUCUAGCCACAUGUUACAAACUUAUAUGCUUAAAAUCAUUAUUUAGUCCGCCAAUAUGAAUAAAAUUACUUUAAUGUAAAUUUGCUAUACGAGAUAUUUUCAAUUCUAACAAAAUAAAUUAAAUUAUUUAAAAAAUAUAUUAAAAUUUUAGAUUAUAUCAUCCAUUCAUUGUUUACUAUAAUUAUAAGAUUCAAAUAAAAAAUAAACUAUCGACUUAUUGUUGAUAAAACGUUAAUUCAUAUGAUAUAUCUGAUGUUGUAAUAAAGGUCCUAAAAAUGUCAAAAAGCAAAGAAAAAAAGAAGAAGAAAAGAACUACUUUUUAGAAAGUUGGAAACUCUUUUAUAAAUUUUGGUUUAAAAUUCAAAGAAAUAAAAGUAGAAUGUAGUUUACACUUUAUGACAAUGUAGACUUAAAGUUUAUAUUUGGUUUCGUGAUAAAUUUUAUUGAAAUCAAGUGUCAAUUUUUAUUACAUAGUAUUUAAAUUUUAUGAAUAAAUUUAUUUUUUAAUAAGUUUACCAACCCUAUACGUUUAAAAUAUUUGAGUAUAAAUAUAUAUAUUUUUAAUUCACGCUCAUAAUUCACACCAAAACGUGAAAAAGAAAUCAAACCAUGUUUUUAUAUUAUAUAUAUAUAUAUUGAUGCCUAUUUUUUAUAUAGAAGUAUGCCGGUAUAUAUUUAUUUCAUUUAGAGGUUUCUAUUUCAUACACAACCGCCGACUUCAACAUGUAUAUAUGUCUAUGCUAUUUAUGUUUAAAUCAUGUAAUAUUGAUAAUUUUUUUAAUGUAAACACAAAAAUCUUACCUAUAUUUUUCUCUCUCUCCUCUUUAAUUUUUCUACUAAAAUUAUUUUAUUAAUAAAAUGAUUGAAUGACUUGUACUUUAGUUAUGUUAAAACAAUGUAAAUAUUAUUAAAAUUUAUUAAAUAUACAUAAAAGGUAAUAAAAUGAAGCAAGAAAUAUUAAAGUCCUUCGUUUAAUUCUUUAUUUACAAAAUCAUUAAAUGAAAUUAUGAAUUCAUGUUUAUAAUUUCAUAUUUUCAAAAGAAGUAUGAUUUGGGUGAAUAUUUUAUCCUUUCAUUGUAAUUUUUUUAGUCUUACUUUAGCCACAAUUUUGUCAUUCACAUAGAUUGAAUGUGUGUGGUCAUUUUCACAUUAAACAAAAUAAAAAUUACAUUUCGUUAAUUAAUUUUUCAUUUCCUCGUUAAAAGAAAAAUGUUUUGAUUCCAUAACGGAUAUUAGUUAAUGCUCUAUGUUAUUAGGGGCUUAGGGCUACAAUGUAACUUUUCUAUAUGUUAUUUACACAACUAAAUUUUUUUUUAUCAUACUUUAUUCAGAUAUAUAUAGAUUAGAUGGUUAAGUUUGGAUAGUAUAAGCUUAAAAUAUUAAGAAAUAGAAUUUAAAUGGUGAAAAAUGAUACAUUGGAAGGAUGUAAAUAUAAAAAAGAUAUAAAUAUGUAAAUGUUGAAAUGAUUGUUGUUAAAUUAAAAAUUUUAUUGUUUAUUGCUAUAACUAAAUGGCUCAUUUUCGUAGCUUUCAAGUCUCACGUGCUCCACCCUCUCCUAUUUCUUUCCGUUUAGCAUCUCAGUUCCGCCGCUGCCGUUCUUCGGUUCGUGCUCGUACAGCAUCCUAUCUAACGGCUCUGCACUGAUUGGUAUUCUCCCAAUCUCCAUCUAUCUCUGUCUCCUCACUCGAAUAACGAAAGAAUGGAAGAUUUGUAUGUAUUAUCAUGAAUUUUCCAGCAUCUCCCUUCUCAGUCGAAGUAAUUCAAUUAUCUUUUAAUCACAAGCACGUCCGGCGGCUAUCUUUUAAUUGACCGAACAACCUCAACAAUAUUUCUAUUUUGUAUAUUUGUUUAACCAAUGAUGGUCUGAAUUUACUGAAUAUAAAAGCCUUCCUAGUUCCUUAUGCUUCAUACUUGAUACUCCACCCUCCAUUUAUUCUUCUUCUAUUGCUAUUAUUAUAUUUCUAUAGUUGAUUGUGUCAAAUUAGAGUCUGUGACUGUUUUGAAUGAUAGCUGGACGUGUUUCGAUUGAUUUUUUGUAUUGAAAAUGUUUAUGUUUUGGUUUUGUUACUUCUGACUAAUUGGAGAAGUUUUAUAGCUCCAUUGGUUUGGGCAUGCUGUCUUUUUUCGUGUGUGUGUGUGUAAAUUUCAUACAUCAAUGAAAUUUGUUUCUUAUAAAAAAGAUGAAAGGUUUGGAUGAUUUGAUUUGAUGAUUUCUUCUGCUGAGAUUGCAAUUUGAAACUGUGUGUUUUGUUUGAAAUGUUUAUGAAUGAUUCGGAUGCCAAAUCGAUGGUGUAGUUGUCUUUCCGCUUGCUAAUUAAAACAAAGUAAUAAAGUGUAAGUGAACUUUCUUUUGGGCCUGAAUAUCGAACUCGAUUGGGAAAACACCAGGACGGGCCAAAGAAACAGUUGGUUGGGAUGAAAUGUUAAUUACUAAUUCUGAGGAAGUUAAUGAGGUUGGACCUUAAUUAUUGAAAGCCAAGGAUUUUUUUUAUUAAAUACAACUUGCUUUUCAUUUUAUGGAUGGAGUUCAACUCUUUGUUUUUGGUGCUGUUUUUAGGUCAGUUUUUGUUUAAUCUCCCAGAAAUUUUUUAUGAGUGAGUGUCUAGAUAGCUUAUGCCUACCUUGAUUAAUUUCAGUCAGAAAGCAGAUGUAUUGAAGGUCAAUUAUCAAAUUGAAACUACCAAACCCAAAUCCACGGCUACGAUUUGAAAAAUGGAAGAUGAAGAUCCACCACUCGCUGUUGAGAUUGGCGAAACAAUUACAGCUGUCCAACAACAUGAAGAUGAUGGUGUUUCUGUUGGCGUUACAGUUAUCACUGGAUAUCUUGGAGCUGGAAAAUCCACCGUAACUUACACUCUGAAACUUUUCUCCUUACCCCCUCACUCGAUUUCUUUUUGCAACCAUCAAAUUUGAGCUAUAGAAUGAUAUUUCUUGUUUGGUGGAAUUCAGUUGGUUAAUUACGUAUUGAACUCGCAACAUGGCAAGAGAAUUGCUGUUAUACUGAACGAAUUUGGGGAGGAAAUUGGAAUUGAGAGGGCAAUGAUAAAUGAAGGUGACGGUGGGGCGUUGGUUGAGGAAUGGGUCGAAUUAGCAAAUGGAUGUAUUUGUUGCACUGUUAAGCAUAGCCUGGUUCAAGCCUUGGAGCAACUUGUGCAGAGAAAAGAAAGGUAUUCUCUUGCUGUUAUAUUAGAUUUCAAUGGAGCUUCUGGAAAAAUACGUUGAUGAUUUAGUCCAUCUUACAUGUCUCUAGGCUCGAUCAUAUUUUGUUGGAAACUACGGGAUUAGCCAAUCCUGCUCCACUUGCUUCUGUACUUUGGCUGGACGAUCAAUUGGAAUCAUCGAUCAAGCUUGAUUCAAUUAUUACAGUCAGUUCUUAGUUCUUGUUCCUUCACGGUUUGAGUUAGUUUCCCCAAGUUUACUUUGAAAUACGUAUUAUAGUUUGGAAAUGUUUGUGAAUUACAUGCUAUAGUUCUUAAGUUUAAGAAUGUGUCAUAUUUGAUGUUUGAUUGAAAUUAAGAUAGCCAAUGAAGCUUAAGUUUCCCCUUGUUCUAAGGUUAAAUUUAUGUGUUGGCUUUCGUUUCUAUGUUGUUAUUUAAUUCGAUUUUGUCUGUCCAUGAGUGGAUGCAUGGUGUAGUAAAUACUUGAAUACUUCAAACUUUGUUUUAAAUUCUUUUUCUAGUGAUCUAAAGGUUUCACCCAAUAAUAACUCCUUAUGUUCAUUUGGAUGAAUACAUGCAAGUAGGUCGUGGAUGCUAAAAAUCUUCAUUUUCAAUUGAAUGAGCACCGUAGUUCAUCAUCCUUUCCGGAAGCAUUUCAUCAAAUUGUGUUUGCGGUAAUAUUCUUAUUCUUAGUUCUUUUAUGGUCUCUGCAAGUUUGCAAUCUACCAUUAAUUAUGUCAAGCAACUGCUGGGAUCUUCAUUAUUUAUCAUUUUUCAUUCCAUUAUUACUUAGUAUUUUUGUUUGUUUUAUUUCUGUCUCUCUUGCUAUAUGGUUUGUUUUAUUUCUCUCUUUUGCUAUAUGGUUUGAUUUAUUUCUCUCUUUUGCUAUAUGGUUUUCUCAAUAAUUGUCCAAUGUGCACGCCUAAGAAGUUGUGAAUCUGUUAUCCAUCAUAGGAUACUAUUAUUCUUAACAAGGUCGACCUGGUCUCUUCAGAUCGUGGUGAUGGUGCAUUGGAGGACCUGGAGUAUGAAAUACGUAACAUUAAUUCUCUUGCCAAAAUCAUUCACUCUGUUCGGUGUCAAGUAGACCUGUCUCUCAUACUAGACUGCAAUUCCUAUAAUGCUGCUGUUAGUCAUGAACUUAACUUUAACCCCUAGCUCAUUUUCUAUUUUCGUAUCUGUCCUCUUUAUCUGAUACUAUUCAGUUUUUCCCCAUUUAGAAUACAGCUCAUUUAGAAGCAUUAUUGAAAGAAAGUCGUUCUUUAUCUACUCAAGAUCUUCAUGAUACUGGUGUUCGAACCUUGUGCAUUAGUGAAGACGACAAAGUUGACCUUGAUAAGGUAGUUUCAUGUAUUUCCGUUAAAGAUUGUGUGGUUCCAUCUUAUUUUAAAUUGCUUAGGCAUUUAAGAAUUUCACGACCUGGAGUGUAGCUACAUCCAUGCUGAUUUAUGUUUUAGCCAAAGAUCCAUUGAAGUAAUAAUAUUCUGAACUACUAAUAUAUCUUUCCAUUGGCUUGCUGAUCUAUUUAACGAAGUAUUUAACUUUCGAAGUGAUUAUAUAAAUCGCUCAUCUUCACUAUGAGCAUGAUGAUUGAAGUAGGCACAAUUCGUACAAGCAAUAUAAGUUACUGCCUUGGAAAUUCAUGAUAUUUCUCAUUAAUCUGCAUUUCAUAUCCGAUCUUCGUGAUGGUGCUAUUCUCAUGCCUACCUUAUUUUCCAAUAGGUUCAUUCUUGGCUUGAGGAGAUACUUUGGGAGAAAAAAGGUGGCAUGGAUGUGUAUCGUUGCAAAGGAGUUUUAAGCAUAAAAAAUUCUGAUCAGCUACAUACUUUGCAGGUAGAUCAUGUGCUUAAUCCUAUAGUUUUUGCUGUUGGAAAAUCACUCCAAACAGGCUUCUUCUUUAACCAUCGUCCUAAUUUCCCAUCCUUUGUUAAUCCGAUUUCCAUGCAUUCCUUUUGGGUUUUGAACCCAAAUGAAAAGGUUGAGUUAUUGCGACGAUACUUCCUAACAAGAACACUCAAGAACAACACAGAAAACUCAAGAAGACUCAAAUAUAAAAACAUAUGGAAAUAUACUGUAAUAUAUACUAUAAGAGAAGUAGCAAGAUAACCUUGCCUUCCAAGUGGGCUAGUCCAAAGGAAAUCUCACAAAAUUCCUCACUCUUUGCUCCUUAUCUCAUUCCCUUUAUUUAUAAGCCCUAACAAUACCAACAUUCUACUACUAAUCCUACUAUAUCUCUAACUAGGGAGCUCUUUUUCAUGUUAAUGACUGAUUUUGAUUGGUGGCUGACAGGCAGUUCGGGAAUUAUACGAGAUCGUUCCUACACGGCAAUGGAACAAUGGAGAAAGUCAGACGAACAAGAUAGUGUUCAUAGGUAAAAGACAUACAAAAAUAUCCACGCCCACGAACUCUUACAAUGUGUUUAUUGUUGAAACUUACACAUUGUCCAUAAUAUGCAGGUCGUAAUCUGAACGAGGAUGUUCUCAGCAAAACCUUUAGAGAAUGUGCUUCUAUCUCCUAAAUUUUGUUGCUUUACUAUUUGUUCGACUACAUAGGCAAACAAGGAAGAGCAUAUGCGUAGGUGAAAUGGUUUUGUAUGAUUUCGAAGUCCUUUUUUUGUAUGUUAACUUGGAUAAGUGUUUCCUAAAUUAACUGUCUUUCGGUCUUGUUAGAGGUGUUCUAGAAAGGUUUUUGAUGGAAAGAUUUGUGAACGAAGGUACCAUUGGAUGUUUAUUUUUCUAAAUGAAAGUUCUUUUGAAAGUUAACAUUGCAAUAAAAAUAUCAAAAAUUAAAUUAGUUAAAUUAAAAAAAAAAAAACAAGAAUAACCAUUAAAUUAUAAGAUUCCCAAAUUAUAGUUUUAAAAAUUGAUUGUUCGUUCUCUUGCGAUUCGUGCUUCUUCCAUUUGUGAGGGUGGUCGCUAUUGGCUUUCUUCUCUUCUUGUUAGGAAUUAAUGAAGUUUAUUUUCUUCAAAAAAAAAAGAAAGAAAGAAAGUUAACUUACAACGUGUACAUUGAAGACAAAGAAGCACAUGUUUUGAAUUUCCUAACUUAAAUUAUGAAAGAUCAAAAUAAUAUUGCAAUAAAACAAAAGUUUAGAUUAUAUAUUGAUACUCUAUAUUUUAAAAUGCCUCAUAUUUAAAUUAUGAAAUAUAUUUUAAAAAGUGCUGUUUUUUUAGGAGUUCUUAUGGAUUAAAAAAAAAAAAAAAUUCUUAUGGAUUUAAAAAAAUUUAAAAUUAUUUGCAAAAUAUAGAGAAAAAAAGAAAUUUUUUUUUGACAAAAUAUUUACCCAUCCUGAAACAAAAUUUACACUUGAUUAAAUAUUUAAAAUAUUUUUUUAAAGGUUCUAUUUUUAUGAUUUAUAAAAAAGAAAAAAGUAUAAAAUUUAUUAAAAAAAAUCAGAUAGAUUUUGCUCUAUUUUACAAAGGAAAUUUUUAAAAAUGGAAGAAUUUGCAAAUUAUCUAGGUCUAUAGCAAAAUUUUAAUCCAACUACAAAAUGGAUAACUAAAAUUUUAACCCGAAUUCAAACUAUUCAUUUUUUUUUUCUACAUGUAAAUAGUUUUCAUUUUCUUCUUUCAUGUAAAUUCUGGUUUUGUUUUAUAAAUAGUUUGGAUUUUUUUGAUACGUUUAAAAAUGUCAUUCUUUUAAUAAUUCAUUUGUUUGUAUUUACUCCUUAAAAAAAUAAAAAUAUACUUUGAACGGCUAAAAUAUUGGUUAUCAUAUUGAUUAAAAUUCUGUCAUGAAUUGUAUAUAUUUUGUAAAUUCUUCUUAGUUUUUUUUUGAGUCGUUCCAUUUUUUAAAAUAAAAUGAAAAUAAGUAAAAUUGAGCCCUAAACAUAUGUAUGUAUCUUCCUCUCACUUUCAAGUCUCACGUGCUUCACCUUCCGUCUUUAGCAGCUCAGCUCCGCCGCUGCCACUUUCCAGUUCGUUGUCGCCGCCGUUCUUCCGCUCGUGCCAGCGCCGCAUCCCUCCUAACGGAUCUUCACUGAUUUUCCACUCGGUUGUUGCUACUGGUAUUAUCCCAAUCUCCAUCUAUAUCUAUCUCUUCACUUCAAAAACAUAAAUUAGGGCUUUUCUAAUGAAAAAAUGGAAUAUUUGUUUUUGUUUUUGUUUUUCUUAAUAACCAUACCCGAAUAGCAACGAAAAUAGAAGAAACCCACCUUUUGAUUUGCUGCAUAUGUCUGUCAAUUGAGGCGUCCAUAUAUCUCUUUGGUCUCUGCUGAAAAUUUCCUUGCUUCUGCACCAAUGAAUUUUCCAGCUUCUCCCUCGUCAGUUGAAGUAAUCCAAUUCUCUUUUAAUUCCAAUGAGUGUUUUAUUUUAAUUGACUUCCUCAACCGUAUUUAUUUUUGUAUAUUUGUUGAAGCAGUACGCUGACCAGCGGUACUUUAAAUUUACUGAAAAUAAGAGCCUUCUCUAUUCUUUGUUCUUCAUGUUCUUGAUUUAAAAUAUGUAUAUUUGGGGUAAAAUAUACAUAUUUUUGGAAGUGGAGGGCUCAAGGGACCUAAAGAUUCUGCUUUUAUAUAUGGUAUGGAUUUUUUUAGGAUUCUCUUAAUGUUUUUGGAGAGAAAACAAUAUCAAUGAUUCUAUGAAAUUUACAAAUUGAGUAAUGGUAUGUUGAAAAUUAUAAUUGUUGUAAGCAGAGACGUGUGAAGUGUGUACAACAAUAUGAACCUAGAAAAGGUUUCUUGUGAAUCAAAGCUUCAGGAGAUCUACCAUUAAAUUUUUGUUGUUGUUCCUUUAAUUGCAUAUAAUCCGAUAGAAAGAAAGAAAAAGUUGUUGAUGUUGAGCCGGAGUGCCUGUUUUGCCUACUUGAAUGAAUGGUCCUUGAACAGGCUGAGCUGCCAGUAUUUUAUGUUGAAUGAGAAUGGGAGUGUCAAAAUCCAACAAUUAAAGGCUGUUUGAAAGUGAACCCAAAUCCUGUUUGAAAAUUGGCAGUGUAUGAAAAGAUGGUCUUGAGUCUCAUGAUCAGAGCUGCAUAAACAGCAGCAAUUUGGGGAGAGACUGAUCCAGGGGUGCUUUAUUUGAAUUGUGUUCCUUGUGUGGUUUCAUUUUAGAAUUUUAGGCUGAUUUCCCAUAAAAAGAAUUUUAAGUGUCUUUUGAAAGAACCCCUUUCUGAAUCAGUUUGUAUUGUCUGGAUGAUUGCUUUCUGACAUAGUUGAUAGGCCACUGACUUUUUUCCCAAUUCCCAGUUGACGUACUUACAGGGUGUAAUGAUUUCUAUUAACUAUUAUUUAGCUUACCGACUGUUUUCAUGACGAGAAAUGAUUUGUUUCCCAGUGGGCACAGUAGGUGUCUAAUUGAGAGAGAGAGUGCUGAGUGUGUAAUUUUCUGCUAUUGAUAAGGGAGAUUGAGUUACUUGUUUCUGAAUAUGAGAAGUUUUGAGUUUAUGGCCUUAACGCUUGACUUCUUGCUUUUAAAAUCAAGAUUUUGAUAGAACACUGAUACAAUGUUUCUAUUUUAUUGAUACCUUCAACAGAAUUACAAUAUAAAAGAAGUAAAAUAAUAAGUGAAAAAAGAACCCUAAUCGUCUGCCCUUCCUCUCUUUCAAGGAAUAGAGAAAUUUUGCAGCCUUAUUUCUUCACCAAAUUCUUCAUACCCUUCUUCCCUCCCCAACUUCCUAUUUAUAACCAACCAACUACCAACAAAUCUAAUUACACUUUUACCCCUGUCCUAUACUAAUCUAGGUAUCUAACAGAUUUCCUCUAUCCAAAACUUCUACCUCCAUCCCUUAUUUCGCCUGAAGUCUGUUCAAUCAGCUGAACUUCAGAUUACAAAAAUUAGCCAAGGGCCACAAAGAAUUUGUAGAAUGGUGACAAAUCCAUUUAAAUUCCGGUUUGGUGCAGCCACCACCCACACCAAUCUUUUAUACUGUUCUUUGGAUCUGAAAGAGUAAUCUGAACCUCUUUCUGUCAUCUCUUGCCACUCUAUAUUCUGAAUCUAGGUAGCUUCUCUGGCUUUUGUGUAUUUCUUCACUUUGAAAUGUUCAUAGUAAAUAAUUAUUGUGAGGAAAUGAACGUGGCCAGACCUUAAUUAUUGAAAGCCAAGAAUUGUUUGACUAAAUACAACUAGCUCUUCAUUUAAAGGAGUUCAAUCAUUAAGAGGUAAAAAGGAAGACAUAGUUUCAAUAACUAACUAAGAGGUCAUGUAUUCAAUUCAUAGUAGCCGCCUAGGAAUUAAUUUCCUACAAGUUUUCUUUCACCAAAAUGUUGUUGGGUCAGACGAGUUGUCUCGUGAGAUUAGUCGAGUUGUGCGUAAGCUAGUCCAGACACUCACAGAUGUAAUGGAUGGAGUUCGACUCUUUGCUUUUGGGUGCUGUUAUUUUACUCAUAGCUAUGUUUCUGUCUUUCUUAUUGCAUUUGCAUCUGUAAAAAGUUUUCUUGUAGUGUGUGAUAUUCAAUCAUAAUUUAUUUGUGUUAUUUCUCUGAUCAUUUCUUUUAAUGGUUCUACUUAUGUUAUGGAAUUACUUUUUUUUAAUAAAAAAGACACAUAUUCUUACUCGAAAAGUUAUUGAUGUUUGUUGUUUUUUCUUUGACUAUUAACAGUUGGAACUUCUCUGCUUGGAGUUCUCCAUAAAAUGGCGUUGGUUGUGAUCUGUGGCCAGCCAUGCAGUGGGAAGUCCACUGCUGCACUCUGCUUAGCUGAAGCUCUCAAGGAAUCAAAUGUAAAAGAAGCCAUUAAGAUUAUCGAUGAAACUUCUCUUCAUUUGGAUCGGAAUCAGAGCUAUGCCAACAUGCCUGCUGAAAAAAAUCUAAGAGGAGUUCUCAGAUCUGAAGUUGAUAGAUCUGUAUCUAAAGAUAGCAUUGUCAUUGUAGACUCUUUGAACAGUAUAAAGGGUUAUCGAUAUGAACUGUGGUGUUUGGCUCGUGGAACAGGAAUCAGGUAUUGUGUGCUGUACUGCGACGUGGAAGAAACCAAUUGUAGGAAGUGGAAUGAAGAGCGUCGUGAGAAAGAAGAAGCGAGCUAUGAUGAUAAGAUAUUCGAAGAUCUUCUCAGAAGGUUUGAGAGGCCAAAUAGUAGAAAUAGAUGGGACUCACCAUUGUUUGAGUUAUUCCCACAUAAAGAUGGAAUCGAGAAAUCAUCUCAGGUUAUUCUAGAUGCUGUAUCAUACCUGACUAAAACAGUGGACUCAAAGUCUCGUGAUGUAAAAAUUUUACAGCCAACAAUUGCUACUCAGAGCUCUCGAUUUUCGGAGGCUAACUCUCUAUAUGAGUUGGACAAAGCGACGCAAGAGGUGGUUAAUGCUAUUGUAGAAGCCCAAUCUCUGGGAGGGCCUCUGAAUAGUAUCUCUCUGGGUCAGGAAUUACCAACCAUUGACAUUUCAAGGUCGGUUGGACUACCGGAGCUUCGAAGACUACGGAGAACUUUCAUCAAACUAACAGGGCAAACUAGUUUAAGCGGACGACCACCACCCUCUGAUGCCGAGAGUGCCAAGAGGAUGUUUGUUGACUACCUGAAUAGGGAACUGGGGACUUCUUGAAAGUUGAAACUAGAUUAACCUGAAUGAUAAGCUGUAUACUUGUAGCAUAUGAACUACCAAACUUUACAAAGCAAGAGGUAACAGAGAUAUCACUCUUCUUUCUGGCAACUUUGCCAUCAAUUAUUUAAGCUUUGUUGUUAUCGAUGUUUUUUCUCUUAGUAAUCAUAAUAUCUAUGUCCUCGCUGUUACAGAACUAUAGUCAUAUUCUGACAUGAGAUUUUCAGCUCAUACGGUUCCUUGAGGGUCGUAAAUAAAUCUAAGGAGCACAUCAGGAUUAUUUGUAGAUUAUGCUUUGGAAAAUUACGGUCCUUAUAUAUUCACACACACAUGAUAUAUACAUAUACAUAGUUAAUGAGUUAAUUCAAAGAGAAAAUGAGUGAAUCUUUGGUUUCUUCUUUAAAACGAGUUCCAAGAUUGUGUAAUUGUUCUAUUAAUGAGUUCAUACUUUGUUCAUGCUUUUGAUGUGAAUGAGUUUCUUUCUUUGAUAAUGCAUUUCAUGGGUCUUUUAAUGAGUUAAUUUUAUGGUUCGACUGCUGCUCAGACAACUCUACAAGAUAGGGUAUCUAUCGAGACACUGGAUAGGAUCGGGGAAGGGAGGUAUUAUAGAAGUGCAUUUAGAGUCAGAAGUACUUUCUUUAUAUGAGUAGGAAUAGGUACACUGAGAAUAGAGGAAGGGUAUCUAUCAAGGUCUUUCUUGAUUCCGGAAUUCUUAGAAUAAGAUCUCGAAUGAGACAAAGCAAUCACUCUUCCAGAGUAUCUUAGAUUAGGAGUCUUGCUUCCCGUAUCAUAAUAGGAGCUGCUUGACCAAUAGAGAAUAGAGCCGGAAGUCUCUCUUUUUGUUUCAUAGUCAGAAGUACUCUCUUUCUUGAGUUGCAACAAUAGGAAGAGCUCCUCUCAUUGUGCACAUUGAAUAAACCCUUCUCAGUUGUUUCAGAGUCAGACCUGGACAAGUUCUAGAGUAAGAAGAAGGGAGGGAGACAUGAUCGAUUGGAGGAGAAAGAGUUAGAGGUUAGAGAAGUUUCUCUUUCAUGAGUCACUGAACUAAAUAGGGUUCGAAUCCGAAUUGCAAAGAAACCUGUGGGGUAUGCUGCAAGACAAAUAUCUUAUUUCGGACUUCUUAUCAUAUCUAGCCUCUUAUCUUCUGCUGCUGCACGUCUUGGGUUGAGUCGAGCAACUUUUCCCUUCAUUAACUUCUUCCACGGAGAAUGACAUUGCACUUCUGUAAGAGUGAAAGAAUAGUGCGAGCUUCCCCCUGAUGUAGUCGAAAGAUCUAAUCCCACCGACCACCCUACAACGGGGGACCCGGACUAUGAAGAAAGAUCUCCUGCUUCCGCAACUUAUGAAAAGAGGUCAAGCUCUUGGCUCCUUUCCAUGAGAGAGAUCAGAUGUGCUCCGGUGGGGAAAGCUGAGUAGUUCAGUUGCCUUUGAUUGUGAGUUCAUUGGGAAUCUUUGAAAUCACCUCAAGGCUCAACCUAUAGAGGAGAGGAACUUGGUUAGUUUAUCUUUUCCAAUACUCAAAUAAAUAUUAGAUAAAUGUCUAUUUUUAUCUUGAAUUUCAAUUCUCAUCAAAUUAUUGAAGUUAAGUGCCUGGAAAAUAUUUUGUUUUUAUAAAAGAUUAUGUUUUACAAAUAUAUUUUAAAAAGUGAUUUUAAAAAAAUAAUAAUAAUAAAGAGCGCUUCAUAUACUCUUUAUAGAAAAAACCACUAAAAACCAAAUUUUAUCACAUUUAUUUUUCUAUGGAGUGUUUUAAGUUAUAAAAUAUUAAGUAUACAAAAUUGGUAAAUUUUCAAAUAAUGAAGACAUUAGGGAUUUUUCUUUUAAUUAAAAUUAUAUACUUUUUAAUUGGAAAAUUGUCAAAGAAAAAAUUGAACAAAAUACUUACCUUUCAUAAAAAAAAAUGAAUUAUUAUUCUUUUAGUGGUUUUUUCUUUAGAAAAAUGAUUUUUUUUUUUUUUUUUUUGAAGUUUAUAGUUUGUUUUUCUUUUUAUUACUCUUGAAAGUAAACCUCUUUUUAAUUUGAAUAUUAGUCAAAGUUGAAUUUUUACAAAACUAUUGUUGAAAUUAUUGAAUUUAGUUUUACAUUACGUUUGGUCAGACUAUUGGAUAGAACUUAGAAGGUGGAAAUCGCAACAUUUAAUUUACCAAUUGAUGGAACAAUGAAAUUAAUUUAAACGAAUUGAUAUUCAUAUUAGAUUACGGUAUCUAUCUCUCACAAAUGUUAAAGAAAAAAAAAUAACAUAUAUACACACACAUUGUAAUUAUCAAGAUUUCAUACUGAAUCUGAUUAUUUUCUCUCUCAAUAUUUAAAGAAUUAAAAUUUUUAAUUUAAAUUAGUUAAAAAAAAAAAAUUCUCUUCUCCCAUUUAAGAAUAUCAAUGUCGAGAUUUCAAUUUUAAAGAUACAUUGAUGAUAGAAUAUUAAUACCAAAUUUAUUUAGAUUAAUAAGUAACUUAUUCUUACUCAAAAAUAAGAUUAAAAAAUACUGUUAUUAGUAGUCAUAUUCUUAAUCCAUGAUUAACAACAAUCCACGGAUUGUUCUAACCCUAUAAUGAGCAUUCAUGUCCAUCACAUUGCGAAUCAUAUUAAAUGGAGGCAAUGGGUUUUCUUGAGUCAGUCUCCUUGGAUGAUCAGAGAAAAUUAAUGGCAAUUUUUCACAAUUGAGCUCCAUUCAUUCAGUCUUUACAUCUUGCAAGUCUUCAGCCGUCAGUAAAGCAAAAAGGAAUAAUUAAUUUGAACAACGAUGAAUGAAUCUGUGAAUGUUUUGCUAAUCAAGCUACGCACGGACAAAACUUGAGGGAGGAAAACUCAAUUGAACGAAAAAAUCAAUCGGUGAUGAAAGAAAAUAUGCUGCAUUCAACAUAGAAGAAUGUACUGAUAAUUAAAAGAUAACUAUUUAUUACCAAGUUGGUUUGUUGUUUAAUUACAUUACAUAACUAAUUUUCAUUAGUAGAGACGAAAUACUAACCAUGAACAUCUUCCAAAUAAGUUGAACCCAACUUACAAGUUAUGUUCUGGACUGCAAUCCACCUUUUUGUUUGUUGGUUCAAUCAAACAUGAUGUGAGGGGCUUACAACAAGUUUGAAUGUCUUCCUCCAUUCCCCACAUAGGUAUGACCUCUCCCUUUCUGUAAUCAGGCAGAAUCAGCAAAUCAGUUUAAUAAGAUCUUUUUUAGGUGGUUUAGCCAACGAGUAAAGUUGUAAAUUUUAGGAUAUUGUGAACUCAUUAGAGCUGAGUUCACAGGGUAAAGAGGUAAUAAAGCAUAAAAUUGAUGUUUUUUAGUUUGGGACCCACAAACUCUUAGAGUCAAUAAGGAGGUGAGUUCGCAAAUUCCUCCCCUUCCAACUCGUCCUCCUCAAACCCCUUGAGCCAAACACCUUCAUGACACUUCUAACUAUAGUGUUCAGAUAGAACAACAGAGACAACAUAGAAAGCUUAUCAAAGUAAAUAAUUUGCCUGAAAUAAGUUACUGUUUUGAGAGCAUUAACAAGUCAUUUAGCCAAAGCAGUAAUUGCUACGACCAUCCUAGAGGUGAGAGGUCAGAAUUCCCCAACAUCCAAUUUUUGUAAAAAGAAGAAACAAGCAGUUAGUUCUGAGUAUAGGAUCCUUACUGUGACAGAUAACAGUUAACAACCGCUGAUUUUUGCCACACGAAAGGUUCUAAUAACCAACCUUCACUUUUCCAACAACAUCCUAACAUUUCAACCAUUUUUGAGAUGUAUCUUCCUUUCCACCUAGUUACUGCUUGGCUGCUAAGUGAAGUCACUCUCGAACUUCUUUCCAGUUUCUAAAGUUAUUAAACAAUUAUACGUUUUAUAAUAGACAUGCAAGAGAAAAUAUCCAUUUUUUUUCCUCGUGUUGUUAAUUUCAGUAUCUCAAAAUGCCUAUCAUGUUCCUACUGGAAGCACAAUGACUGCAAUGAAUCCAGUCAAUUGACAGUGAUGGAUAUGGAAGCUGUCUUGUACAAUUUGAUGUGUACAAUUGCUAUACUCGAUAGAUCCAGUUAUGCAGUUACUAUAGUCGUUAGAUUCAGGCUCAGAAGCUACCAGUUCAAAGAUCCUAUCCGUAGAAGAUCCUCCAAAGACUGUUUUGAUCGAAGCUAAAGUAACGAUGCACAAGAGUAACCAGUUUAUAAUCGAUCUACGGCGAAAAUACACAAUGAACCAGGAGCUUUCCAUAUUCAAUUGUGAAACUCAGUUAUACAUGGAGUCGAUCAGCCUAAAUUCAUAAUCCAUGAUUAACAAUCCUCAUGUUCUUGUAUAUUUACUGCCUGUUAAUGACAGGGGUAGGAAUCAAUUGACUUCAGGUUGAAGGUGAUAAAGUUUUGAAGAACUGGGUUGAGGCAGAUUUGAUGUGUAGGGUUAGUUUUUUUUUCCUUUUUCCAUGUCAGCAACGCCAAAUUUUUUGUCCAAUUUUGUGCAGUCAUUCCUUGAGGUUCAUGGAUUCUCUCCUCAAAGGGGAAAUUGUUUAUUAUGAUUCUUUUUCUCUGUACAGACAGUACCUAAUGUACAAAUAUUGAAUAGGAAAAACAGGCACCAAAGCCAUAGUGGAUUUCUUUCCUUCUUCUUUGUGGCAGUGUUAUACAGUUGCAAUGUCAAACUCAAACUCACAUCGUCCAAGGACUUUUUGGGACUUGGCACUGCCUCUACCUCUAUUUUGGACCUGAAAAGUUCAACAUAAGAUUCUCCAGAAUGGAACUGAAUAUCCUUGACAGAUUUAGGGUGGUGUGUUUGUGAGUGAUUUUGAUAUGGUUAAUAUCAUUUUCUGUCAUGUUUAAAGGAUGCCUUUGUUGUGUCUAAAUCCACCAUAAAACAUUAUUAAAUCAAGUUAAUCAAAUGCGUUGAAAUUGAUUUUGAAUCAUUAAAAGUAGUUUCAAAUUGAUUUUAAAAAUGACAAAAGUGACUUUAACUAUUUGAAAACCACUCCCAAAGAUGCAAAAAAGAAAAAAAAAUCACCCUGAAAAAUAGUUUUAAAUUUAAUCAUUCAAAAGCAUUCUUAAAUUUUAUUUGUUAAGAAACACAACUAAAAGUGUGAAACCAAAUAUUAAUUUGAUUUUGAAUAAUUAGACAUGUUUUGAAGAGAUUAUGAACAUGACAAAAGUGACUAACCAUUUUGGAAUCAUUUCUGAAGAUGCCUUUAGCAAUAUGUUACCAUUGAUGAAGAGUUAGGGUCAAGUUUGUUCUUUGCUUUGACAUUCAUAAAUUAGGGCAGGCAUUAAGAAUAAGAAAAACAUCCUUACCCACAAAUAAAUUUGCACUUUAUCAACUAAUGUUGCCUUUUCAAAUCAGCAAAACUUCUCAAGUUCAAGCAUCUGCUAGAGAAAUGUAAACAAUGAAACAAACAUAUAACAGAACAUCAGAAAAACGUAUUAAAUAACUAAUGAAACUAAAAUAGUACCUCCAACACAUUACCGAAGAAGUAGAUGGAAAUCACGCCUCAAACACUUAAUCCUUUCAACUUAACACAGUAGAUAAGUUUGCUCAUCAACGUCAUGAAGCAAUUCGUUAUCCAGUAACGCAUUUCAUUUAUCUACAACAUAUCACAGAAAUAGAUGGAAAUCACCUGAAUGCCUAAUCCUUUCAACUCAACAUAGUUGUUAAGUUUGCCCUCAACGGCAUCGUGAAUCGAAUCAUAAUCCAGUAAGGCUUUUGAUUUAUCUUCAACACAUCAAAGAAGAAGGAGACGGAAAUCACCUGAAACACCUAAUCCUUUCAACUCAACACAGUCAAUAAGUUUGCUCGAUAACGUCAUGAGGUGGUUCAUAAUCCAAUAAGGCAUUUCAUUUCAAAUCUGUUACUGCUCGAUUUCUCCUCCUAUCUCUAGUGGUCAUUUUCUCCCCAUAUCUCUGAAAAAUAUCAGCCAAAUCAACCAAUCCAACUUCUCUCAACUUAUUCCCCACCUCUCUAAACAUUACCACCCCCUCCUCAUUCGAAUAGUAAUGUAAAAAUUUGUUGUAAUCAAACCUUGGCACUUCAAGCCCUCUUUUCAUAAGUCUCUCCACAUACUUUGUAGCCUCCAAUGACUUCCCAUUCUUCACCAACCCUCCAACAAAAAUACUAUCAAAAUUCACAAGUGGAUCCGAUCCUUUCCUCCCCCUUUUCCCUAGAUGUCCUUGCAACAACAUUAUAUAUGUAUGCAUUAUAGGCUCACACCCUCUUUCUAUCAUUUCCCUGAAAACUUGAGUUGCUUCAUUUGCCCUUUUCAACUUCAAAAGUCCCUUGAUAAAUGCAUGAUACACAUCCAAAUCAGGAUUCUCAAUUCGUCUCAUUAUAUUAUAAGCUUCUCUCCUCCUCCCUCUUGCUAAAAGUCCAUAAAUAAGUGAAGAAUGUACCGAAUUAUCAACUUCAAGUCCUCUCUUAUGCAUUUCGUCAAACACAAUGAAUGCUUGUCCCACCUUACCUUUAUUACACAACCAUCUUAUCACAAGACUAUAAGUUGAAGGAAUCAAAUCAUUCAUCCUAUCUGAUCUAAGUGCCUGGAAAAGUUUCAAAGCUUCGUCCAAUUUAUUGGUCUUGAAAAGAACAUUCAUCAUCUCCUCCACAGCUUCCAUUUCAGGCUCAAACCCUUCAUCCACCAUUAAGUUCCACAUCUUUGAAGCCUCAAUCAAAUCCCCCACAUUGCAAAACCCCUUAAUCAACAACUUAUAAGUAACCCCAUCAGCUUUGAUCCAUUCAUUCAAUUUCAUAACCAAAAACUUAGCCUCAUCCACUAGUUUACAGCCACACAAUUUCUCAACUACUCUAUUCAAAGUUACUAAACUAUAACAAAACCCAUACCCAUUCAUCAAAUGGAAAAACUCUACACAUUUCUUCAACUCUCUGGCCGUCGCCAGAGUUCUCAGAGCAACAACAAAGGUUUUAUCAUUAACCAACCGCCGCCGCCCCAUUUCUUGAAUCAAACCCCACAAGAGAUCGAUAUUUCGUGACUUCCCAACAACAUCAAUCAACUUGUUGAAAGAGACAGCCGUGUGAGUGAAAUUGGGGUGAGUUUCGGUGAAUUGGAAGAAUCGAUAAACGGGACGCCAUGAGAGAGGGAAAGUGUUGCAUACCUGGAGGAAGAAUUCGUGUGAGAGGUUGAAAUUACAGGCGAGAAGUUUGGUGUGAAGCUUGAGAUCGGGGGAGUUCUGUUGCUGAUACAAAACGGUACAAACACGGCGGAGAUGGGUCGAGUCGAUUGGCUGAGGAAUGUUGUCGGCAGCCGUGGAGGAGUCGGAAGUAAAGGGAGAAAAACGUUGAUGAAAGAUAAAGGAAAAUGAGAAAUUAUUGAUGAUGAUACGUCGAUAGGUAAUGGCUGCCAUUUUGUUUCGCCAUUAGAGAGGGAAAUGGAGAAAAACAUAGCAGCUCGAAUUUAUAGAGAAGGAGAGAAACCAAAUAUUGAAGGGGAAAAGUAUAAAAGUAUAAAAGUAUAAAUAAAAAAUGGAGAUGCAGGGGAUCGAACCCUGUACCUCUCGCAUGCAAAGCGAGCGCUCUACCAUUUGAGCUACAUCCCCAUGUUUUGAUAACCAAUUUAUAUCAUUUUUAAUUAUUAAAAUCUUAAAAUUUUUUGAUGGAAUAGUUUCCUAAAAUUUAUUAAAAAUAUAUAUAUAAUUAAUAAAGUAAAUUGAUUAUAUAUAAUUAUAUAUAAUUAUAUAUAAUUAUUAAAGUCAUGUGUAUUAGAGUACAAUUUAUUAUUCUUAUUAUUAUUUGGUUAUGUACUUGAAACGAACACUUGAAUAUGUGCUAAUGAUAGCAAACCUUAAUUGUGAUAUUAAAAACAAUGGUUUGAAAAGCAUAAUAGUAAUCUGUUAUAUGUUUUAAUAAUAACUAAAAAAACAAUAUAUAUAAAUUUAAAAAAUAUAUUUGAAAAAAAAAGAUAAUUAUAUAUACUAACAACUACCCGAGCCUAUUAUCCAAAUAUAGCCCGAGGAAGUCAUAGAAUAGCUGAAUUUUGAAAAUAGUGAAUUCAAAUCAUAUCUAACCUAUCGAAUAAAUGGAGGAAACCGAAUGUAUCCCAAAACUUGAGUGGAGCCAACCAUUAGAUUUGAAACACUGUGACACUCCAAAACUAGCAAGUUAUUUUAAUUUUUUUAGUUGUUAGUUUUUGGAAAUUGAAAUUCUAUUUUUUAGAAUUUAGUUUUGGAUUUAUUGGUUCGUGAAUUAAAUAUUUUUUUAUUUUGAUUCUAUCUUAAUUGCUUAUUUAUUUUUAUUAUUUAAAGCUUUUCUUCAAACUUUAAAUUAUUUUCUUAUAUAUUUAAAUAAAAAAAAUCUAUAAUUAUUUAAAUAAUAAUAACCUCAAAAGUUGGGUUGUUCAUUAUUGGUUAUUGAGCUAACACAAAGGUUAUUGACAAAAGUCAUAUUUUCAUUUACAUGAACGGUGAGUUAAAAAGCAUAUUAUCCGUCUAUGGAAUCCAAAGGAGAGCUUCUAAUUUCUAAAUCCCAAUUCCCACUCCUUCAAAAAUCACCAUAGUGAUAAUUUAAUACAAUAUGUAUCAUACAGAAUUAACAUUCUCAUUCCUCCAUUAUCCAACCAAACAAAAGAAGGAAUUAAAUACCAAAGCCUUUUUUUUCUCUCUCUCUCUUUCACAAUUUAUUAAAAUUUAUUUAUUCAAUGCAAGUUCAAAUCACAUUUCUUGAUAAGUACUUAAAAUUUGUGAACCAGACUUGUGUGCUAAGGCAAUUUCAACGGAGGUAUUUACUUGAGUUUGUCAAAUGAUGCAUCACCAAAAUUGCUUCCCAUUGGAAUGUUAUCUGGUGGAACAUGAAAACGGAGAUCACCAUCCAAACGCCAAUGUUUCCUGGUCAAUAAAUUUGUGGAUAAGUGAACAUUGAUGAAGCAUGCACUAAGAUUUAGUUAUUCAUUUACCAUUCAACAAAAAUUCCAAAUAUAACAAAAUUUAUAUUUUAACUUCCAAAGUUUGUCUAUUAGUAAGACUAUGUUGUAGAAGUCAAUCACCAAUAAAUUUUGGUGUAUUUAUAAAAAAAAAUUAAAUAUUGAUAUACACUUAACUAUAGACCUAAAAGUGUUGCCAUGGUUAAUUACCCUGUUUUUCAUGAGAAUUGUUAUUAUUUAACCAAUUUCAAAGAAGUAGAGGACCAAAAUAACUUAACGAAAUUCUAUUAAGAUGUCAAAAUUGCCCUACGGAAAGUAAACAGAUUUCCUUGAAAAUUUAAAGAAAGAAGCUAUUCUUGCUUCCGAUACGUACCACAAAAAGAAUUCUUCCUAAAUCUUGACUUUGAACUUAUUAGUCAACUUCCAAAAAUAAUGUUGAGAAAAAGAGGAGAGAUUACGUAUGUACCUGACCAUUAGAAGAUAAAUCUUGGAUUACAUUUCUAAAUCUUCCUCUCCAGAGGCUUUUCUUGAUUCAUUUUCUGCCACCUAAUGCAGGAAGUUUCCAAGCAACCUCUGAUCGAAAAUCAUGUUUGGAACCUAGAAGAAGAAGCAAAGCUACUGAGUUAGGUCCUAGGCAUCAAUGCAUGUGAUGUAUGACAGUAUAAGCAAGAAAACAGAACGUGCCUUGUCCCCGAAGAAAAUCUUUGUAUUAUCAGCAAUGGCCUCGAUAAAUUUUAGCUCAAGAAACUGGGGUGUAAGCUUCAACUUGUUAGCUUCAGCUUCUUUUAGUACACUGAGAAGAAGGAAGAUGAGAGAACAUUUAUGUCAUUAGGUAUUCGGUAUCGGUGCAACAGGCAUUCAUUCCUCACUUUGAAAGCAAAAUGAGAAAGUACCGGUAAUAAUUGGCAUCCGCGAGACUCUUUUCACGAGCAAGAUAGAUAUGGUUAUCAAUUUCUUGUUGUCUCCUGGAACUCUCCUUCUCCAUCAAUUUCUGUUCCAUGAGGAUCCUGCUAACAUUAGCAUUCUUCUCGGCUUCGCUAAUUGCCAUUUUUUUUUUGGUCUCUGCUUCUUUCUCUACUACCCUUUGGCUCUCUACGGCAAUUAGAACCUAUCCAAGUAUGCCAAGAUUCAUUAGAAUAAAUACAAGCAGAAAUAUGUAUUUUAUUGAAAUAAUAAUAAUAAUUAUAAUAAAAGUCUUGAAAGGAUGAACUUUAGGUUUCUAGCUGCAUAAAGCACUAAAUGGUGUAAAUUUGGACGAAAUUUGGUCCAAAACAUUAAGAAGUAGCAUGAAAAUAUGGGUUUCUAGGUUUCUAAAGCUCUAAGAAUCGUCUAAUGAACUUUGGUUCAAAACGUUAUUCAUAUGAAUAUUGUGGACCUAAAAUACACCUUCACAGGUAUUCAUGCUAAUUUUUUUAAUUAAAGAGGUAAACUCUAUUUUGAAUUAUUAUGACGUGUAAGACUAAAGAACCAACAAUACACUUAAUACAAGGCACAUACUUUCAGCACUAGCCUUUGUGAGCCUCUGAUUUAUACCUUGUUUGAAACUCAAACAAAACGAGAAUAAAGUUGGUUUCCCAUGUUAGAGAUGUACCUUUGUACGUUCCACUUCCAUGUCUUCAAAGUUCUUUCUGAUAGAAUUUGGGAUGGUAGGUUUGGUUACACGAACACUGACUAUUUCAAUACCAGGAGCAUAACGUGUACAGUCACCUUGGAGGGCAUCUUUCAUUGUUUCAUCGAUCUAAACAUGAAAACCAGUCACGGAUCAUUCAUACUAAAGAAACGCUUGAUGCCAAUCAAGAAAGAAUAUACGAGAAGUUUCAUGGAAACAUAAGCUUUUACAGCCUCAAUCAGAUUCCUUGAAAGAAUGGAAAGCUGAAGAAAAGAAAAAUAUCUGGCACAAAUGAAUACAAAUAAGGCAGUAAGUUGCCAAAAUACUCAAGGUGGACAAUUUCACUAGCUAGAGUUUACAAUUCGCACGGUGCUCUUAUCAGCUCUGCAAGCCGUUUGUGAAAAUAAAAAGAUGCAAGGCUUUAAAAGCACACACCUGAUCAAAGACAUCAAUAUAAACUUGUUGAAGACUGUGGGAGCUACAAAACUGAUUGAUCUCAUGAUGAAUUUUAUCAUAUAUCCAUAUGUUAUCAUAAUUCACACCAUAGUUGACCAGGGUGUCAUACACAUAUUCUUUGCGGAGGCGAUUGACAACCUGAAAGUAGCAUCCUUAUCAACUAAGAUGAAAAACAUGAAAAUCUAACAUCAAUAAUUGUGAAGGAAUUUCAUAGUAAUUGCACCUCUAUUUUCUCGAAGUUGAUCAUCACACCCCCUUAGUACCACAUGGAAUGUCCCUUACCUGGAUGUGGACAUCAAUUAGAACAUCUUCAAAAUAUUGAAAUCCUAGAAUCGACGUUAAAUUCUAACUUACUUGAUCGGUCUGGAGGGUCACUUGAACAGCCACAAACUGGGUUAUCAGUGGCAACUUCAGAUGGAAACCUGAAAUUUUUAACAUGAAAAAAAUAAAAGGACAUACGAUAUGCAUAACAACAAAAAAAGGUAGGAAGGAGAGACUUAAACCUGGAUCAGUUAUUGUCUUCAGAAGGGCACCUCCUCUCCAAUAUACCCCCACGUGACCCUCCGGUACUUGAUGUAAAAUAGAAAGAUUAUUUGACAAGUUUGAUUGAGAUGGAAAGAGCACCUACAUGUAUGUAAUACAGUUAUACAGCCAGUAGAAUCAACCAGAUAAGUUACAGUGAUUUUGUAAUUGUUCAUUGUACACACUUAGGCACAAAAAAUGGGAAUGCCAAAUAAACAUUUAUAAGGUGAUACAACUUCUUGACCACGUUUUGUGUAUGUUAAUCAGUAUUUGGACAACUAGUACGGAUCCAAUUGUCAAUUGUGCUUUCCCUCGGUUGAUUGUCCUAUGAAAACUAAUACUGAUCCAAAAUCUACUUUAUAUAUUAAACUUAGCAGACCUGCCAUGUGUGAAACGUAGAAUUUAUCAAGUUUACAUAAACCGUCCGCUGUUUGCUUCAAUUUGUUGAACCUUUUUUCUUAUACGACAAAAUUUGGCCAAAAUUUCUCAACUAUGUCAGACUCCACAUUUAAAAGCCAUGGCCGAACUAGCUACAAGAAGAUCAGAGAUUCAUAAGACUACUCUGUAAUAGAAACUAGAUAGAAACUUCUUUCUUCAUUUUUUAAUAGUACAUCAUUGGAUUUUGCGAAUCUCAUACUCAUACGCUUGAUGUUUCCAUCGAUGGCACUACUCCAUGUGUAUUUUAAUCAAUUGGGUAAUCUCUCUGUAACUCCCACAUACGGCACUGGAUAUGACUUAAAAACAAGUAAACAAACAAGUAUGCAAUCAAACAGUAGUACUGAUGAACUUAUUGUAAAUCGAAGAAACGCAUUCUUUAAUACAUCAAACCAACAAACUAACUACCAAAACAAACAACGUAAAAAUCGAACGUAUUAGCAUUCUAACUCCAUUUCACAACGGAGAAAAACAUAGACGAAGAAUCAACGCAUCUAGUUGAGACAAAAUACUUUGACCUCAGAUAGAAUAGAAACAAGACGGUGUAUCAAAAAUCAAUUGUCGGAAUCUAUGGCGUAAGAAAAUCAAAAUGAAAUUUCAGAAACAAAAACACGAAACCUAGCGUGUUUUGCAGUUGGAUAAGGAAUGAAUAAGAUAUACCAUGGAAAAGAUGGCCAGGAAGGAGGCGAAAACUAGGAGUAUGGAUGAGGAACUCCCGGCGGAUUCUGGAGGACGAGGCUGCGGAGAUGGCGGUUGCAGCGGCUGAUUACGAUCCAUGGCGCGGUCUCGGUGUAGAGAAGACUGAAUCAAAUUAGUGGAGUUUUGUGUAGACUCUGAUUGGCGGAUUGAAUUUAUACUGUUUUGCUAACGGAAGGUAAAAAGAAAACUGCUGCAAGAAAGGAAUUUCUUACCUCCUAACCUUUCACGUUGGGCUGAAAAUAAAAUUAAUGGAGAAAUGUCUUUCUAUUUCUUGUAUUUUUAGAUUUUUUUUAACAUCACUUUUACGUUAAAGGUUGAUUUAGUUCCUAAAAUGGACACUUACUCAUCAAUCAAUAGACUUUAUCAGCAAUAAUGGUAUGAUUUAGUUCCUAGAGUUUACAAUAGGUAUUGAUAUGAUUUUGUUUGUGUGGGUGUUAAUUUUAGGAGAGAUAGAUAUGAUGAGAAUUUUUCAAAAACAAAUUUUGAUGAUUGGAGGGACCAUACCCUUCUCAAAAGGGCUUUCCACGUGAAAUAAUUGUAAAGUUGAGUGAAGUUUGAAUAGUAACAAACAAAAAGAUAGAAACGAAGGAGUAGUUUGUAACUUCCACGUGAAAAAUAAAACAGCCUCUCCAUUUGGAUUUGGAUAGAGAGAGGAAGAAAAAUUGCAUUUGCCCGCGCUUCCAUUAGCAAAGAUGCUGUCUCCAACAAUGGCUUCGACUUGGGGCUCGGCUCCAUUGCACAUUCAAUGGAAGAAACCGAAGCGUCCGGGUGUUAUCCUUAACGAGUUACCUUCAUUUCUUCCCAAAGAAGUCUACAACAUCAAAGACCAAUCUGCUCGAAACCUCGCUUCAAGGAUUCAGAGGCUACCCGUAAGUUCACACCUGGAAAAUCUCGUACCAUUUCGUCGUUUGCUAGUUGUUUUAACAAUCAUUUAAUGAUUAUUUCACAUGGGUUGGGGAAAACUGUAAUAGAAACUCUCAAUUCGAGGAAGUUCAAGCUAUGUUUUUUGUGGAAUUCUACCUGUUAAUGUGACUUUUGAAUCGAAGGGGUUUUAAGCUAAGAAUUGUUCUUGCUCUGCAUGUAGGUCAGCUUCUCGGAUUUUUGUAUUAUGAGUAGUUGCGUUAAGCCGUCAAUACAGAACAAAGACUGUCCUGUGGUUCUUCUCCAUGGCUUUGACAGGUUUCUUUCACUAGUUAGAAAUAAUAUUCGUGUAAAAUAAAUACAACGCUGUUUGUUGGUUCUGUUAUUAUUGUUAUUAGUUUAUCUUUUCCUCGUUCAUCACAUCUUAUUGUUCAGCUCCUGUUUAGAAUGGAGAUACACAUAUCCAUUGCUUGAGGAAGCUGGUUUAGAAACUUGGGCUGUCGACAUUCUUGGCUGGGGCUUCUCUGAUUUAGGUUUGUCUAAUUGCUUUGUGUUCCUCUAUUCAUUGAUCGAUAAACCAUUUUUUCUCUCUAAUUUUCGUAGUUGCAUGUGAUAGAAAGACUCCCACCAUGUGAUGUGACUUCUAAACGUGUUCAUUUGUAUCAGGUAAUGAAAACCCUCCUGUUUAGAUUGUUUUCCUGUAUGUAUUUGGGGCAAAUUUCUCUUCAAUUCCAAUUCUGUUUCCUUCCUGUAUGAUCUUAAUAUGCUGACACUUGCUUCAUUGUUAUAACUUAUAGGCUUGUUUUAUUUUUUCAUCAUUGCUAUAAGCUUUUGCAUUAAUCAUUAUUUUCCUGUUCUCUUUAAGUUUUUUUUUUUUUUUCCUGAAUAAUUCUUUAUUAUCAGUCACACUUAUAUCUUGUCCAGUUAUGUUGAAACUAAUUAAGUUUUCCCUUAUGCUGACUAUAGCUUUGGAAAUCUUAUAUUAAAAAGCCAAUGGUAAUUGUUGGACCAAGCCUUGGUGCUGCUGUUGCUAUUGAUUUUGCUGUCAAUUAUCCAGAAGCUGUAUGUAUCUACCAGCUGGAAUUUAUGACUACAAAUUUGAAGUUAUAUCCUCAUGUAAAGUCAUUCCAGAGAGUCUUCCGUCCAAUAUAACGAGAUUAUUUCAGGUCGAUAGGCUUGUGUUGAUUGAUGCAAGUGUAUAUGCAGAAGGUACAGGAAACUUAGCUACCUUACCAAGAUCGAUUGCCUAUGCUGGGGUGAGACUUUGCUUACUUCUGUGAACAUUACAUCAAGUGUGCCAAUGCUAAGCACAUUUGAUGAGAGAUUGAUUUUAUGCAAUUACAAUUUACAAAACCACAAAAUUUACUUCAUCUGUACAUCCUUUCCCAUCCAUUUUACCAUACCAUUAUUGCAUCACCACAUGCUUUCAUGAUAAUUCUUCUGCUAAAAUCUUCUGGGAGAGAAUCGUUCUACUAAUUUUUUAUCUACAAAUUUGAUUUUUUGCAAAGAAAUUGACAGUUUCUAGGGGGGAAGAUUUUUACACUUGUUUCUUUUCUGAAAAAUCGUCUUGGAGACACUUCUUAUGUUUGCUGAUUUCUAUGUAAGUCAUAAGUUUUUUAAACUUUUUUAUCAGGUAUUUUUAUUGAAGAGCAUUCCUUUGCGCGUAUAUGUGAAUGUUUUGACCUUCACUGGUAUACCAUUUAGUACCAGCCUGGAUUGGGCCAAUGUAAGUUUUCCCCGACAUUAAGGUGCAUGUUUAUCAUGUAGUUGUUGACUUGAUGUGUAUUUUGUGAUAUUGGAAGUUUUGCUUGACAUGAAGAUAAAAUGUCAUGUCCAUAACCAAUUGACUUACAUCCUGCUUCGACUGUUCUCCUUCUACUCUACUUAUAUUUUAUUAGAUUGGCCGCCUGCAUUGUUUAUUACCUUGGUGGGAGAUGCGACUGUUAGUUUUAUGUUAAGUGGGGGAUAUAAAGUCAGCAGCCAGAUUGAAAAGGUUAGCACAACUCUUUUGCAAUAUGGUUGUUGGAAAAUGCAAAAUGUAUCUUGUUUUUUGAAUUAGAAAAUUGCAAAUAUAUUGGUGAUCAUAAGGAAAAGUUUCCAUUCCUCGUCAAGUUAUGUAGGCGUUUUCAUCAAGGGUUGUUGGAAUGUUUUUUUGUUCUAAGGUCAUUUUCAUAUUGUUCAUUCGACAAUUAUCAUAUCGACAUUUGAGAAUCAUUAGGUACUUCUGAGAGUUACGUGCAUUUUGGUUCAACAGGUGAAGCAGAAAACGCUUAUUAUAUGGGGUGAGGAUGAUCAAAUCAUCAGCUACAAGCUUGGAGUGGUUAGUGUUGUAAUUUAGAAUUCAGAAACGUAUAUGUCUUAUUCUCAUUGAGUCAAAGCAAUGUUACAUAUUUAUAUAGAGAAUAAACUAAACCCUAGAGACUAAGUAAAAUUACAAUAAAGGACAUAUGUAUAUAUAUAUAUAUAUCAUAACACUCCCCCUCAAGCUGGAGCAAAUAUGUCGAUCAUGCCCAGCUUGUUGCACAGAUAGCUUAUCCUUGUUCCAUUUAAAGCUUUAGUUAGAAUAUCUCCCAAUUGUUCUCCGGUCUUCACAUAUCCUGUGGACACCAACCCAUCUUGGAUUUUCUCACGAAUGAAGUGACAAUCCACCUCAAUAUGUUUAGUUCUUUCAUGAAAUACUGGAUUAGAUGCAAUAUGAAGUGCAGCUUGAUUAUCACACCAUAAUUUAGCUGGCACGGUAAUACUGAAGCCUAUCUCAGAUAAUAGUUGGUGAAUCCAUACUAUUUCACACACAGAUUGUGCCAUAGCUCUAUAUUCUGACUCAGCACUCGAACGAGAAACAACAUUUUGUUUCUUACUCUUCCAUGAAACUAAGUUUCCACCUACAAAGACACAAUAUCCAGAAGUCGAUCUCCUAUCCUCACGAGACCCCGCCCAAUCAGCAUCAGAAAAACAUUCAACUCUCGUAUGUCCAUGAUCUUUGUAUAGGAUCCCACGUCCAGGAGCAGCUUUUAGAUAACACAAAAUCUGCUCUACUGCAGCCCAAUGAUCCACUGUAGGGGAAGACAUGAAUUGACUUACAACACUUACAGAAUAUGCAAUGUCUGGUCGAGUCACUGUUAAGUAGUUCAACUUCCCAACUAAUCUCCUAUAUCUCUCAGGAUCUUUACAUAAUUCUCCUUCUUUAACAAGUUGCUGAUUUGGCAUCAUUGGAGUGCCACUUGGUUUGGCGCCUAAUUUUCCUGUUUCAGACAACAAAUCAAGUACAUAUUUUCGUUGAGACAAAUAAAUACCUUUCUUGCUUCUCAUCACUUCAAUGCCCAAAAAAUAUUUCAAUUGGCCCAAAUCUUUUGUAUAAAACUGACCCUGAAGAAAAGUUUUGAGAGACGAAAUACCCAAUACAUCAUUUCCAGUAAUAACAAUAUCAUCAACAUAUACAACUAGUAGAACUAUACCCUUCUCAGAUCGGCGAUAGAAAACUGAAUGAUCAGAUGUACUCUUCUUCAUACCAAAGCAUACAAGGGCUUGACUAAACUUACCAAACCACGCACGAGGACUCUGUUUCAAACCAUACAGAGAUUUUCGAAGGCGACAUACUUUAUCACUCUCCCCCUGAGCAACAAACCCUGGUGGUUGUUCCAUAUAAACUUCCUCUUGAAGAUCACCGUGAAGAAAAGCAUUCUUAAUGUCAAGUUGAUGCAACGACCAUUUAUUGGUAGCAGCCAUGGAAAGAAAUAGGCGAAUGGAAGUUAACUUGGCAACCGGAGAGAAUGUAUCUGAAUAAUCAGUGCCAUAGAUUUGAGCAUAACCUUUGGCAACAAGGCGAGCCUUUAAACGAGCCACUGUUCCAUCAGGAUUCAUCUUGACAGCAAACACCCAUUUACAACCAAUGGCCUUCUUUCCUGCAGGACGAGAUACCAAAUCCCAAGUACCAUUAUCAUCUAAAGCAGUCAUCUCCUCAAUCAUUGCAUUUUGCCAGCCAGGAUGAGACAAAGCUUCAUGAACAGAGUUAGGAAUAGAUGUGGACUCAAGAGACGUAAUAAACGCAUAUGUGGAGGGAGAUAACUGGUGAUAGGAAAUAAAGGAAGAAACGGGGUAAGUACACUUGCGUUUACCUUUGCGAAGAGCAAUGGGAAGAUCAUCACUUGGCGCUGGAUCACAUGAAGAAGGAAGCAUUGAUGGAGGACAUGAGUCUGAAGGUUGUGGUGGAGGUCGUCGGGAGUAGACUUGAGAAAUCAACGGGCGGGAAGGAGACACAUCAGUAGACAAGGAUGGUGUGGGAGAGGUAACCUCAUAUAUAAAAAGAUUGUCAUCCUCCCCCUGACACAAACUCGAUGGUGAUGAAGUAAAGGGUGUAUCUUCAAAAAAGACAACAUCAGGUGAAACCAGAUACCUUUUAAGGGUAGGACAAUAACAACGAUAACCCUUUUGAACACGUGAAUAACCCAAGAAGAUACACUUCAAGGAUUUGGGAUCUAACUUAGUAUGAUGAGGACGAACGUCACGAACAAAACAGACACAACCAAAUAUCUUAGGAGCAAUAGGAAACAAAUGCUUGGUAGGAAAAAGAACACGACAGGGAAUCUCACCAUUAAGAACAGAGGAAGGCAUUCUAUUAAUCAAAAAACAAGCUGUAGAGACAGCAUCAACCCAAAAGAUUUUUGAAACAUGCAUUUGAAACGAUAAAGCACGGGCAGUUUCAAGUAAAUGCCUAUUUUUCCGCUCUGCAACACCAUUUUGAGAUGGAGUGUCAGCACAGGAAGAUUGAUGAAUAAUGCCAUUUUCACACAAGUAAGAGCCAAGAGAAUGAGAAAAAUAUUCACCCGCAUUAUCAGUACGCAAAGUUUUGAUAGAGACAUUAAAUUGGUUUUUUAUUUCAGUAUGAAAGGCACAAAAAUGAGAUAAUAACUCAGAACGAUUUUUCAUUAAAUAUAACCAAGUUAGACGAGAAUGAUCGUCAACAAAAGUAACAAAAUAACGAAAGCCUGUUUGAGAUACAACUGGACACGGACCCCAAAUAUCAGAAUGAACUAACUCAAAUGGAGCAAUUGCUCGUUUAUCGACUCGAGGACUCGAACUAAGACGAUGAAAUUUCGCAAAUUGACACGAAUCACAAUUUAAAGAGGACAAAGACCUAAAUUCUGGAUAAAGUUUCUUCAACACAAACAAAGAUGGAUGACCUAAACGACAAUGGACUUCAAAAGGAGAGGGAACGACAGGACACGCCACAGCUUGCGAUACUUGAUGAUCAAAGAAAUAAAGGCCUCCUGACUCAUAUCCUCUACCAAUAAUCUUCUUCGUCACACGAUCCUGAAACAAGCAAUAACCAGAAAAGAACAUGACAACACAAUUUAGGUCAUGAGUAAGUUGACUAGUAGAAAUUAAAUUAAAGGAUAAGUUAGGCAAAUGUAACACAGAAGAGAGAGAAAAGGAUGGGGUAAGGUGAAUAGUGCCAGAGCCAAGAACAGAAGAUGUGGAGCCAUCGGCCAAUGUAACAGAUGGGAAAGGGGCAGGGGACAACGGUCUAGAAAAUAGGUGAGAAUUACCUGUCAUAUGAGCUGUGGCACCAGAGUCUAUGACCCAUUUGGUAGAUGAUGUAAGAAGACACUUUAUAUUACCUGGGGCAACAGUGGAUGCAAUCGGAGUAGAGGAAGAUGACGCUUGUAAUGACUCUUGGUAAUUCUGAAACUUAGCAAACUCAUCUGCAGAAAUAGUAACUGACGCCUCUGGUAUAUCGCAUGUGGAGGCUAUCUGAGCAUGUUGAGAUCGUUGACUAUUCUUAUAUAGCAAUUUCCGACAAUCACGUUUCAUAUGGCCUGGCUUACGACAGUAGUUACAAACAAUCUCUACAGACUCUGGUUUUCGAUGAUCAGUACUAUUCCUCUGAGGUGCCCGAGGGUUAUUGUUCUUGCUAAAGAGAGCACUACUGGGUUGAGGAAUAGACACACUAGUCGGAGAGCUUUCAAUGCGAAGGACUCGAGUGAAGGCAUCAUCUAAUGAUGGAAUCUUGGAGUCAGAGAGAAUCUGUGUCUUUGCCAUUCCAAAUUCAGGUAAGAGUCCAUUCAGAAAAAUCAUAACAGCCAUCUUCUCUCGUUGAACUUGUUGAACUUUAACAUCAGGACUAAAAGGUAACAACAAGCCAAGCUCGGCAAUGAUCUUCUUAAGCCGCAUAAAGUAGCUGGUGACAGACUCAGCUUUCUGUUCCGCACGAAAAAAUUGCAUACAAACUUCAAACAUUCUAUGCACUUGCUCUUUACCUGAGUAUAGAAAAUCCAAAAAUUCCAAAAGUUCUUUAACAGACUCACAGUGAUCAACCAAUCCAAUUAUCUCACUCUCAAUUGAAUUCUUGAUCUGAAGAUAUAAACGGGCAUCAUCACGAAGCCAAUCCUUCUUCUGCUUUGCAUCUUUUGGGGAUCUUCAGUCAUAUGAUCAUCCAUAUCAGUACUUCUCAAAUAAAAUAAAAUUGUCCGACGCCAAUCGUAAUAAUUGGAUCCAUUUAACUUAUGUUCUGUGAUCUUAGAGGCCAAGGGAAUAACGUUGGAGACUACCAAAUUUUUUAUGUCGGCCAUAUUGAAGUCACACGUUGAUUGUAGUCCACUCGAACAAAGAGAAAAUCAAUCCAAACAGCUGCAAAAUUGGAAAAAGAGACAAAACCAAUCGUGUAACCUUCGGUUUUCGUCAAACCCGAAUGUUAUUUGAUAGACCCAAUGGUACAGACUGGUAGGAAACAAUGGUUCGAGAUAAGCCAGAAGACAGAAGACAAAUCGGACUUCUCACGCGCUCUCACGCGCCGGCGCGUGGGUGAAGGUGACGAUGAUUCCGGCGGCGCGUGAAGGUCACGCGCGGUGUUUUCCGGCGAUCGGCGAAGACAGACUUGGGCGGACGGAGGUGGUGCUUCUUAUGGUAUGGGCGGUGUCGACAAAUGGUCACCGGAAGGUAACCCAAACUCCAAACCUAAUGGAGGUUGACAAAUGGUCACCGGAAGGUAACCCAAACUCCAAACCUAAUGGAGAGCUCUGAUACCAUGUAAUUUAGAAUUCAGAAACGUAUAUGUCUUAUUCUCAUUGAGUCAAAGCAAUGUUACAUAUUUAUAUAGAGAAUAAACUAAACCCUAGAGACUAAGUAAAAUUACAAUAAAGGACAUAUGUAUAUAUAUAUAUAUAUAUCAUAACAAGUGUUAUUGUAAUUCUGAAAAAUGAGACUUGGAUAGAAAUUGAAUUGGGUUGACAGAACAGACUGACAAACCCCUUGAAACUAAGUAAUUGAAACAAAAUAGAGAUUGAAUGUGAAAUACUUUGUUGUCUUUUGUCUUUUGAAUUGAAACAUAUAUAAUAAUAUUGUUACAAAUAGAAUAACUUCUCAUUAGUUGAAAUAUGCAAUGCAGAGGUUGCACUGUGAGUUGCCAAAUGCAGUUAUUCGUCCAAUAGCCGAAUGCGGGCACCUUCCUCAUGUUGAGAAGCCAAAUCUUGUUGCCAAAUUGAUUACACAAUUUGUUCAUGAAGAUUCCAGAAAAGAGGUUCAGUUUGUUAACAGUGAAUAAUUCUUCUUUGCACAUGCUUACAUUUUCUUCAUUUUAUUAACGAAUUUGCUUCACCCUGCUCAUGGAUUUUCAACCCUGACGUGUGUUCUUCUGAGGGCUGGAAGGUGCUCUACAUGUUUGAAAUCCAAUAAAAUAUGACGUCGUCAAUAUAAACCCAAACAAAAAAUCUGCUCUUGCUUGUUUCCUUUUCCUUAUGAUGGUGGAAAUAAACCCCUCCCUCGAAAUCAAGACAAGUAAUCCUAAGUUGAUGGAUACAUAUAUCUUCGAUCAAGAAGUUCUAUCCGUCUAUGUUAUUAGGUAAAUAAUAUUCUGUCCAUUAGAAUGGUGCACUGUAUUGGGGAAAGGAACCAGAUGAUCUCAUUUUGAUUCUCGGAUUGUUGUGGUCUUGGUGGGGCCUUGGUCUUUCGAAAUUGAUGUUCCUUCUUCAUUGGAUCUUUUAUCCUAAGUUUAUGGUAAAGUUUUAUGGACCAAUUUUGAAUUAUGGGAUUUUUUUCACUUUUUUUUAGAAAAUAAGGGUCCGUUUGGUAACGUUCCAGUUUAUGUUCACUUUUUAAGAAAUAGAAGUGUUUGGUAACGUUUUCUGUUUCUUGUUCUAAAAAAAAUAUAAACGUUUAUCAUUUUAUAAAGAAUUAUUGGGAACAAAAAAAGUAGUGUCACCCGUUUCCGUUUUUCAAUUAUUUCUAUUGGUUUUUUUUUCUCAAUUAUUUCUAUUGGUUUUCUUUUCUUUUUUUCAAUUCUUUUUAUUGAUUUUCUUUUCUUUUUUCUCAGGUUUCAUUUUCCUUUCCAAUUUUUUUUCUAUUUCAUUUCCAUUUUCCAUUUUUCUUUUGUGAUUUCUUUUUUCUUACUCUUAUUUUCAUCUUCUUUCCCAAAUAACCACUUGCCUUUUUCUUCAUUUUAUUUCCAUUGUCUUUUUCAAAUAAUCAUCAUCUUCCUCUUCCUCUCAUUGCCUUUGAUGUCUUCCUCUUCCUCUCAUCAUCUUCCUCUACACGACGCAUUCUUCUUCGUUGGAUUUGGGUUUUUCUCUUCCUCUUUGGGUGAAUUGUGUUUUCGUCGAAUUUGUGGGUUUUUGUCAGAUAUGUGUCUUAAUUGUGAGUUUUUGUCUUCCUCUUUGUCUUGGGUUUUAGUCCUCUUCAUCGUGAGUUUUCGUCUUCCUCUCGUCGACUAUGUUCUUCAUAUCUCAAUCUUCAUCUCAUUCACCAUAAGAUUACAAGAAGACCUUCUCUAAGUUUGAUAAUCUUAUGUUUUAUGUUUAAUGGAUGACAUAUAUUAAUCACACACAUUUUCUAUUUCUAUUUCUUUUUUAAGGAAACCUAAACCUUAAACAGUUAUCAAACACAUUCAUGUUUCUUAUUCUUAAAAAAGAAGGAACAGGGAACAAGAACGUUACCAAAUGGGCUCUAAAAUAUUUCACAUUUUAGCUUCGAUGUUUAGAUUGAUAAAGAUGGUAGUUAAUUGGUAUUAGAUAGUUCAAUAUCAUUAUUAACUUCUUAAAAAUAAAUGGACCAAUUGGUUAACUUGAAAGAAUAACAUACCUAUACCUCUUCUAAUAAAGUUGGAGAUUUGGAUGGCUGUAGAGGACUAAGUUUGUCAAUGAAUUCUAUUAUAAGUUUGUGUUAAAUAAUUUUAAGUAUAAUCGAGUUCAUUCAUAAAGUUAUACAUUUAUUAAGAAAUACAUCUCUCUCCAUUAUUUUUUUUUUCUUUAUAGAACCCUAAACAUACCAACUCAAUCAUAGCAUAAUAGCAUUGACCAAAAGUCAUAGGGAAAAAAAAAUAGUGAUUAGACUACACCUAAUCUCAAUAUUCUUUUAUCCAAAGUAAAAAUGUAAGUAAAAAAGUUUUUACUUUUUCUAUAACGAAAGGUGAUGGUCGGCAAAUUGUUGAGAUGGAAACCUUACUAACCACACACAAUUAUAUAAUAUAUUAAAAAUGAUAAAUAUUACUAACACACAAUUAUGUAAUAUAUUAAAAAUGAAUGAUUUAUUCCUUUGUAAAUGAUAAAAUUAUUAAAAAAAUAUUUAUAAAAUAUAGGAAAGUUUCAUAUUUUAUAAAUGAUAAAAAUAAACUUUUAUCACUGUUAAUAUCAUAUUGAUGAUAUUGCUGAUGUUUGUUCUAGUUUAUUGUAAAUAGAAUGUUAAAUUUGCAUUCCAACCAAAAAUUAAGUCAAAUGUGUUUUAUUUUUCUCCAAUGACUAUUUUCUUUCUUUAGUUAAAUAGAUUAGUGAAAUUGCUUUUUUUCCAUCUUGUCAGAUUGAAUUAAUUAAGAUUCCAAAAACAUUUUUCAAAAUUAAAGUUUCACUGGCCAAUAUGAGUUUAUAAAAAAUUGUUGUCAUACAACAUUUACUCAUUAAAUUCUGGGCAUGAGUCUAUAUAGCAAUCAAACAAAUAGUUGGUAGGUAGUUCAUUAGUCUAUUCACCACACCAAAUGUCAAGUGUUGUUUGGAUGAGUUUAAAAAACUCAAAAUUCUUUUAAAGAUUUAUAUACAUAACCUCAUUAUUAAAGUUGGGUAUCAUGUGUUUUCAUUCCAUUUCUUGUCCCACCCAUGUUGUCAUCCAUUCACCUCAUAAAUAUGGACCUUAUAUAAAUCUUAAAACUAUAUUUACCAUAAUCAAAUUCCCAUAAACUACUUACUUAGAGCAUAUUGAGUAACACAACUCAUACGACUUUAUUAUUAAAUGAAGAAAUUAAUAAUGAACAAAAGAGCAGAAUAAUUGAUUAGUGGGUACAAAGUCCCAUUAAAUUAAGGAAAAUACAGCCUCUAUUAGAUACACAAAAGUGAAAAAUAUCUAAGAGGAUCAGGUUCCAUUCUAGUAGAAAAUCAUACCACCACUCAAUAAGGAAUCAAAUUCUCCACCCUUUUCUUCUUCUUUUCUUUUUCUUUUUUCCUUUCCACAGCAAAGGACAUUAGAAAACAACCUUCCUAGCUUUUCCUUCCAUCCAUCCAUUCAUCCAAACAAAUCAACUAAUGGCCUCCAUCAUGGUUAACCUAACAGAACAUUGACAACCAAAAUGUCACAGUAGCUGUGAAGAAGAACAAGUUAGAGGCUGCUGCAUUGAGACCUGCAGCAGCACUGCCAUCCAUACUGUUCCCGCCCAGACCGACACCGCCUGUUGGGCUUAUCCCAUUCCCGAACACUGAAGGGGAGGUUGUGCCAGGAGUUGUUGUCGACGGUGGUGUUGUUGAUGGGUUUGUUGUGGUUCCUGGUGUCGUGCCGGGAAUGGUGGUUGAUGGAGUGGUUGAUGGGGUGGUGCUAGUCGGGGUACCUGUAAAACUGAAAAGAAAGGGAAAGGAAAAAAGAAAUGAGUGUUUGAAAAUUAUCGAUUGACAUGAAAGCUUAAGUUAACUGGUGACAAUAAAUUUAAUAUUAUAUCAACACUUUCAACACCUCUCUCACAUGUUGAGCUUAGUGAUUUGUAGAAGGUGAUACAAGUGAAAAUAUCAUUGUAGGGGUUUGAACACAAGACAAGUGUGUAACAAUAGAGCUAUUAUCUUGGAGAAAGAAGAGGACAGAGAUGACAAAGAAAAACCAUAUCAACAUCAGACAGCUUGUAUUCUUAGUCUAGCAAGUUGCAACAGUUAGAAGAAGCGGUUUUAGACAUUAUCGAUGAUAUUAAUAGAUCAUAUCUACGGUUUAGAAACUGUGAGAGGGAGACUGCAAAACUAAAAGUUAAUUUGUUAACAGAUUCUACCCAUAAGAUAAUUUUCAUCCAAAGUAAUAUAUUACAAAAACAUUUUCAACAAUUGUAACUUUCCAAGGGGAAAAGAUAUUCAAUAAAGCCAAGCUUGAUCAUUGAGAAAGAAGGGGAAGGGAAUUGGAUUCUUGAUAGAUUUUUUUUUUUUACUUUCUUUUCUUUUCUUACAUCAAGCAGAAGAUUCUCACCAACACCAACUCGAAAAGUAAAAAAAAAAAAAAAAAAAAAAAGACAACUUUGGGUUAAAAAAAGUCAUUGGAAUAUGCCACUUUGAGAAACAAAUUCUCAGUAAAAAAAAAUGGAGAUAUUUGAGGAUUGUUUAAGAGACCAGUGCUUUACUUUUCCUUAAACCUUUUCAAAUUUCAACUCAUCCAAAACAUUGAUUCUCAGGUAGUCUUUGUUUCUUAUUAAACAAAAUAUUCAACUCAAGCCCACUUUCCAUUUUGAACAUUGUUGAACAGAAAAACACAAUCUAAAAAGUUGAAUGUGAGAUCAAUUCUUCAAAAACUGAAAGAGAGUGAAGAAAUUGAAAUGGGUACCUGGGACUGGAAGGAUAAACACACCCAGAAGCUACGGCUGUAAAAGAAAAAACACAAGAAAAACAAGAAAAGACCCAAAAGAAAUGGUAAGUAACAAAAAAAAGAACCAAUUGAUGAAGAAGAUGAGUAAAAAUGGAAAAUAAAAAUCUAAUACCAGGAGGAGAUUGGCUAGGCGAGGCAGUGCCUGAAAAAUCACAACUCCCUUGAACCUGACCCUUUCUUUGAAAAUAGCUAUUAACAGCAUAACUGCAAUGAUCUUUCACAGUAUUGGGUUGAUAACAAGGGCCAUUUUGAAGGAUUGGUGUACAAUCAGCUCCAGCUCCACAAGCAUAAUCCAAACUUUUCUGAAGGGCUUGAUCACUCAGUCCAUCUUUACAAAUGCAAUAAGUAGCACCUAAACAAGAUUCCAGAAAAAGGGUUCAUCAGAUUUUUUUAAAAAAAAAUUAACCCAACAGCUUAUUUUCUAAUUUCCACUGAUUUCUUGAAAACCCUUCAGAGGGUUUCAACGAUUCUUGUGUAAAACCUCAUUUUAAGCUGCAGAAAAACUUCAAAUGGAAGCCAGUAAACAAAACCAAGAAAUGAAAAUGAAGAUUCCAGAAGCUUACUUGAAUGGGAAGUGAAGGCCAAGAAUAUCAGAUAACAGAGCAAGAGAACCGCCAUGGUUGAGGAAAGAUUCUGAGAGAGUACAGAUGAGAGAAGAGAAGAAUUGUGGAUUUAAGAGAAGUGGCAAAACCGGAAAAAAGAGAGAGAAAGAAAAAGAGAAUUAUGGGACAAUGGAGAUUUCUAGUGAGGAAGAGAAUGUAGAGGGCGGUGCCAGUGUGUCUCUAUUCACCUUUUUUUUUCUCUCUUCUAUCCUACUUUUUCAGUUAUGAUAUUUCUAGAUAAUUUUAUACUUCCAAAAGUUAAAACAUUAUUUGUUUCAACAAUGAACUAUUUUGGGUUAAAAGAGUAUAAAAUUUUGCUUACUUUGGACUCUGAAGCCAAAAAUUUUAGGAUUUCAAUUCAUGGGUAUGAGAUUUGAGAAAGUUAUUGCUAUUAUUAUUAUGAUAUAUGUUUUGGGUAAUGAUUGAACCAAAGAAAAUGAGUCUUAUAAAGUUGGGGUUUUGAUUAUUUUGAUUGAUGAUUAAGAGAGGAAGGUUUGGAUUUGGAUCAUUAUCACCCAUUAGUGAAAGGGAAGAGAAGCUUAGGUAUAAAUAAGGAUGCAGCCAAAAUGAUCAAGGUGGCAAAAAUUGACAGCAAAAGUUUGAAAUUUGGGGUUGCUUUGUAGUUACUUUACUUUUCUUGAGAGGUGGUUGAAGUGAUGAAUGGAAUGUGGAAUUUGAUAUUCUCUAGGGAUUGUGAACACACACAUAACAACAUAACUCUAAGAUGCUUUGUAAUUUGUACUUGUUAUAUGUACUAAAGUGAGUAUAUUGAAUUACAUAUCUAUAUAUAAAUCUUCCUAACUCAUUCCUAUAAAAUAUUGUUUGAAACAUAUCUAUAUUUUGAAGGACGAAUAUUUAUCAAUUUGAUCUCUUACGAUGGAUUCAAAUAUAGUAACCAUGCUAAAUAAUAUAAAAUACUCACACACUCUAUAAUGGAUUUCAAUAAUGCCUCGAAAUCUUGAAAAGAUUUAUUUUUUCCCAUUGAACUUUGUGUUUAAAAAAGCUCUCGGUUCGUUAAAAUAAAAUCAAAAUUAAUACAACGAUUACUAUGUGAAAAUUGAUUUUGUAUGUGAAUUUAUGUUCCAUUGUCACAAAGCAUAGGACCAUAAAUUUAAAUCCUUCAUUCUUACCGAUCUUAUGAUUACUAAGACAUUUGCAUGUCAAUUAGAAUAUCAUUAUAGAGUAUUGAGUUUAGGAAGAUGUUUAAUCAAUAAAUAAUAGUAUUUAGUAUAAAUGUAUGUAACUCAACUGACAUAAAUCUUAGUAUUUUAGUCGUAGAUUCUCUCAUCUUACCUAUCGUAAAAAUGAAUAGUAGUAUUUACAAGACACACAAAAGAUAUUUUUAUAAGUUAUCAAGAUGAACAUGAUUCAACUAGCAUACGUAAUAUAUUAUAAAUUUAUUAACGAGUAUAUAAUACUUUAAUCGGUUCUUUGUUCAAUAAUGUACAAAUAUUUUAACUCUAGGUCAAGAGUUUAUGUUCACAGUAGUUGAGUUGUAUUUAGGUCGGAUGAUAUUUUAAAAGUUAAAUAUAUAUUUUUUUAAAAUAUAAUUAAGUUGUUUAUAUUUAUAUCCAAAUUGCAAUUGUCUUAAAAGAAUUAGACUAAUUUAGAUCUAUUUGAUGUCUUAGUAGGAGGAUGAGAAUGAUUUUAUUUUUUAAAUAGUUCGAAAUAAUUUUGUAGUGUUUAAAAUUUGUUUAAACAAAAUUAUGCUUUUAACUUAUAAAAAUUUAAUUUUAAUUAUGGUUUGAAAAUAAUGUUGAGAGGUGUAAAAUCAAAUAUUAUAUUGAUUUUGAAAAUUAUUAAAACCGUAUUUGAAUUAUGUUAUAUAAUUAUUGAUUUGAACUAUUUUCAAUCAACAAACGACUAUUGCAAUUUUUUUAAUUUUAAAAUUGANNNNNNNNNNNNNNNNNNNNNNNNNNNNNNNNNNNNNNNNNNNNNNNNNNNNNNNNNNNNNNNNNNNNNNNNNNNNNNNNNNNNNNNNNNNNNNNNNNNNNNNNNNNNNNNNNNNNNNNNNNNNNNNNNNNNNNNNNNNNNNNNNNNNNNNNNNNNNNNNNNNNNNNNNNNNNNNNNNNNNNNNNNNNNNNNNNNNNNNNNNNNNNNNNNNNNNNNNNNNNNNNNNNNNNNNNNNNNNNNNNNNNNNNNNNNNNNNNNNNNNNNNNNNNNNNNNNNNNNNNNNNNNNNNNNNNNNNNNNNNNNNNNNNNNNNNNNNNNNNNNNNNNNNNNNNNNNNNNNNNNNNNNNNNNNNNNNNNNNNNNNNNNNNNNNNNNNNNNNNNNNNNNNNNNNNNNNNNNNNNNNNNNNNNNNNNNNNNNNNNNNNNNNNNNNNNNNNNNNNNNNNNNNNNNNNNNNNNNNNNNNNNNNNNNNNNNNNNNNNNNNNNNNNNNNNNNNNNNNNUUACUCAAUUCGACAUAUCAAAUUAAUCAAACUAUGAAUUUAGUACGUGAGUUUGAUUUAAAUUUAAAAUAAGGGUUGGAAUAUGGCCAAACCUUAAAAAAAAUUCAAAGUUUUAUUUCCCACUUAAUUUUAUUUGAGGGAAAAAAAAAAAAUUUAAUAUGAUGAUUUUUUUUUAAGUAAAAUUUGGAAUAUAACCAAAAUUUUAAUUUUGAAAUAAGGAUAAGGUUUCUACCGUACCUUAAUUUAUCUUGGGGAUGCAUAAGAAUUUGGAAUGAACAAAAAAAAAAUCAAGUCCUCAAUCUUAGGUAAAGUUGGAUUUAUGGUUCCGAUUUAAAUUCAUGAUAAAAAGGAGAUCAUAUAUGCAAGUUAAUUUAACUUGAAUUUUGGAAUUGAGAAUAUAUAUAUAUAUAUAUAUAUAUAUAUAUAUAUUUAAAAUAUUUAAAAAUUUCAACAUUUUUAAAUAUUUUAAAUAUCUCAAUAAAAGUAAACUUGAGAUUUAUCCAAAAAAAAAGAAAUAAUUUAAAAUAAAAAUAAGAUAAUUGGAUUAUCUUUUCUUUAUAUAUAUAUAUAUUUUUAAAAAUCAUUCCUAUUCCUUUUAGGAAUUGGAUUUGUUUUUUUUUUAAAAAAAAUAAUUAAAUAUCAUUCCUAAUCCUUUUAGGAACUGGAUUUGUUGGGCCUAUAAAUAGACUCAUACCCUACUCACUUAUACCUCAUCCAACGCUUAUUCCUCAUCCAAUCGGCAGAAAGGUAUAGAAAACUUUUCUUCUCCCUUUCUCUUUUUUUUUUUUUUCUUUUUUUUUGUGUGUGUGUUGUUUUUUUAUUCUGUUUUGUUUUUUUUUUUUUUUGUUUGUUUUUUUUUGUGUUGUUUUGUUUUUGUUUUUGUUUUUUUUUUUUUUUUUUUGCAGGAAUGACUUUGUCGAGCUUCUUCUAGGGACGAUCGGGCUUUUGCCGUCAGAUCUAUCGCCCUAGUUGGAGAGAUCGACUCUGUCAUCGUCGGGCUUCGAUCUUCGUUUGCAGAAAUGACUUUGUUGAGCUUCUUCUAGGGACGAUCGGGCUUUUGCCGUCAGAUCUAUUGCCCUAGUUGGAGAGAUCGACUCUGUCAUCGUCGGGCUUCAAUUUUCGUUUGCAGAAAUGACUUUGUUGAGCUUCUUCUAGGGACGAUCGGGCUUUUGCCGUCAGAUCUAUUGCCCUAGUUGGAGAGAUCGACUCUGUCAUCGUCGGGCUUCAAUUUUCGUUUGCAGAAAUGACUUUGUUGAGCUUCUUCUAGGGACGAUCGGGCUUUUGCCGUCAGAUCUAUCGCCCUAGUUGGAGAGAUCGACUCUGUCAUCGUCGGGCUUCAAUCUUCGUUUGCAGAAAUGACUUUGUUGAGCUUCUUCUAGGGACGAUCGGGCUUUUGCCGUCAGAUCUAUCGCCCUAGUUAGGAGAGAUCGACUCUGUCAUCGUCGGGCUUCGAUCUUCGUUUGCAGAAAUGACUUUGUUGAGCUUCUUCUAGGGACGAUCGGGCUUUUGCCGUCAGAUCUAUCGCCCUAGUAGGAGAGAUCGACUCUGUCAUCGUCGGGCUUCAAUCUUCGUUUGCAUAAAUGACUUUGUUGAGCUUCUUCUAGGGACGAUCGGGCUUUUGCCGUCAGAUCUAUCGCCCUAGUAGGAGAGAUCGACUCUGUCAUCGUCGGGCUUCGAUCUUCGUUAUCACCAAUUGAGCUUCUUCGUUUUUUUUUUUUUUUUUCUUCUUCUUCUUAUUCUUCUUUCUUUUUGUUUUUUCUUCUUUUGCUUCUUUCUUUUUUGUUUUCUUCUUCUUCUUCUUUCUUUUGUUUUUUUUUCUUUUCUUCUUUCUUUUGCUUUUUGCUUUUUUUUUUUUUUUUUUUCCUUCUUUCUUCUUCAUCAUUUUCUUCUUUCUUCUUCUUGCUUCUCCCCUUUUUUUUUUCUUUCUUUCUUGGUUGUGGUACUAGGGAGAAGAUGAAGAUGAAUCAUCUAGCUUGCGACACCUUAGAGCUGAUGAAAAUGAAUUCCAUCGGCCGGGUUGUGACACCUGUUAGAUGAUAAAGAUGAAUACUCUCAGCUACGACAUAUAGGAGAAGAUGAAGAUGAAUCCUCUCGGCUAUGACAUAUGGGAGGAGAUGAAGAUGAAUUCUCUUCAGUUGCAGCACUUGGAAGAAGAUGAAGAUGAAUCCUCUCAGCUAUGACAUAUGAGAGAAGAUGAAGAUGAAUCCUCUCGGCUAUGACAUAUGAAAGGAGAUGAAUCCUCUCGACUAUGACAUAUGGGAGGAGAUGAAGAUGAAUCCUAUUCAAUUGCAGCACCUGGGAGAAGAUGAAGAUAAAUCCUCUCGGCUAUGACAUAUGGGAGAAGAUGAAGAUGAAUCCUCUCGGCUAUGACAUAUGAGAGAAGAUGAAUCAUUUUCGAUUGCAGCACCUGGGAGAAGAUGAAGAUGAAUCUUCUCAGCUAUGACAUAUAAGAGAAGAUGAAGAUGAAUCAUCUUUGAUUGUAGCACCUAGAAGAAGAUGAAGGUGAAUCCUUCCGGCUACGACAUAUGAAAGAAGAUGAAGAUGAAUUCUCUUUGGUUGCAACUCCUAAAAGAAGAUGAAAAUGAAUCUUCUUUGGUUGCGACACCUGAAAGAAGAUGAAGGUGAAUCUUCUCGGUUGCGACUCUUAGGAGAAGAUGAAGAUGAAUCUUCUCAGUUGCAAUUCCAAUGAGAAGAUGAAGAUGAAUCCUCUCGGUUGUAGCACCUAGAAGAAGAUGAAGGUGAAUCCUUCCGGCUACGUCAUAUGAAAGAAGAUGAAGAUGAAUCCUCUUUGGUUGCAGCACCUGGAAGAAGAUAAAGAUGAAUCUUCUUUGGUUGCGACACCUGAAAGAAGAUGAAGGUGAAUCUUCUCAGUUGCAAUUCUUAGGAGAAGAUGAAGAUGAAUCCUCUCGGUUGUUACACCUGAGAGAAGAUGAAAAUGAAUCUUCUUGAUUGCGACUCCUAGGUGAAGAUGAAGAUGAAUCAUCUCGGUUGUAACACAUGGAGGAAGACAAAGAUGAAUCCUCUCACUUGCGACACCUUAGAGCAGAUGAAGAUGAAUCAUCUUCGAUUGCAAAACUUAGAAGAAGAUGAAGAUGAAUCCUCUUCGGUUGCAAUAAGCUGAAGAUGAAGCAGAGGUUAAAGCUUUAGCAUUGCAUGCAUCUUCUUCAAGAGGCAGAAACGAUGUUACACUGUCGUUUUCAUCUUGGAGAGGCGAAGGCAGAGCUACCCGAUCGUCGUCCUAUCAAAGUUGUACCAUCGUUAUCCUCUCAAAGAGCUGGAGCUACAGCAUCGAUGAAGCCUUCAAACUUGAAUAUAAGGAAUCAUCAAUGAAACUUUUAUGCUUGAAUUUGAGGGAUCAUUAAUGAUGCCUUUGAGCUUGAUUUUAAGAUUCUUUUUUUUUUCUUUUUUACAUGCACUCAACUUGUACAUAGUCUUUGCACGGAGUUUGUACAUCUUCAAUUUAUUUCAUCUCAUUGUUACUAAAGAUGAACAUCUUGAAUUUAGGGAUUUGCCCCCAAUUUGUUAUGAUUCCUUAGUAGAGAUGAACACCCUUUGAAGAAAAGAAUUAACUCACGACGUAGUUCAAGGUUUUUUUUUUUUUUUAUAAUGGUGGACUGAACUUAAAGUUUUCUUUAAGUUGCCUACGUACCCUUUAUAAUGUAGGGAUCAAGUCAUAACGUAGUUCAACUUUUUUUUUUGCUGGACUGGGCUUAAGGUUUUCCUUAAGCUGCCUACGUACCCUUUAUAAUAUAGGGAUCAAGUCAUAACGUAGUUCAAUUUUUUUUUUGCUGGACUGGGCUUAAGGUUUUCCUUAAGCUGCCUACGUACCCUUUAUAAUAUAGGGAUCAAGUCAUAACGUAGUUCAAUUUUUUUUUUUUUUUUUUUUUUUUUACCUAACAAAAUUAAGCAUAAAAUUUUUUAAGAAAUUUACCAUUGAUUGGGCCAAUUCGUAGUCCGUCUUGAUCAACGAUCUUGUAUGCGCCAUUUGUAUAAACUUCUUUAACAAUGUAAGGUCCAUCCCAUUUAGGUGUGAACUUAUUUCCUGUAUGCCUUGUUGUGAUGAUCGGUCUCCUUACGGCAAGUACUAGAUCACCGACUUGAAAGGAGCGAGGUUUAACGUGUUUAUCAAAAGCUUUGGACAUUCUCGCUUGAUAACAUUCCAAUGCUUGCUGAGCCUCUAAUCGCUUUUCGUCAAGUGCUUCUAAUUCUUGAAGACGUAACUUCACAUUAUCUUCGGUAGUCAAUCCCUCUUGUACUGCCAUUCUUAGUGACGGAAUUUCCCUUUCGAGAGGAAGGACAGCCUCCACACCGUAAACAAGCGAAUAUGGUGUAACCCCUGUAGGGGUGCGAUGAGUCGUCCGAUAAGCCCAUAAUGCCUCGCCGAUCUUUUCUUGCCAAUCCCUCUUUGACUUGGAGACAAUUUUCUUUAAAAGAUUACACAAUGUUUUGUUGAAUGCUUCUGCUAGUCCAUUCGCAGCUGCGUUGUACAUGGAUGACUUAUAUUGCUUGAAUUUGAAUUUUUCACAUAACUUGUCCAUCAUACUAUUGGAGAAUUGCUUUCCAUUAUCCGUCACGAUUCGAUGUGGAAUACCGUAUCGAUAGAUGAUGUGUGUUCGAAUAAAGUCUGCCACGUUCUCCUUCUUGGCUUCUCUCAAUGAAAUGGCCUCAGCCCACCUUGAAAAAUAGUCUGUUGCUGCUAGGAUAUAAGAAUGUCCUGCUGAUGAUUUUGGUGUAAUGGGGCCAACCAGAUCGAGUCCCCAAGCCUCAAAAGGCCAAGAAGCCACAGUUGGAUGAAGAGGUUCUGGAGGUUGGUGUAUGAAGUUUGCAUGGUAUUGACAAGGCUCACACUUCUUCACAUAGUCUAUUGAAUCUUGGAUCAUCUUAGGCCAGUAGUAGCCCAUUCUUCUUAGCUGGAAUUGAAGCUUUGGUCCCGAUUGAUGUGCUCCACAAACACCUGCAUGUACUUCCUUUAGAGCUUUUACCGAAUCUUCCUUUCCGAGACAUCGAAGGAAGAGCCCUUCAAGAGAACGGCGAUAUAAAGUUCCCUUGUAAUAAAUGAAGUGUGCUGCCCUUCUUCGUAUCUCAAUUUUAUGACGAGAAUCCUUUGGAAGCUUUCCAUGUUCAAGAUACUCUAUGAUGGGUUGACGCCAAUCUUCUUCAUCAAUCAAAUAGGAUGUUGCCAUGUUCACUUCCUGACAUUCAGGCCUAACUGGGGGUAUAAUCCAUCGUUGACAAAGUGGUAUGUUCAGAGUUACAUCAUCUGGCAUGGUCAAGGCCGUGGCUAAAUUUGCCAAUGCAUCCGCUCUCUUAUUUUCUACUCUAGGGACAUGUUCUAACAUCACAUUAUCAAACUUUUCCAUCAAUUGUCGAGCAUAAGCAAAAUAUGGCUUCAAGUCUUCAUGUUUCACGUCAUAUUGAAGCGAGAGUUGAUUGAUUAUCAAUUUUGAAUCACCAUAGACCUCUAUGAAUGACACUCCGAUUUCUAAUGCUAUUUGAAGGCCAAUUAUCAAAGCCUGAUAUUCAGCCACAUUGUUUGAACACAAUUCGGAAAGUGCAAAGCUAUAAGGCAACAUAUGCUUCUCAGGAGAAAUGAGGACAAUGCCUGCCCCCGCACCACUUCUUCGAGCUGCACCAUCGAAGUACAUAGUCCAAGGUUCCAUAACUUCUGUGAAGAAAACCUCAUCGUCUGGUAGGUCAUCACAUAACUUCCAAUCCGAAGGAAUUGGGUGGUCUGCUAAAAAGUCUGCUAGCGCUUGUCCUUUUAUCGCCUUUUGGGGAAUAUAGACAAUGUCAUAUUGUUGGAGUAGAACCGCCCAUUUGGCUAAGCGUCCAGAGAUGAUUGGCCUGGAUAGAACAUACUUUAUAGGGUCUGCUUUUGCCACUAGAUGAACCGUGAAGGCCUGCAUAUAAUGCCUCAACUUAUCAAUGGCAAAGAAAAGUGCAAGACACAUCUUUUCGAUAGGAGAAUAGUUAACUUCAGCCCCAAUUAAUGUUCUGCUUAGAUAGUAGAGAGAACGCUCCUUUCCCUUUACCUCUUCUUGUGCCAGUAAUGCUCCUAAGGACCUUUCUUGUGCAGCAAUGUACAAUAUUAGUGGUUUGUCAGGUACUGGAGCUCCCAGCACUGGGGGAGUAAGCAAGUAUUUCUUUAUGCUAUCAAAAGCGUUCUGACAAGCUUCAUCCCACACAAAAUUUUCUCCUUUUCUCAUCAACUUUUGAAAAGGUUGACACCGACCGGCCAAGUUAGAGAUGAACCUUCGGAUGUAAGCCAGUCGUCCUUGGAGACUUCUUAGGUCAUGCAAACUUUUAGGUCUUGACAUCUUCUGAAUGGCAUCAAUCUUGGACUGGUCUAUUUCGAUCCCUCGAUGCCUUACAAUGAAGCCAAGAAAUUUUCCUGAAGUUACACCAAACGCACACUUGAGAGGGUUCAUCCUUAGCUGAUAUUUUCGCAAGCGAUCAAACACGACUUUUAGAUCCUUCAAAUGGUCUUGUCGUCUCUUUGUUUUGACUACAAGAUCAUCAACAUAACAUUCAACAUACCUGUGCAACAUAUCAUCAAACACUUUCUGCAUGGCACGUUGAUAAGUAGCGCCGGCAUUUUUCAAUCCAAAGGGCAUCACCUUGUAACAGUAUAUUCCCUUUGGAGUUCUGAAAGCUGUCAUUUCUUCAUCUGAGAGGGCCAUCCGUAUUUGAUUAUAUCCAGACGACCCAUCCAUAAACGACAACGCCUCGUGUCCAGUAGUUGCAUCAACCAUGAUUUCGGUGAUGGGCAAGGGAAAAUCAUCUUUAGGGCAUGCAUUAUUCAGAUCGCGAAAGUCUACACAAACGCGAAGUUGUCCAUUUUUUUUUCUAACAGGGACAAUGUUUGCUAUCCACGUUGGAUAUUUGACCUCGCGAAUGAAUCCUGCUUCGAUCAACUUGUUGACUUCCACCUCGAUUUGAGGGAUAAGCUCCGGUCGAAAACGUCGUUGUGCUUGUUUAAUCGGUCGAUAUCCAGGUUUAAUUGCAAGAUGAUGGACUGCUACUUUUGGGUCAAGUCCUGGCAUCUCCUUGUACGACCACGCAAAGAUGUCCCUGUAUUCGGUGAGCAAACUCAUAUAUUUAUCCACCUCUUCGUUAGAGAGGGACGCACUAAUGAAAGUCGGACGUGGUUCCUCUAUUGUACCAAGGUUCACCUCUUUUAGCUCGUCUACAGUAGAUUGGCCACCAUCCUCUAAACUUUGUGGGGCAUUUUCUCUCGUCUUCUUCAUGAGUUCCAGUCUCUGAUUCCUCAAUAAUGGUGAUGUGAUGACAUGAAGUUUCACAUUCCCCUUGUUCCGACCCUUCUUUUUCAGGAUUCGUUAGUAUAACAUCAUGUCUUUUUACCUUUAACGAACCUUGACUUGUAUUGAGAGUAACAAAAGUUUUUCUUUUCAUGCGAGAAGGAACGUUGCUAUGAAUUUCUCCAUUUUCCUUUGUCUCGCAAGGAAACUUCUUACUACGAUAAUUAUCGACAUCUGUAUGCUUAAUUCGACGCCAAACUUUCACACGAGACAUUGGUUCCUUCUUCUUUGUAUCUAUGUUGGAAUCAAUGUUGUCGUGUGAUCCUUUAUCCCCGAGAUGAUUAAAAAUCGGAGCACGGGGUGCUUGUACAUUUUUCUUUUUAGACACACCUAGCCUUUCAAAGGCUGAUGGUCUUGUAGUUGUCAAGGCAUGGCAUGUGCUUUCUUCCUUUAUGGGAGUCGUAGUUAGCCUUCGAAAGACCGAAUGUCUCUCAAGGUUUGGUACUGACUGGAGCCUUUCUCUUUCUGCCUCUGUCAUGCUUAGCCUUUCAAAUACUACGGGACGUGCAACAGAUGGUCUAAUUCGAUCAAAUACUGAGAUUCUCUGAUUAUCACCUUCUUUUACGUCAGUAUUGUCAUCCUCCUCUAUAGUUAUAUGAUUGAUGUCAACCACUUUUUCCUUCCCCUUUUUAGUUAUACGGAUCGGUUCUGGCGACUUGUAUCCGAGUCCUUUUCUCGACACGGGUAUAGAAUGUCCUUCCCGUAGAAGCUUCUUUUGAGUUGAGGAGAGCUCAGGUCGGUCAUGAAUUUCCAAGCUUUUAAACUCGGUGUGAGCUGUGAAGUCAUAACCUGCUUUCGCCAUCAAUUUGUAAGCCUUGGGGUCGAAUCCGUCUUUCGUUCGCCUUUGGGGCAAGUUUGCUUCCACCAGAUCUACCUUUACCUCUUGCUUCGCUAUCUUAGUUAGUGGUGUAGUGAAGCUUUCUUUUAUGAUUUCGAUGUCACCAACUUUCAAACCUUUUGGAGACUCCAUGAAUGGUGAUUCGCCUUUCUUGCGCCUUGACAGAGGGACAUAACGCAAAACUGGUGUGUUUGCAGCAUUUUCAUUCUUCAAGAUCAUACCCUUUGUGCUGCUAGUGUAUGCUUCACCCUUUCCAGAGUUAAAGGUUCUCGCACUUUCAUGUGGUUCUGUGGUUGCGAGUGAUUUCAGUUGUGAAUUAUCUUCUUCUUUUGUAAGAGGGGUUUCUGCAGGCGAAACUUCUAAAAUAUUAUUAUUCUUUGAAUAAAACUUUGCAUCUGCGAAGUGAGACUCAGCUUCUGAAAAUGGAUUAGAGUCGGCUUCAACCUUCUUUACACCGUCCUGAUAAAAUUUGAAGCACUGAUGCAGUGUUGAAGUUACUACUCCGUUUCCAUGAAUCCAAGGACGCCCUAGUAACAACUUGUAAGUAGUCCUUGAGUCUAUGACAUGAAACAAUGCACUGGCCUUUAGGUCGCCAAUUAUGAGUUCUAACCGUAUCAUGCCUAUUGCUCUUUGGCUACCUUGGUUAAAACCUUGAAUUACUAGCUUGCUAUUUGAGAGCUCGUCCAUCAAGAUGCCUAAUUGCCACAUAGUCGACUUUGGCAUUAUGUUGACAGCUGAGCCAUUAUCAAUGAGGAUUCGAUCGACUCUCUGUUCUCGAACGUAUCCAGAAACAUACAAAGGUCUAUUAUGAAGUUUAGAUCCCAACAACAAAUCCUCAUCUGAGAAGUCUAUAGACAUACAAUAAGAACCACUCUCAUAUGUCAUAGUCGGAGUACUCGAACUUGAUGCUCUUGAAUUUAGCAAUGCAUCAAUAAGGAUGGUUUUGGUCUCUUGAGGAAGUGAUAAUAGAUCCUCUACAUUAAACCUUGAAAGGUCUUUUGAUACUCCCUCUCCUUCUAGUGAUCUUGGAGGGAUUAUUUCUUCCUCCGUUGUGUUGAUAGCAUGACACGCAACGACUUCUGGGUCUUCAUCCUGAUGAUCACAAAGGAAGCUUUUUGGAAGGAAGUCUGCCAAGGUCACUAAGCGUUGAGGUCGAGAGAAAUUCAUGUCUUCAUUAUGUACGAGCUUAAGCUUAUGAGUCUUCUUCUUUUUCUUAUUCUUUUGAGUCUUAUUUCCUCUUCUAUAGUUUUGGUAAGAGCGAGACUCUCUUUGGGUCGGGAUCGACUGUCUUUUCUUUCGGUGGGUCACCACUAUCCACCCUUCAUCGUCUUCUUCGAUUGGUCUUUUCUCUCCUUGAGGAUCCUCGUAUGAGAUUUCCUGAAAGAAUUGGACAACUAUAGGCUCAAAGGUCCCGAACUGGACCAAGCUUUUCCUUUGCUCAAAAAUCAAUCUCGACGAAGAAGCCUCAGACAUUAUCGUCACUUCAGCGUGGUUUGUUUGAGCUACUUCCUCCAAAUCUAGCUCAAUCCUUUUCUCACGAGCCAACCUUAGAAUUAGCUCCUUCAGCACGAAGCAUUUCUCUACUGGAUGACUGAUGACCCGAUGAUACUUGCAGUAAUUGGGAUCAUCUACCUUUCCUGCUUGCUCAGGUCGUUUACAUUCUGGCAGCUGGAUCAGCUGCUUCUCUAGUAGUUGCUCUAGCAUGUCAGCGAUAUCUGAAUCAGGAAAUGGGUAAACUUUUUCCUGUCUUUCUUUUAAAGUCAGACGUCGCCUUUCGCUUCCAUCAUCCUUCUUUUCAACCCUCGCUUCCUUUCCUUUGGAGAAUUUCAGCGGGGUUGUGUUUACGACCAUAGAUUCUUUCGCGGUGCUUUUCACUAUCUUUUCAGCACCUUUCAUCUCUUUCUUAUCUUUCUUUACUUCAGGAACAAGAAAAUCUUUAGUUCCUCUAGUGGCGAUGCUCAACUCCAUAUCAUGAGCUCGAGUUGCCAGUUCUUCAAAUGUGCGCGGGCUUUAUUCCCUGCAAAAUGUAGAGGAGUCCCCAGUGCAUGCCUUGGGUGCACAUUUCUACAGCCGACAGUUCGGUGAGCCGAUCUUUACAGUCAAGACUUAGAGCUCUCCAUCUAUUGAUGUAGUCGAUGACUGGUUCUCCCUUUCUUUGUUUCGUAUUUGUAAGCUCCAUCAUGCUUACAGUACGCCUGGUGCUGUAGAAGCGAUUGAGAAACUCCUUUUCUAGUUGUUCCCAACUCUCAAUGCUUUCUGGCUCCAGAUCAGUAUACCAUUCAAAAGCAUUUCCUUUCAAGCUUCGAACAAAUUGUCUGACUAGUUGAUCUCCUCUUGAUCCUGCAUUCUCACAUGUUUCGACGAAGUGAGCAACGUGCUGUUUUGGAUUGCCCUUUCCGUCAAACUGCUGGAAUUUUGGAGGCUGAUAUCCAAGCGGCAUUCUCAAGUUGUCGAUUCUUUUGGUGUAUGGUUUAGAGUACAUGAAAGAAGUCUGAGAUGGGCCUCCAUAUUGUGCUCUGAUGGAGCUUGUGAUCAUAUCUUGUAAUUGUUGAACCGAGAGAGAAGCCACAGAAGUUGAUUGUUGUUGUGGCUGAUUUUCUUGUACCACGUUCUUCCCUUUGUCAUCAACUUUAACGACAGGAGUUUGACUCGAUUCAGCAGUUUCACGAGUCUGCAUCUGCUCCUUUAAAGCUGCAAUUUCGUGGUCUCGUUCAUCAACAACCUUCAUCAGGAGAUUAAUUUUUCUCUCCAUCUCCGCCAUGGCAGUCUCGACUGCUACAUCAGCCAUCAUGACGGACAUCACAUCUGGGUGUGCUUCUUUCAGUGACCUGCUAGAGGCAGAAUCAUAAUCAUUAUAUAGAGGAUUUUCCUUGAUGACAAUUCCAGCUUUAGGAGAUUCCAUCAAUUGCUUCAGGAUGCUCUGCGCGAUAGCGGAACCUUGGUCUUGCCCAUGGAUGAUCCCCUUGGAACGACUACGGGUGAUAGGUCCCGUGUAGGUGUCGCUUGCAGCUGAAGAUUUGGAUGCAGCUUUCUUUGAUGCCAUUGGUUUGCUUGUAGAUGUAGAUGAUGAGAGAGAGAUGAGAGGUAGAGAUGGUCCCACUGGGCGUGCCAAUUUGUUCGCACGAGAUUUCCGGAGAAAUUUAAUUCGUGGACUUGAACUUGGGUUGAUGUUGUAUUUUUGUUGAUUUGAUGCGAUGCGGUUCAAUCUCUAGAAUUUGAUCCUCUGAUUCUCUCUCAACUGUAUGUCUACGCUUGAUUUGGGGGAAGCGGAGCACGUGAUGUUCUUGAAGUUUGUUGAACGUCUACGCUUGAUUUUGGAGAAGCGGAGCACGUGAUGUUCUUGAAGUUUGUUGAACGUCUACGCUUGAUUUGGAGAAGCGGAGCACGUGAUUUUCUUCAAGUUGGUUGAAUGCUUACGCUUGAUUUGAGGAAGCGGAGCACGUGAUGUUCUUGAAGUUUGUUGAACGUCUACGCUUGAUUUGGAGAAGCGGAGCACGUGAUGUUCUUGAAGUUUGUUGAACGUCUACGCUUGAUUUGGAGAAGCGGAGCACGUGAUGUUCUUGAAGUUUGUUGAACGUCUACGCUUGAUUUGGAGAAGCGGAGCACGUGAUUUUCUUCAAGUUGGUUGAAUGCUUACGCUUGAUUUGAGGAAGCAGAGCACGUGAUGUUCUUGAAGCUUGUUGAACGUCUACGCUUGAUUUGGAGAAGCGGAGCACGUGAUGUUCUUCAAGUUGGUUGAAUGCUUACGCUUGAUUUGAGGAAGCGGAGCACGUGAUGUUCUUGAAGUUGGAGUCUUGGGAGAAAGUUUGUAUCUUCAAAACAGCUUCAAUCUUCGAGGGUGGUCAACUUCAGAAGUUAGGGAGUCUUCUAGCUUUUGGAAGAAUUCUCUUCUAGCUUUUGGAAGAAUUCUCUCUGGAUCUUCUAGAGUCAAAAUUUUCCAACCUCUACAAAUGAGAAGAAUUCCUCUAUUUAUAGAGUUUACUGGUGGGCUUUAUGGGUUUGAAUCUGGUUGGUCCAUGGACCAGACCCAUGGGCUCAACCAUAUGGACUUAGGUUAUAUUUAGUCUUUGGGCUCAAUUAAGCUUUUUUUUUUUUUGGCUUAAUUGAACUUAGUCCAAGUAAAUAAUAUUUAAUUGAACUAAAAUGAUUAACUUAAUCCAACGAUUAAUAUGAAAACAUGUGGCAUUCUUAGAAUGACCAAUUUAUUUAUUUUAACUCUUUAAUUUGGAGCAUGUGUCAAUUUUAAUUAGUCCCAAAUUUAAUUAUUUGUAUUUUUCAUCAUUAACUUAAUAAAUGAUGUGGCAACUUGUGAUUGGUCUCAAAAUUUCUUAUUCAACACCCAUUAAUUUCAUUUGGAUUAUGAUGUAAUUAGACAAGGGCAGAAACGAUCAAUCAUUUCAAAGAAACAACAAAGAAUUAGGUAACGACAGACCCGUAUGGACCAGAAAAGAAAAAUAAAAUAAAAAUCUUUAUUAAUUUUUAUUUUCUCAAGUAAAAUCACAUCAUGAUCAAUGGUAAGUACAUGCAGUAAUAAAAAUUUAAAAAACAAAAUUGGUUUUUUUUUUUUAAAGAAAAAGAAUACGUAACAUUCCAUUUGAUGAAGCACAUCGAACAAGUAACGCCAACCAUUCAAAUUUUAAAUGUAAUCAAGAAGCAUUAUUAUUCUUAUCGUUAAUUUUGAUUCACCACAAAAAAAAAAAAUAAAAACUAAUAAUUAUUUAACGAAAGGAAAAUGGGCAUUCCCGCCGCAAUAACGGCGAUUGGAAAGACAAGUUACCAAAAACUGCAAAACAGUCCCUAUAUUUUAAUGCAUUCACAUUGAAUAGCCCCCUGCUUCAAUCCAAUUUACAAAACUACCUCCACAAAUUUACAGAAUGGGGGAAGUUCAACCGGAUGCACUAUGAUCACUCCCAUCUCUCUCUGUUUUACCAGAACCACAUGAAAUUAUUGGAAUAUAGUUCGUUCAAUUAACUUUCUAUUCAAUAAUCGCAACAAAUAGAAAGAGAAAAUUGAAUAUUAUAUAUAUGGAUUUAUUUGAGAACUCACGGAGUAAUGAUCUCAGGCGGUUUGUCCAGGGGCUCACCGCUGGAACUGGAAGAGAGAGAAGGAUUAGAAGGGAGAGGAAGAGGAGCGUCUGAUAAUCCAGCGGAGUCUUCGAUGAGUGGAGUAGUAGUUGUAGUAGUAGUAGUAGUAGUGGUAGUGGAGGUUGGAGGGAAAUCGGAGUGGAUCCGGUGAGAGUGAGGGAAUCGAGAAGGUUGAGGUUGAAGAGAGUGGAAAUUCCAACCGAAUUCGGUGAGGAUGGUGGAAUCGGAAUCGGGAGGGAAGAAGAAAAAGAGCGUCGGAGGGGGAAGUAGAGGAGGAAUCGGCAGUGGAGAAAAGAGGAUGAGGAGGAGGAGGAGGAGGAGGAGAAUCGGCCAUUAAUGGAAGAGGAAGGAAGAAGUGAGAGAGAGAGAGAGAGAGAGAAAGGAGAGGGGAAUUAAUGAAUUAAUUAAAGAGAGAAUUAGGGUUUGAGAAGAGAAAGGGGAAAUGGAGUGUACGUUGAAGAAAGAAAAAGAAGAAGAAGAAGAAAUGGAAAGGACGCGUAAUUUUUUCUUUUUCUUUUUUCUUUUGGUUUUGGGUUUUUGAACUUUUUGAAAGGUUUUGGAAAGCAAUGUCCCGUCAAUAUACAGUUGCGAUUGAGAGAAACGUAGAAGGAGGAAGGGAAAAAUAAAAAGUAAAUUUUAAAUUUAAAAAAUAGAAAGAAAAAAAAAAGCCUCAACUUCUUAAGAAGAACUAAGUCAUGGACGGAGGGUGGCUCCCCACGCGCCCAUCUAUUCAAUUUUACAAAUAUUCAUUAUUACGUUUAUUUUUUGUUUUAAUCCUUAACUCUUAUUUCAACUCAUUUUUCCUUUUUUUCAAAAAAUAAAAAAUAUAUAUUAUGUUUCUUUAUAAAUUUUUUUAAACUAAAUUUAUAAAUACACCUCGUUAAUUGUUGAUGAUUAAACACUACAAAUAAAAUGAUAUUUGAUUUUUAAAAUUUAAUAUUUUGUCUUAUAAUUUUAAUUAAAAAUUUGUGUGCUUAUGUUCGUUGAAAUUGGUGAAAGUAUAUCGUGAUAGAAAAUUUUAGAAGAAAUUACGAAGAUAAAUUACAAACACAUAAAACUAAAAACGAGAUUGUUAAUUAGUGAAUAGAGUCCUAAGAGUUUAUUUCUUUUAUGAAAAUUGGAAUAUCUAGCACGUGUGACAAUGACUCGGAAAGAUAUGACAAUAUUUUUGUUUCAAUUUCAAUCUUGGUCAUUAGUUGUUGUAGCCUUCCAAAUAAUCUCUAACUUUUGUAAUAGUCCAAUAGAACCAAACAUUAUAUUACAGCCUUUACAAGAAUUACAAGUAUUUUUGUAGUUUGGACUCUAUCUCUUAGUAAAACAUUUAAAUUCUCAUCCAAAUUUAAAAAUACAUAAAAAAGAAAAAGUUUAUAAAAACUAUAUUUUUAGUUUUCAAACAUUUAAAUUACUAGAUAGCAAAAUAAACAAAUUGAGGAGUGAAAGCAAAGUUUAAUAAUCUUUAACUUUUAAAAAAUUAAAAUUUAUAAAUCAAACAACAAUUUAUAAUUGAAAAAUAAGUUCAAAUGUUUAAUGUUAAUUGUAACUGAAGGGUUAUGAAUUAAGUUUUGGUUUAAUUUAUGUUUUAAAACGUGGAGAUUAAAAAAAAUUAGAGGAAAAGUUUAGUAUUAAAAUUUGAAAUUUAAGAAGGGAAAGAAAAGGAAUGAUAGUUAGAAAAAUGACCGUAAAAAGGGUAAAAUGAAGGCACUUUCCGACGAAAAGGAAGGCCAUGUUUUUCUGUACCAUCACCUAAAUUCUCCUUUUCUUUUUCUUUUUAUUUCUUUUUUGAUCUCUAAGUUAUUGUUUUUAUUUUAUUUAUUUAUUUUACACAAAACUUCCAAUCUCUCUUCUUCUUUUUCUCUCUCAUUGUAUUUAAUUUUACUGAAUGCAAUGUUUCCCUUUUUUUGUAUUAUCUAUAAACCAAUCAUUUCAUAUCUAAAAUGGAAAAAGAAAUUAAAAACACUUUUCAAAAACAAAUAAUAAUAAUGAAAAUGGAAAGAUCAAAUAAAAUAAAAUAAAAUAAGAAAGCUACUUUUUUAAAAUUUUGUAAAAAUAUAAAAGAAAAAACAAAAUGAAAGUUUGUUUGGUUUAACGGACGAUCUUGUUUUUCUGUUUGUGAUUUUUGAGCAAUAAUUUAGGUCAAUUUGUAUGUUUUAAUUAGUUGAAAUUAAUGAGUUUAGGUAUAGAUUUAAUUGAUUAGUAAUAAUACUAAUAAUGAUCUAAUGAAGUAGUAUGAUAGAUAUGCACAUAAAUGAAAAUGGAUCUCGAAAAUCUCGAAAGUAGAAUUUUAGUAUAAGCGCAUAUUCCGAUGGUAGUUCAAACGUACUGUUCAAGGGUUACUUAAUUAAUUAAACUUUCUUAUCAAAGUAGCGAUCUAACUCAUUUGAUAAGAAAAUGCAUCCAAUGUAUAGAAUUGUGCAAACCAACUACGCAAGAUCUUGAUUGAAACCCUAGUCGAUGGCGACAUGAUGGCCCUAUUGGAUGGUGACCAUCCGUGUGAGUGCUAGCACAUCCCUCUUUUGAAUGGCACGAUGUUGACACAUUGCCGCCUCAAAGAAAAAGGCUAUACAUAACCCUAUAAAAGCAUCUAAUGCAACCUUUAUUCACAUGUAUUACACAUACUAGCUAUCGUUAUGAUUGUACUCGUUUGUUAUUCACUCUCCCCAAAUUUCACUUUAAGUUGUUUACUCGCGUUAAUUAGAAUAGCUAUAAUGUUAAAUUUUGUUGAGUUUUGAUAUUUUCAUUUACACGAUCACAUUUACUCCAAUUACGUCUAUUUUAGGGUUAGCUAUACCGUAUCUACAUAAUAUACGUGUGAAGAUUUAUCAUACUUAUUCUCCUAAAACAAGAAACAAGGUAUAUGGAAUAUUAUUAUUAUCAUAAAUAUUGGAGAAGGAAUUUAAGAAUUUAUACCCAAACUCACUUUGUUGUUUUAAUUAUUUUAAUUUUUUUUCCCCUUUCCCUAUUAGAAGCUAUAUUGCAUUUAGUAUCUCUAUUAUUUAUGGGAUUAUUAUAAUUUUAAGUUAAAGUAGCUAUCUCAAUACCACUAUUAGUAAAUAGCUCAUUACUAUUACACAUACAUUUAUAUAUAUUUAUUAUAAUCUAGAAAUGAAAGUGAAAUACUAAUUAUUAUAAAGUUUUAAAGGAUUACAUUUAGCAUGCAUCUAUGUAAUUACAAGUAGUUAUGUAAUGCAUGCACAUAUUGAAUAUAUUCUAAAUUUGUACGUGGAGAUCAAAUUCUAAUUAAUUAUGUUCUUUUAAUUUUAUUUUAACAAUAUGCAGAUGAAAACAUUCGAAUUUAUAAUCUCUCUUGAUCGAUAAUUUUAGAUUUUAUAAUAGUUUAGCGUUUCAAUGUCUGCACGAAUUGAGAUAUAUCCAGGUGCACUCAACUGACCUAUCGUAUAUUUUUCGAAAAAAAUAUAUGUAUAAAUUGAGAGGUUUGAUUCUAAAUGUUUUUAAAUUCAAAAUGAUAAGAAUCUAAUUUGUAACUCGAACCAUAGCUACAUUUUGGCCUAUGUACACACCUUAUUUUAUACGAUAAUUUAUUUUAGAUUUCACUAAUUAUUACGUGAAAGAGAUUAUUUUUGCAAGAUUUUUAUAGCGUUUGUUUAGAAAAACGUAAGAAUCUAAGUUAUUGGAUUGGUUUUUUAUAUUCUUCUAUUUACUUACAUUAGUGAUAUCAAUUUGGAAGGAAUUGGUGUCAGCAACAAAACAUUAUUUGUAUGAUAUAAUUGAUUUUUGGGAGAUUAAUUUCCUUAUAUUCAACACAUUCUUUUGUAGAAGCUUAGCGGAGAAAUUGCAUAGUUAUGUAAUUAAUUAUGAUACAACUAAUUAAAACCUUACGCAAAUUGCACAUAAUCUCUCAAAUAUAUAAGAGAAGAAUAUUAUUGAAUCUUAGCACUUAUGGAAAGGGAUUUGAUCAAUACCAAUUCCAACCCCAAUUUCAUGUCAUCAAUACUAUAAAAUUAUGGACUUUAAUGUCAGUUCAAAACUGACACUAAAAUUUUCUUUAUCAAAAUUUAAACUAUUAUUCCAACCCUAGAAUGAUUUCAUGUCAUCUACUUUUGUUUUUUUUUUUUUUUAAUUAAUUGAUUACAUAAAGAAAAUGCAAAGUAAUGUUUAUUAUUAUUAUUAUUAUUAUUAUCAUUCAUAUAAGCAAUUAAUUAAUUAGACGGUUACCAACUUGAAGUAUUAUUUUGGAAGUAGGUUUUUAAUAAUUUGAUGGGCGUUGGGUGAUGAGGAGUACUAUAGUAUAGUGUGUCCUCCCAAUUUUAAUGCCCUAAACCUAAGCAUAUAUUUAAUUAUGCUAUUAAAAUUUCUAAUCACAAUCCAUUUUAUUUUAUUUUUAUGCUCUAUGGGCCUAUAUAUUUUCAAUGAUAUAUAUAACAAUAUUCACUUUUCGCGGGUCACAUCCUAUCAACCUAUCUUAUGGUUGUGUGAUUGUACGAUAACUCAUAUUCAUUGUAUUAAUUAAAAAGUUUAAUUAACAUAGUUUGAUGUAGUACUUAGGGAUAUGAACGCAUAUGGUUAGACAUAAUAGCUAAUUUAAAUCCUCAACUUUUCUUAUUUUUUAGAUAUAUAUAACAUUUAAAAAAAAAUUAAAGGUCAAGUUUUUUAAUCGUUUUGUUUCUAAAAUGAAACCUAUAUAAACCUCUUUUAUCUUUAGGGUGGAUGAGUUUGGUAAUAGAAUUUAGGCUUUUAAAAUAGUGUAAUUCAAAACUCAGGUUUGGAUUGAACGUUUUGGGUCUGGUUUAUAAUACCCAAACCAAUUUUGUUUUCACAUUUCUGAACUCGCGCCCUCUUUUUCCACCAUUUUCACGUUGCACGAUCUCAUUUUCUUUCCGCCCUCAUUUAUUCCUCAUCCAUUCUAACGCCCAUCAAGUUCUUAGAAUUCUUGAUUAAAUCUCAUGCUUUGUUGUCUAUUUUUUACCAAAAUGGUGACGUGUAAAACUAUUCAUCUUAAUUCACUUAUUACUUAAAAAAAUCCUAAUUCACUUCCAAUUAUUUCUCCUUAGGAUAUAUAUUUUCAAAUGUUUUAAAAAUGGGAAUUUAUACAUUGGAGUUUUACUUGAAUGCCCCUUUUGUAUGCAUAAAUUUAGGAUGACAGGGAAAGGGUAAAAAGGUAAUUUUGAAGCUAUUGAUCUAUAGAUGUGGUUGCAAAUGAAGAGGUUCUCUAUUAUUCCAAAACUCCUUUUUAGGGAAAUUUAAUUUAAGCUAAUUUAGAGGGUCUUGUUUUAGUAAUGAAGAAAGAGUACUAAACCUAACAAGUAGGUUUGGUAUUAUUUUUUUUUUGUUGAUAUCCAACUUCCCAUUUAUAAAAUUUUAGAUUACACACAACAUAUAUAUAUAUAUAUACCUAAAAAUAUCAACAACAUAAAGUGAUUAUAAUUUAAAGUACUAUAAAAAGCUUAACAAACAUGACCCUCAUCCGUGUUUUUGCAUCCGCAAUUUAAAACAUAAUCAAUCAAUAAAAAUAGAAUAAUUUUAUAAUUCAUCGUGUUUACCACACUUUAAUUACAAUGCAUGGGAAUCAAACAUUCGUACCUUCAAUCUUCAAUUAUAUAUUUUUUAUCGGAGUGAAAAUGAUAGACCGAACAAAUAUUAAUCAAGUUGAUUAAUCAAAACCGAUUUAACUAAGGGUAGUUGGUUGAAAUUGAUUUAAAGAUUUACUAGAUCAAUCUUAGUAAAUUCAUUAGUGAUUUCGUUAAAAUCCAACUUGUACCAACAAUGCUUACUCCAAAAUUUACUAAAUUUCGUUUACUAUAUUACAAAAAUAUAAUUUCAAAAUAAAAAUAAAUAAAUUAUUACAUUAUCUUAUUUUGUCAAUUAAUUACAAUAUUAGUUCAUUUUGAAUUUUUUUUUUGUCUAUUUUAAAAGUAUUCAUAAUAAAAUUAUGCUUUUUGUCAAAAUUGAAAAUUGAAUUAUUGAGUGAGUGUGUUUUAUAUUCUUAAUUUUAAGUUAAUUAAACAUUAUCCUUUUUUUUUCAAAGUAUAAGAUUUUGAAUAAAUAAAAAUGAAAAAGUGACAUUUUUAAUUCUUAGAACUGAAUAUUAUUUCUUAGAUUCUCUUUUUUUUUAAAUUAACUUUAAAAUUAAAAUAUAAAAAAUAUUUCAUACUACCUAAGCUUAAAAAGAAAAGAAAAAGAAAAGAAAAAGAGAAACAAUAUCAAACAAUUAUUAACAAUUAAAACUAACUAUCUAAAAUUAAUCAAAUCAACUAUUAAUCACAAAAUUAUAGUCUCAUACAUGUGAUGAAACAUACAUUCAACCAAUUCAUAUUUGUUCUAAAAUUUAGAGAAUCGUUGAAACGAGAGAUUAUUUGAUUAUUCGAUUCUUCGACGUUUAAAUAAAAAAAUUAAAUCAAAUAUAUCAAAAUAGAUAAAUUGGUUAAUAAUCUAAUACUUGAAAUGUCAAUAUAUAUGAUUUAAAAAAAAGAAGAAGAAGAAGAAGAAAUUGGUGAAAGAAAAUAGAAAGGAAAGGAAGGGAUUGUGAUCACGUGGUUGAUUGAAGGGAAUAUUUAGAAAAAGGAAAGAGAGAAAGGGGAACUAAUCAGAAUCUUUCUUCUUUCUUCUUUUCCUUUUAAUUAAUAAGCUAACUUGAUUCUAAAGCAAAAAUCUCAUUUUCACCCCCACACCCCUAUACUAUUUCCUUUUUACAUUACCAACCCAACCAACCUUUUCUUUCUUUCUUUUUCUUUUUUCUUUUUCUUCCAUUAUCACCUUUUAUAUAUAAUUUAUCUUUUUUUUGUACGAAGUAUAUAAAAUUAAAAAAAUAGAUCAUUCUAUAUGCGGAUUAACAUCUUACUCUUACUCCUUUCUCUUCUGUUAAGUACUCUCUAUUCUUUAUCGCUCUUUGCUCAGUAGUGAUGAGAAUCGAGAGCCUUCCGCACACAUGCAUGAUAAGGUGGUUUUGGAAAAAAAAAUCUCAAAAGUGGGGUAAAUUUCAUUAUCUGGAUAUGAAAUGUGGAUCAACGGUGAUUAUUUGCCUUUUCAAACUUACACAAUCCUAAAACUUUUAAAUAAAGUGUAUGGGUUGUUUAUUGAAGAAACUUUUUCUCUCAUGACUUUACAAUCUACACGAUUGUUGGAUUCCCUUGAAAAAAACAUACCUAAUUGGCUAAUUUCAAUAUCAAGUUGUCCCCUCUUUACCUAAAAAUCCACCGUAUGAUGUAUGAACUAAUUUCCUUUUUCCAUUUUUACCCAAACAACGCCACAUCCUUAAAUCUCUUACAAUCUUAUCAAAAUAGAAUCGUUAGCUUAGUUACGUUAAUCAAAAUUUCUCAUCCUCAAAAUUCACUUACCCACAAUCAAACAACAUAAAAUUUAAAAAAGUUGCAAUAAUAGAAAGAAAAAAAACCAUAGAGAUAAAAACGAUAGACGACCAAAAAAACAUAGCCGAGCAACAUCGAAGUCGAUUUGGGUUGAAAAACAAGAGGGUUUGGUUUCGGAAAGCUUUAAAUCAAGAAUUUUUCAAAAGUAUUUUUAAGUGUUAAACCGAUUAAUAACCGACUUUUAUCGACAGUGAUCAUCCCUAGUAAUUAAUGUGAUAUCUAUUAUAUACUCGAUGGAUGGAUGGAGGAAGGUUAAGAUGACGUAUUAGUGUAUAUUAGAAAUUGUUUUUCACUUUUUGGUGGGUCGUACGAGCAUUUGAAGGACACGUGUUAGAAGAUGAAGGAGUACCCCACAUUGUCAAUUCAAGAGAUUUUUGGAGAUUUCAACUUUUUGGUAAGUGGAGGGAAAGCCCAUUGCCCACACACAAAAUAUCUUUACUUGCUUCCUUAUCAUCUUCAUUACUUUCUUUCUUUUCUUUUCUCUUUUUAAUUUAGCUAAUCAAAUCUUAAGAUAACAUAUUUAGUUGGUUAUAUUGGUCAUUAUUAGUCCUAAUUUUAAUUAAUUAACUUCUCAUAAGUGUGAAUAAAUUAAUUAUACCUUUGUGUAUGGUUGAAAGGUCUGUCAAUAUUGGAAAUGAUAUCUCAAGACUUCCUUUUUUUACUAAAUAAAGUGAAGCCUUAGUUUUCAUAAUUCACUUAAUUUUGGUUUCAUUUGUGUGGUAAUUUAAUCAUCUCUAUCCCAAACAAACACACUCCAUCAUGUCAUUAACAAAAAAAAAAAAAAAUCUAAAUUUAAUACGAAAUUUCACAAAUAUCCUAAAUUAAAAUUUAUUAUUUUAAUUAGAAUUUGGUAUAUUUUUAGAACAAUUUUAACCUUAUUUUCAUUAUUUAUUAUAUAUGAUUUUCAAAGUUAAUUUUAAAUUAUUUUCAUAUUCAUGUUAAGCUAAAUGAUAACUUUUUUUAUUUAUGUUAUUAUUAUGGAAAUAGAUAAAUCCUUUUUCUAAUAUGAAAUAAUAUAAUAAUUAAAUAUAAAUUUAUAUAACUAUUUUCAUUACCUUAUAAAAAAAUCUUAGAAAUUUCUUUCCGAGCUGGCAAUGAGUUCUUCAUCUUUUUUUUUUUGUGAUUUGUCACGUAUAUGUUACUGUAUAUAUUCAAUAAUACAUACAUAUAUUCUUUUUUAUGUUUUGUGAUUUUUUUGUGUGUAUAUAUACCAAUAUAUACACAUAUUAUAUAUCCAUUCAAUAUCUUUUUUAUUUAUUAAUAAUUCAUUUAUGUUUUGUGAUUUUUUACAUAUAUACUAUUACAUAUAUUCAAUAAUACACAUUUUCUUUUCAUGUUUUGUGAUUUUUUCUUGCUGCACUUAUAUACCUCUGUAUAUAUAAAUUAUGUGUCCGAUCAAUUUCUUUUUUAUUCUUACAUAUAUAUUUAUGCAUAAUACAUAUAUUUUUUGUGAUUUGUUACAUAUACACUACUUCAUAUAUUCAAUAAAACAUAAAUGAUGUUAUCUUUAGUAUAUUCAAUAUACCCUAAUAUAUUUAGAAUAUGAAAUAUAAAUUCUUAUUAACCUUAAUUUUUUGGUAAAUUUUUUUCGAAAGAUCACUAUACCAGUUAGUAACUGAUGUUCUUCUUCUUCAUCGUUCAUACUUUCACCACUUUUCUAUUAUUCUACGUCUUUUAUAAAGAAAAUGGAAUUAAUAUUCAACAUAUUCGAAGAAUGAAACUUUUACUUUAAAAAAAAAAAUAUAAACCCUAACCCACAUCCCUCAUUGUUCUUCUUGUUGGUUCACCUUCUAUAAACAAAUUGAUAUAACAUUUCAUUUAUAAAGUAUACAUUGUAUUAUUCAAUAUAUACUAUACUUAGGUGGAAUAUAUGAAAAAUAAUGCAAAAUGAAUGAAAGAAUGGAGGAAGUGAGAGAUUGGACAGUGAGAGAAAGAUCUAGAGAAGAUUUUUUAACAAAUUAAAUAACCAAAACAAAAAUAAUUAAGAAUUUUUUAAUUAUAAUAUUACCAUUACAGAAUUAUUGACUUACCAUAUUUACAUAGAAUAUCUAAUAAAUACAAAUAUUAAUCAUAAUCCACUUUCCUUUUUCUUUUUUCUAUUUUUUUAAUAUAUUAAUAAUAAUAAAUAUGAAUAAAUUAGUCAUUUCGAUCUUAUAUUUGUGUAAAAUAUUAGUCAAUUAAGAACAUUUAUAAAAAAAAUUGAGAAAUUUAUGUCAAUCCUAUAAUAUAGUAUACAAUUUUAGACUAUAUGAAUUAAAAACUCAACAAAUAAAAGUGGUAGAUGGACCCUUCUAUCUUGGGCUUUCUACACUUCGGGGUAGGCCCAUUAUCAUAAAUAACGAAGGAAAAUAUUGAGAAAUACUAGCAAUUAGAUUUUAAUUAAUAUAACAACGUAUUAACAAAAUCAAAAUUUUUUGUAAAUAUAGUAAAAUACGUCCAAGUCUAUAACUAAUAGAACAUGUUGCAAAUGUUCAUUUUACUAUAUUUGCAUUUUUUAGAAAAAAUUAUAUACGUCAUUUUUAGUUUUUGCGUUGGUAUGUAUAUAUAUAUACUUGUGUGUUUUCUUUGAAAUAAAUUUUGUGGAUGAAUGAGAUGGAAAAAUUGGAGUGUGGUUCCCACAAGCUACAAAAUCAAAAUGAAAAACCUUCAACCUAAGUUUAAUUUUUUUUAAAUCUUAUUGUAACAAUUGACAAUUGACACUACUUUUAUCGAUGAAUACCAAAAUUGUUAUCAAUGCAUUGAUAUUGAGUAUUGAGAGACAUUGAUAGGGAGUGUUAUAUGAGUGUAAGCUUGAUUAUGAGUCUCCACCUGAUUUUCCUACAGUGAGUAUUGAAUAUAUAGUUUAGAUAGUCAGUAAAUUCUACUACAUGCAUGUAUUUAAUAUCAAACCAUCUAUUUGAUAGGUAUGAAUAUAUAAAAGUAGUAGCAGGAACAUAAAUGAAAUAGAAAGAGUAUCAAAUUAAUUAUCUUAAUUAAUAACAAUAAUCUUUCCAUCUAUUUAACAAACAAUUUUUAAUGCACAAAACCAAUAGGAAAAACAAAGGAUUUGAUUUAACAUGCCUGUGUGUGAGUAAAUUGGAACAAGAAAUUCAUAUAUCUAACUAAUUACAUUUUUAUCAAUUAAUCUCAUCACUAAUCCAUAUAACAUUUCAGUAAUAAUUACACAAUAAGUUUCUCAAAUCUAAUCUUUUUUAGCACUUAUAAUCAAAGAGUGGCCCUUUGUUUCCAUUUUUUCCCUCCAAAUACUAAUCUCUACACUCAACCAUCAAAUACCUAAAGAUCUUAAUAAGAAUAUGAACAAGAACAAAGGUUCUAGGAACUAACCUGCAUUUUGAUUUCACUCCAUAUUUCAAGCAACAGCGGGCAAGUCCUUCAGCCAUGGAUCCAAUGGCUUCCCCACAGAGUAAACUAUGAAACCAAUGCGUCUCAACUUCACGGCAUCGACAAUGUUGCGACCGUCAAACACGAAUGAAGGCCUUUGCAUAUCGUUGUAGAUUCUUUGGAAAUCAAGUUUCUUAAACUCGUCCCAUUCGGUUAGAAAGCAGAGUCCAUGAGCAUCUUUUGUUGCUUCAUAAGCAUCCCAUUCGACGCGAACUUGUUUUAUAGCAGUCGGGCUCAUUGGCUGAAGAUGAGCCGGAUGAUCCCAAUCGAACUUCUCCGUUGAAAGGUCUCUUUCGAUGUGAUCUGCAGAAACUUGUGGAUCAUAUAUGCUUAGAUUUGCCUUUUCGCCUAACAAACCUUUGCACACAUCAAUGGCGGGUGUCUCUCUAGUGUCUCCUGUGUCUUUCUUGAAUGCGAAUCCGAGGAUGGCUAUCUUUUUGCCUGAGGCAGUGUUGAACAUGGAUGAAACCACUCGAUUGACAAAUCGGGACUUUUGGUAGUCGUUUAUUCUGAUGAUAUGUUUCCAGUAGUUUGCUACCUCUGGAAGGCCAUUACAUUCACAAAUAUACACUAGGUUUAAAAUGUCCUUCUGGAAACAAGAACCGCCGAAACCCUACACUCGCAUUCAAGAACUUCGGGCCAAUUCUUGUAUCCGUACCAACCGAAUGCGAUACUUCACUGAUAUCUGCACCAGUUGCCUCACAGAGGGCGGAAAUGGCAUUAACUGAAGAAAUCCUUUGAGCUAAAAAGGCAUUGGCAGCUAGUUUUGAUAGUUCAGCAGACCAUAGAUUAGUACACAGAAUGCUCUCAACAGGCACCCAGUUAGCAUACACAUUUUUUAGUUUUUCUAUCGCCUUUAAUUCCCUCGGGAGUUUCCCGUCCACCUAUAAGAACCCGGUUGGGAGUAAGAAGGUCUUGAAUAGCAGUUCCCUCAGCAAGAAACUCAGGGUUUGAGAGUAUUUGGAAGUUAAUCCCGUCGCUGUUGUGAGUCAAUAUCUUUUCAAUGGCCUCAGCUGUCUUCACAGGGACAGUAGAUUUUUCAACCACAAUCUUGUCCGAUUUCGAAACAUCGGCGAUCAUCCGAGCAGCGCUUUCCCAAUACGUAAGAUCAGCUGCUUUACCAGCUCCAAGGCCCUGAGUUUUAGUUGGUGUAUUGACAGAAACAAAGACUAUAUCAGCCUCACCAACGUGUUUCUCAACAUCACAGCUAAAAAACAAAUUCUUCCCUCUACAUUGUUUCACCACAUCUUCAAGGCCUGGCUCGUAUAUAGGAAGCUGUUCGCUAUUCCAAGCAUCGAUCCUCGAAACCGAAAUAUCGACUACAGUUACCUCGAUGAAGGGACACUUGAGAGCAAUCACCGCCAUUGUUGGGCCACCAACAUAGCCAGCCCCAAUGCAACAGAUCUUCACCAUUUCUAUUUGAUUCAAACAACAAUCAGAAGCAAAUGAAAGCAGAUGAUUACCUAAACUAAAUGCAACUAAACAAAAUCUCUAAUUUUCUCAUCAAUAACUCCACAUAACACAUCUCCAUUCCACAAUCCAAAUUCCAAACUACUAAAACCGUAAAUCCUUCCAACUCUAAUCGAGAACUAAAUUUUGGUAUAACAAAAUAGUUAAGACCUAAAAAUGCAUGCAAGUAAUCAAUUCAACAACCAGAAAUCCCUCUAAAAUCACAGUUUCCACAACAGCAUUCAACACCCAGACCUAAAAUAGAUUCACCCACCUACAAAAGUUUUGUUACUGGGCAAAAUCAAACUCAAAGAAGCAAGAAAAGAACAAAGUAAGCAAAACCCAGAACAUAAAAACACAAGACAGCAUUGUAAAAUCCAGGAGAAGCAAGAUGAAUGUGUGGUGCAAUCUUAGAACAGAGAUUAUCUUAGAGAAAUAAGGGGAAAUGAAAUCUUGAGAUGAAGAACAGAGAAAAUAUUACCUCGAAUAUUUGAAGACACUCAAAAUUUACUUGCAAAGAAUGAUGAAAUACAUUCAUUACAUAUAUAGGCCAAGAACAGUUUGCGAUUCAAUGCAUUAACAUUUUUGUCUUUUACUAAGAAAAUGGCCCACUCUGUCCUCUGUCCAUUUACUCAAAACCUAUAAAUUUGUCCAAUUAUCAACCGGUUUUGAUUGCUCUACCUUCCUCGUUCCUAACAAUUGAAAAGAUGAUUAAAUACACGAUACGAUAUUAUGUCUUCAAUCAUUAAACUAGUUUGAAAUUAUGUUUUUCAUUUUAACAUGUGUUUCUGUGUUGGGUUCUGUUAGUUGAGUUAAACUCUUAUUACACAAUUUGAUUUUAAAUUAUUAAAAGAACGAAAUAGAAAAACAUUUAUACAAAUAUUCAAUCUUGGAUUUUUCACAAGAUAUAUUCUUCUUCCUGGUUUAAAGUGUAUUUAUGUGAUAAGCAUUUAAAACACGAUUUUAAAUAUCAAACUCGUCACUCAUGCCCUCUUACAUAUUUUUGUUUUGCAAUGACCUAAUGUGGUUUGUUAGACAUAGAGUCACAAUAAGAAAAGACAAGUGGUUAAUUACUGACUUCUAUGAAAAAAUUGUUAUUAUAAAAUUUGGUGGAGAGACGAAUUUCUCAUGAAAAUGAUUGAGAAUGUUCCAAACAUAUAACAUAUAAUGAUAUAUAUAUCAUUGUAGAUAGGACAAUGAUAUGCCCAAAAACAAAGUGCAAAUAAUUUAUUGUCUUCUUGUCUUGGUAACCGAUGAGGUGGAAGCAAAAUGUGAUAUGAUUUCACAUGUGAUGUGAAAUAAUUUGUUCAAAUGAAGUCUUGGUCUAUAGUUUAUCAAAUAUCAAAUUUGAACUUGAAAAGGUGUAGAUAUUAGAGUACGUACAAGAUCGGAAUGGAAUAAAGUUUGACUAGCAUCAACCAAUCCCUGGAAAAAAAAUUUGAAAAAGUAACCUAUAACUCCAAUUUACCAUCGUCCAAACAUUUGAUUUUUGUUUUAAUUUGAUGCUUAAGUUUAAGAUUCACACUUCUAAUAUUGAUUUUUUCAACCCAUACUCAAUUUUCGAUUUUUACAUUUACGUCUAUUGAAACUUAGAGCACUAAAUUGAAACCGAAAUCUAAAAAGUGAGGAUUAAAAGUGUCACCAAAUAAAGAAAAACUAGACCAAAUUAUAUUUUAUAGAUAUCCAUCCUUAAUCAUUGAGGAGUGCAAUUCUACCAAGAUUGCUUUUAAAAGAAAAUGGAAGUAGUUAUAUAAAGGUAAUUAACAUAUAGUCCUGUUGACAUAAGUUCUUGUAGUAAAAUUAAUUAUGAAAAUAAAAACUAGUAAGUUCAAAUCUAUCACCGUAUGUAUAUAUGUAUGUAUGUAUUGCUGAACUAAAAAAUUUCAUGACAUUUUCACAUUUGCCAGAAGAAAUUAAAGCGCACAAUUAGGACAACUCAAACUGUAGCCAAUGACAACAAAAGCAAAAGCAUCAAACACUGUAGAAUUACCCUUCUUUCAUAUUCUCAGAUUUCUAAGAAGCCAAGAAAUUCUUGAACCAUUGAACCGAGUCCUUGGGGUAUCUCUUCAGCUUAUCCUUGUAAUCAACAAAGUAAAGGCCAAACCUUGAAGAGAAACCAGCUGCCCACUCCCAAUUAUCCAAUAGAGACCAUACGAAAUACCCUUUCACAUUGCAACCGUCUUCCCUGGAGAGCACACAAACCAUAUUUACAUGACCAGACAAGUAAAAUCACCAUUGACAAUUGAAGAACAUGAAGAAGAACUCACUUGAUGGAGGCCAAAAGGUUUGUUAAGUAGCCGUUGUGGUAUCUGAUCCUCUUCUCAUCCUUCAAUGCUUCUUUGAUUGGUUUGAAUGGGUCAUUUGGGUCGUCCAUCCCUGUUAUAAACCCAAUAACAAUGAAUCAGAACUUUACUUUUUGUCCAAAUUUUGUGUGCUUCGGAGAGCUUUGUAUUUACCAUUUUCAGUGAUGAUCACUAGUGGGUUUCCAUAGUUGUUCUUUAUGUAAUUCAUCAAACUUCGCAUCCCACGAGGAACAAUGUAUAACCAUAUUGAAUUUGCCUGCAAGUUCAUAAAAAAAAAAAGAUUGAGAAAUUAGAAUAGAUUAGAGUCUUCGUUUUUUUUUUUUUUUUUUGUCUUCUGGUUUUGCCAAAGAUUAAAAGCAGUAUCCUACCCUUUCUGCAAUGGUUUUCAAACCUUUGAAUGCUGCAUAAACAAAAAACAGAACCAGGGGAGAGUAUUAAAAGGGGUAAACUUCAAAUUCUGAUUCUGAUAUUUCUAAAGUAUUCAAAAGAGGUGGUGAUGAUCAGAUUAAGAGUUCUUACGAACGGUGAGGGCGCCAGAAUCAGCAAUGGUGUCAUUCAGUGUGGCACCAAUAAUGUUUGAGCGGUUGUGAUAAGCAUAAAAUGUGGUGUAGUGAUUUAUACCAACAAAAUCCUGAGACCCUUUCACCAAAGCCGCCUGCGACGGGGAAAACGUCGGUAGUCGCCCUCCGACCCUGCUUCUCAUGGAGGUUGGAUAAUCUCCAAAGAUCAACGGGUUGAGAAACCUGAAAGUGAAUGAAAAUAAAACCCAAUAUGAUCACCUCCAUUGCACCAACAGAAAUAGAAUGAAACUGAAACAUAUUGCUAUGAAUCAUCACCAUCCAAGCUGAAAAUCUUGAGCUCUUUUGGCUGCGUCAAUGUCUUCGGUGGAAUUCGAACCCGGUUCAAACCAGAUAACAUCGAGCGACAUCCCAAUCACUCCCUUCUGUAUCCUCUGCAAAAAUUCCACAUUCUUUCAUCAAAACAUUUCACAAUCUCAUUCAAAUGAAACCAGAAAGCAGAAACAGAACAAUGUAUCUGAGGAAUACGAAUUUCAAUGAAAAAUAAAUCUCAUUAUAGGGUUUUUUUUUUUUUUUUCUUUCUUACCUUGUACUUUCUUCUGUAAAUAUCGGAGACAGUAGCAUGAGAGAGGAGAAGAUUAUGGCCAACAAUGUAAGGCUCGGUAGCAGAGUUGCCAUCCCGACAAGUUAUGUGACCAAGAAUGGAGCAACGUCCCGGCGCCUGGAGACCAAGAUCGUAGCCCUGUGUAGCGAAGGUAUGGGGUUCGUUGAAAGUAAUCCAAUGCUUGACUCGAUCGCCGAACUUCUGAAAGCAUGUUUCGGCGAAAACCGCGAAAUCGUUUCUGCAAUUUCGAAGGUGUGAACUGAAAUGGAAUAGGAGUUAGGGUUAGGGUUAGAGUUAGAGUUUAGGGAAUUACUUACAUGAUUUGGGGACUGAGCCAGCCAGUGUAUUUGUCUUCUAGGGCUUGAGGAAGGUCCCAGUGAUAGAGAGUGACAUAGGGUUCAAUUCCUAAUUGAAGAAGGAGAUGCAGGAUUCAAACACCAUUGAAUUAAAGAACAAAGAAAAUGGCGUGAAGAUGAAGAAGAUUCAUACCAUUGGCUAAUAGAGCAUUGAUGAAAUUGUUGUAAUGAGCAACUCCUGCGUCAUUCACCUCUCCAUUUCCAUCUAAUAUAUCAACCAAAAAUCACAUCACACCUUAUUAAUAAUCUCUUUUUUUCAGUUAAUUACUAAUAAUCUUUUUAACCAAAAAACAAAAUAUUUAUUAAAAAAAACAAAACACCAACAAAAAUUCAAUUUAUUAAAUAAAAAAUUGCAAUUUAAGGUUGUGUUACAUAAAUUUUAAACAAUUAACUAGUUAAGUCAGUUUAGUCUCAUGAUUUUAAAAGUUCCAAUUUUAUCAAAUCGAACUAGAUAUCUUUGUUGAAAUGAAGAAUAGUAUAUAUAUAGGAAAGAAAAGAGGAUGAAUUACUUGGGAAGAUCCGAGACCAAGCAAUGGAGAAUCGGUAGGCAUCCAUACCCAUAUCCUUCAUGAGUUUAAUAUCUUCCUGUUUCCAAAAUUUUCAUUUUUAUUUAUUUCAAUUCUUCUAAUUACAUUUAAUAGUUUGGUUAAAUCUGUUCUAAAAAAUGUAUGUGUGUGGUUACCGGAUACCGAUGGUACUGAUCCACUGUCACGUCUGCAUUACUGAAAUCAAGCACCUUUCCUGUCAAUGUCAUUAAAAUAAUAUAUUUACAUAUAAAAUAUUACAAAAUUUUAUAAUAUAUCAGUGUUUAUCAAUACCAUUAAAAAAAAUAUAAAUAUUUAUCAAUAUCUAUCGUUAAUAGAAUUUAAAAUUUUAUUAUAUAUAUUUUAGUAUCUUCUCAAAUUCCUUUUGAUUUCUAAUGCAUAAACAAUAUCCUUGUUUAACCUAUCGUGGCAUUAAUAUUGAGAUAUUGUUUAACCUAUUGUGGCAUUAAUAUUGAUCAAGAAGACAAUGAUAAUAUGUUGACUAUAUUUAGAAAUUAGGUUAAAAUUAUGUUAUGUUUUAAUUCGAAAUAUAUAUAACUUAGUUGACAGAAAAUUAUGCGUUGUUUUUUUUUUAAAAAAAGAAAGAAAUUCAAUUUUGUUUUUGGUAUGACAUGCCUUAUUUAAUUGCAUCCUCACUCGAUUAAUAUUAGGAUAAUUAUUUUAAUAUCAAAAUUAUUGAAGAUUAUUUAUAAAUUUAAGAAAAUGUCACAAUUUAUUUGAAAAAUAUAUUUCAAUUAAAUAACAUUUCAAAAUUAUAUUUAUAAACAUUUGGAUGAUUCUAAGAAAAGAAAAGUUAAGUUGCAGAUCAAACUUAAAUUUUGUUUAUACUUUUUUAUUUUACUUUUUUAUUUUAUUUUUCACUUUUUUUAUAAAAAUAAAUAAUAAACAAUUACCAAAUGUAUGAGAAAACGUAUCCCAAAUUGUGGGUCCUCUUCCGUCAUCUUUUACCGCGCCUUCGUACUGUAUUCACGUAGAGUUAAAAAAAACAAAACUACAAUGAGUGACAGAGUCAAUAAUUACGUAUAGAGUAUCAUGUCACUAAAAGAAUAUAAAACUAUGGUAAAAGUAAUUCAUAACUUCAUAGUUUAACUAAUUUAAUACAUAUUACGAGUGUUCUCUACAAACAUUUUAUGUUUCAUAAUUGAACUAAAUUCCCUAAAUGAAAAGAUAUGAUUAUGAGACUAGCAAAUACACUAUUUGAAGAACUACAUAAGCAUCGUGAAUAUUAUCAUUAUGUUUUAAAAAAUUUAGUCGUACUAGAAAUUUAAGAUGAUGGCUCAGUAAUUUUGAUUGUUAAUUUUCUUUUAAAAUAUCUUUCCAUAUUGUCGUGUAUUGUCAAUAAAAUUAUAAUAUAUAAUUAACUAAGUAAUAGAACUCUCAAAUUUAUUUGAAAAUUAGGUAGAAAAAGGAAAAAUAAAAAUUAACAGUAUUUUUUAAUGGAAUAUUAUUGAGAUGUAAGAAUGAAAUUUUAGGUCGGAAUCUCGUAAAUUCCUUUGUUGUUAUUGUUUUUCUUUUUAAACUCAAAAAUAUUUAUUUUAGUGCUAAAUUCAUAUUUUAGACAGAAAAUUUGAUAUUAAAAUAAAAAUUAAAAGUACAAAUAUGAUUACAAUUGAAAAAAGAAACAGAUGAUAAAAACAAUUUAAACAAAUAAAAUGACAACAUGGUGAAGAAAUAUUGGUAUUCACACGUUCUAAUAAGAUUGUAAUGCAAUCCACAGUUCGUAUCUGAAUUGAUCUUUUUGAGUCCGAAUAAUAUUAUUAAACUUAUUUCGUUUUGAAUUUUUUUUGUUAAAACUAUAUUUUUCUUUGUUUCAACUUGGGGUGAAUAAUUUGAAUUCAUAACCUCAAUUCAUGUCGACAUUUCAUUUUUGUUUUGCCCUCAACUUGACAUGCACCACUAUAUUGACCCUCAAGGAUUAAUAGUAAGGAUUAUAUUUCAACUUUUCAAAUAACCCUUACCAAUAUUUGUUAACAUUCCAUUUUCUUGAAAGAAACAAGAUCGUGUGAGAUUUUAAGGAUAAUUUUCUAGAAUUCAUGAUAUUUUUGUAUCAAAAUGAUCAAAUUACAAAACACAGAUUGUUUGCUUAUUUUGGAAAUGCCUUUUUCUUUUAUUUCUACAAAGAGAAAACUUGUUUUCAAGUAAUUUAAAAACAUAAAACGUAAAAACACAAAAUGAAAGACAAAUAAAUAGUUACAAACCCAGAUUUAAAUUACUUGAAGCAAAAACGAUAGUAACAAAGGCGUGCAAGAAAAUAGAAUUAACCUUAGAGAAAAAGUGCAAGGAAACAAAUCAGCUUUCCUCUUAAAACCAACUCCAUUCAAAGCUUAGUUUACUUCAAUCAAUCUUCUUUCUAACAGUUUAAAAUUUGAGGAAAAUUAUUUCCCUCUCUCUAAAAUUCUUUCCCCCAUCUUUCUAAAUUUACAAUAAUCAAUCAAUUUACGUUACACAUUUUCAAAUAACCAAAUUUCCAAUUAUAUUAAUAUACAAUUUAAAAUUUAGCUUUUUGUAAAUAAGAAUCCAAAAUAAAUUUAUUUGGAUCGUUUUUAUUAUCGUUUUUUAUAUAAUUUUUUCAAUUUAUCAUUUUUGCUAAUUAAGAUUUUUUCUAUUUUUAUUUUUUAUAAUAAUUUAUCUUUAUUUUCUAACUCAAAUUGUCAAAAAUAUAAAAACUAACAAAAUAUUACGCUUUAAAAAUGGAAAUAGUUUUUUUUUUUUCUACUUUUGAAAAAAAAAACCCUCUUUCUAAACAACAAAUAUACAUACAUCAUAAUAGUUAAAAUGAUAUACCUAAUAAAUAGUAUAUUUUAAGGGUAUAUAUAUAUAUAAAGUAUACACCAUUAAAUAAAAUAACUAUAACAUUAAUUAAUAAUAUAAAAAAAAAAAAAACUGCACAAAUUAAAUCCUUGUCUCUUUCACAUGCCAGAAAAAUUCCAUCCAAUAUAGUUUUCUAUACUUUUUCUAGAAUAACAUUAAUAACAUAACAUAUUUAUUUCUUUUUAUGAUUACAAAUCAAAUCCUUAUCUCUUUCCUAUUAUCCCUUUUUUCCAGAAAUUAUUUCAAUCUAUGCAGUGUUCUUAUGCCCAAAAAACCAACAACUGCAUGUGUGUUCAAAAUAUACUUUUCGAGUAAUAUAAUAAAAACAAAGUUACAAAUAAUAAUAAAAAAAAAAGUUUUUCUAUAUUUUGUAAAUAUUUUUAAUAAAACAAAAGCACAUACCUCUGAUUGAGUUUAAAAUCACUUCGGUGGAGAAAUUGAUGUUGCAACGUUAAAUUUUAAAAAAAGUAUUAUAACCUUGAAAUUGAAAAAUACGAUUGUUCUAAAUAUUGCAAUAUUACAAAUAACGCCCUCAUAUAUUAUUUUAAUUAUUUCUAAAACUGGACAAAUUAUAUAAACUACCAAAAAGUUGGAUCAUAAGUAUUCCAAUUGUACCCUCACUCAAACUUCCUACUACCCAAACCCAAUCCUAAGCUUAAAAAAUUGUAAAAAUGGUAUAAGUUUGAGUGUUUAAUUUCUAUCGUUUUUUUAUUUAGAAGUAUAUUAUUUUCAUAUCUGGAAAUAAUAAUUAAGAAAACGUUUAAAAAAUAAGAAAUAAAUAAAGGAACCUGAAAAGCAGAGGAGGCAGUUCCGAAAACAAAUCCGCUCGGAAAACUGCUUCUGCUGAUCUGCGCCGAACAAAUCUGAACCCCUAAAACCACCAUGAUUACGACUAACACGCCGACGCCUUUGGUGGCGCCUCUUCCUCCGGCCGUCAUCAAGCCAAGAGAUGGAGAGAGAGAGAGAGAGAGAGAAUUUAAAAUUUUGGUUUAGGAAUUGGAUUUUGUCGGUAUUGCGUCGGGCAAAUUGAAGUGAAUAUGAAGAGAUGGAGAGAGAAUAAUGUGAACGGAGAGUGAGGGUGGCGAGGGUGGGGGAAAGAGCGUCAAAGAGAGAGGGAAUUUCUGGCUGUCCUUUUUAAAAUUGGCAGCGCAAUUAGCUUUUGUGUGGAAAUCCAACUAAAAAGAAAGUCCCUCAGUUCACACGCCUUCCAUUCAUUUAUAUACUUUUUUUUUAUAUAUAUAUAAAUCACUUUUUUUUUAUUAUUAUUUUUCCAAUUAUGCUUUUUUCUUAGGCCACAACGUAUUGUUUUGUUGUCAUCAAUCCUAACUUAACAAAUUUAUCAUUUUCAUUUAAUCUUUUUUAAACUAAAGUAUUAUUUUUUAUCUUCAAUUUAAGUAUAGUUUAUGAAUUAAGUAUCAAUCCAUCCAUUUUUGGAGGUUAAAACUUUCGUAUUUCAUCAAUAUAAUAAAUUUAUAUAAUAAGAGUACACCAAUACUUUUUAUCAUUUAAAGAUUGAAAAAAUGUGUUAAUUAACAUUAUUGUAAAGGUACCAUCAUCGCUAAUUGAACCAAUUAUUCAUCGUUCUUAAGAUGAGUCCAAUGGAAAUGAUUGGACAAGGCAUUCCCACUUCUAUCCAAUGUGAACAUGAAUUUAGUAUUUAUUGGUUGCAUAGGAGAACACAACCCAGUUGAUGAAAAUAUUAGUUUAGUUUCAAAUACUAUUUAAAUUAUCAACCUCCUUGUUAAGAAAUUUGUACGUAUUUACCAUUACAAAUUAAGCUCUUUUCUUUUUCUUUUCCUCAAAUGAGUAAAUAGUUUUUCUAAUAUAUAUGCGAAUUACUGUUAUCUUUGAAGACUAAAAGACCUAGAAUAAUACAUAAUACUUUGUUAAAUUGUCUUUUGUUUUUAUUUCAUAGCUGGUUUUUUUUUUAAUUUUAUUAUUAUUAAUUGAUAUGUUGAAAUUAAAUAGGCAUAAAUUUUAAAGUUAAAUGACUAAAAAUGUGUAGUUUUAUUUAAACUUUAUGCAUAAUCCCACGUCUAUGUAUUUAGACCAAAACGAAAAAGAAAAUAGACACAAAAUGGAAAGUUGUUUCCUUUUAUAAUUUAACUUAUUUUUAAAGUUUUACAUAAUCAUCAUUUCAAUAUUAAACCUUUAAGAGAAGGAGAGGAAAAUAACUGACAAAAGAAGAAGAAAAAGUAUUAAAUAUUUGGCUCCGUUUAGUAAUCAACUAAUCAUUUUAUUUCCAAUAAUUUGUCCUAUAGAAUUCAAAAUUUUAAGAUUAGAUGAGUGAUAUCGUUAAUCUAUGUCCACGUUAGCACAUGUUUAACUCAAAAGUGUAAAAAGUAGUGUUAAUAUUUGGGAAUAUUAGGAAGAUGUAGUUUGUACACGUCAUUAGUCAAAGGUCCAGCUGGGCAAUAACUCCUCCAUUUCAAUUGGAUAGGAAAAGAAAUUCUGACGAUCCUAUCACCUUUUGCCACGUUCACACUGCAUGCAUUGCGCGUGAGAUUAUCGUUUGUUAUCAAUUAAUAAAUUUGGAAUCACAAAUCAUAUAUGACAAGUUCCAGAAUGUUCUACACGCAACACUAUGCUAAGGAUGACGUGGUACAUUUUAUUUCUUUUUUCUUUUUUUAUAAACUCACAUGAUCACAAUUUUUUUUAAAAAUAUUUAUAUUAAAUGAUAAAUUUACAAGUUCAUAUCUUGUUAGUUUGAAAUUUGGUAGGAAAUAAGAAUAUUGAAGUUUAAUUUUAUAUAGAUGUUGAUGAAAAUAUAUUCAUGGCGUUUAUCAAAAUCUAUCGUAAUAUAUUUUAUAAAUAUUUUUAUUAUUUUAUCAUUUAUAAUCACUUUUAUAUAUUAUACUUUAAAUUUCACAUUUAAUUAUUGUUAUUUCAUAUUGUGGUAUUUUAAAAAUGGAAAAAUAUAUGUUCUAUAUAGUAUAACAUGUGAAUGAUGCAUGCAUCAAAUAGACCAAAAAUGAAAUAUUAAUUUUCUCCUAGCAAAGUGAAGAAAGAGUACAAGGAACAAGUUCUAUAUGUUGCAUUCUCUCAUACUCCAUUCUUCUUUAUUUCUAUUCAUUAAAUUUCCUAAAAUUAUACAAACUAUUUUUUAGAAGGAACAAAACACAUUUAUAUUAUAUAGACCAUUUUUUCAACCUAAAAAAAUAGACUUAAUCGAAUUUGUUCAAAUCAAAGAAAAAAUCAAGUGAAAAAGACUAAAAGAACAAAGUGUACGUUUCAAGGGCUCUUUGAGUGUGCAUGCGUUUAGUUCAAAAAACUUCAAAGGGUCCAACUCAACUGAGGUGGAAAAUUGAAAUUUUAGAUAAAUAAAUAGUGCAUAACGAGUCUUAAUGAAUUAAGGCAAGUUGUUAAGUCCCUAUUUCUGAAACCCUAAACUUAAGCAUGAAAUCUAGUGUGGUUAAACAAUACUCAUCAAACUAAUGUGUGUGCAAACGUCUUCUAUUAUAUUCGUUUUGAAAAAUUUGCUAACCAUGUGUAAACAAGCAUACACAGGUAUGUUUUAUAAUGAUUUGUGUAUCAUAUAUAUAUAUUUUGUUAGAAAAGCAUGUGGACCUUUAGCCUAUUAUAAAGUUACCUCUAUUGUUGUCCCACAUUGAUAAAAAUGGAAAAGAUAAAUAAGUAUAAAUAGUUAAGUGCCACUAAAAAUAUAUAAAUUAUGUUGAUGUUAAUAGUAUGACCUAACGGUCACCAUGCGUCUUGUCCCACGUCUACUUGAAUAUCACCUCAUACAUAUAUUCAAGUUUCAUGUAGACGUGAAAAUUCAAUUUUUUUUAACAUUGUAACAAUUGGGCUCCUAAACUUAUAUAAAGGGUCGAGAUACAUUAUUUCAAAAUCCUCCAUCUACUAUCGUCUUUACUAUUUUACAUUCAUCAUUUUCUUUUUUAAUUUUUCGCUAAUUAAAACGUUUACUAUUUUCUUAUCCAACUAAAAUAGUUUACACACUUAACACAUACUAUAUACUUUAAGUUUAAUUUUUAUCAUUUUAGAGGCUUAAAUUCUAUUAUUAUAAGUUUUGAGAAUUUACGUUUUACCAUUGAAAAUUUUACAAUAUGAUCACAAAUUAUUACCAUAAAUUAGGGUAUACUUAUUGUUUUGUAAUAUCUAUAAUGAAAUUUCAAUGGUUGAUGUGUUUGGUGAUUUAUUUGAUUCUUGAUGGAAUAAAACAUGAGAGAAAAAAAUUAAUGAGGAAUGUUGGUGUACCUAACUUAUUUAGUUUGAAUCAAUUAGUUUUGUGUAAAGAAAAAAGGUUUGCAAAUUAAAUUACCAAUAAUGUAAUAAUACAUUCAAAGAAGUCAUCCAUAGCCACAUUGAAAUAUAAUGUCUUUGUGAAUUGUACCCAUAUAAUAUUAUCUCUAGCCACAUGUUACAAACUUAUAUGCUUAAAAUCAUUAUUUAGUCCGCCAAUAUGAAUAAAAUUACUUUAAUGUAAAUUUGCUAUACGAGAUAUUUUCAAUUCUAACAAAAUAAAUUAAAUUAUUUAAAAAAUAUAUUAAAAUUUUAGAUUAUAUCAUCCAUUCAUUGUUUACUAUAAUUAUAAGAUUCAAAUAAAAAAUAAACUAUCGACUUAUUGUUGAUAAAACGUUAAUUCAUAUGAUAUAUCUGAUGUUGUAAUAAAGGUCCUAAAAAUGUCAAAAAGCAAAGAAAAAAAGAAGAAGAAAAGAACUACUUUUUAGAAAGUUGGAAACUCUUUUAUAAAUUUUGGUUUAAAAUUCAAAGAAAUAAAAGUAGAAUGUAGUUUACACUUUAUGACAAUGUAGACUUAAAGUUUAUAUUUGGUUUCGUGAUAAAUUUUAUUGAAAUCAAGUGUCAAUUUUUAUUACAUAGUAUUUAAAUUUUAUGAAUAAAUUUAUUUUUUAAUAAGUUUACCAACCCUAUACGUUUAAAAUAUUUGAGUAUAAAUAUAUAUAUUUUUAAUUCACGCUCAUAAUUCACACCAAAACGUGAAAAAGAAAUCAAACCAUGUUUUUAUAUUAUAUAUAUAUAUAUUGAUGCCUAUUUUUUAUAUAGAAGUAUGCCGGUAUAUAUUUAUUUCAUUUAGAGGUUUCUAUUUCAUACACAACCGCCGACUUCAACAUGUAUAUAUGUCUAUGCUAUUUAUGUUUAAAUCAUGUAAUAUUGAUAAUUUUUUUAAUGUAAACACAAAAAUCUUACCUAUAUUUUUCUCUCUCUCCUCUUUAAUUUUUCUACUAAAAUUAUUUUAUUAAUAAAAUGAUUGAAUGACUUGUACUUUAGUUAUGUUAAAACAAUGUAAAUAUUAUUAAAAUUUAUUAAAUAUACAUAAAAGGUAAUAAAAUGAAGCAAGAAAUAUUAAAGUCCUUCGUUUAAUUCUUUAUUUACAAAAUCAUUAAAUGAAAUUAUGAAUUCAUGUUUAUAAUUUCAUAUUUUCAAAAGAAGUAUGAUUUGGGUGAAUAUUUUAUCCUUUCAUUGUAAUUUUUUUAGUCUUACUUUAGCCACAAUUUUGUCAUUCACAUAGAUUGAAUGUGUGUGGUCAUUUUCACAUUAAACAAAAUAAAAAUUACAUUUCGUUAAUUAAUUUUUCAUUUCCUCGUUAAAAGAAAAAUGUUUUGAUUCCAUAACGGAUAUUAGUUAAUGCUCUAUGUUAUUAGGGGCUUAGGGCUACAAUGUAACUUUUCUAUAUGUUAUUUACACAACUAAAUUUUUUUUUAUCAUACUUUAUUCAGAUAUAUAUAGAUUAGAUGGUUAAGUUUGGAUAGUAUAAGCUUAAAAUAUUAAGAAAUAGAAUUUAAAUGGUGAAAAAUGAUACAUUGGAAGGAUGUAAAUAUAAAAAAGAUAUAAAUAUGUAAAUGUUGAAAUGAUUGUUGUUAAAUUAAAAAUUUUAUUGUUUAUUGCUAUAACUAAAUGGCUCAUUUUCGUAGCUUUCAAGUCUCACGUGCUCCACCCUCUCCUAUUUCUUUCCGUUUAGCAUCUCAGUUCCGCCGCUGCCGUUCUUCGGUUCGUGCUCGUACAGCAUCCUAUCUAACGGCUCUGCACUGAUUGGUAUUCUCCCAAUCUCCAUCUAUCUCUGUCUCCUCACUCGAAUAACGAAAGAAUGGAAGAUUUGUAUGUAUUAUCAUGAAUUUUCCAGCAUCUCCCUUCUCAGUCGAAGUAAUUCAAUUAUCUUUUAAUCACAAGCACGUCCGGCGGCUAUCUUUUAAUUGACCGAACAACCUCAACAAUAUUUCUAUUUUGUAUAUUUGUUUAACCAAUGAUGGUCUGAAUUUACUGAAUAUAAAAGCCUUCCUAGUUCCUUAUGCUUCAUACUUGAUACUCCACCCUCCAUUUAUUCUUCUUCUAUUGCUAUUAUUAUAUUUCUAUAGUUGAUUGUGUCAAAUUAGAGUCUGUGACUGUUUUGAAUGAUAGCUGGACGUGUUUCGAUUGAUUUUUUGUAUUGAAAAUGUUUAUGUUUUGGUUUUGUUACUUCUGACUAAUUGGAGAAGUUUUAUAGCUCCAUUGGUUUGGGCAUGCUGUCUUUUUUCGUGUGUGUGUGUGUAAAUUUCAUACAUCAAUGAAAUUUGUUUCUUAUAAAAAAGAUGAAAGGUUUGGAUGAUUUGAUUUGAUGAUUUCUUCUGCUGAGAUUGCAAUUUGAAACUGUGUGUUUUGUUUGAAAUGUUUAUGAAUGAUUCGGAUGCCAAAUCGAUGGUGUAGUUGUCUUUCCGCUUGCUAAUUAAAACAAAGUAAUAAAGUGUAAGUGAACUUUCUUUUGGGCCUGAAUAUCGAACUCGAUUGGGAAAACACCAGGACGGGCCAAAGAAACAGUUGGUUGGGAUGAAAUGUUAAUUACUAAUUCUGAGGAAGUUAAUGAGGUUGGACCUUAAUUAUUGAAAGCCAAGGAUUUUUUUUAUUAAAUACAACUUGCUUUUCAUUUUAUGGAUGGAGUUCAACUCUUUGUUUUUGGUGCUGUUUUUAGGUCAGUUUUUGUUUAAUCUCCCAGAAAUUUUUUAUGAGUGAGUGUCUAGAUAGCUUAUGCCUACCUUGAUUAAUUUCAGUCAGAAAGCAGAUGUAUUGAAGGUCAAUUAUCAAAUUGAAACUACCAAACCCAAAUCCACGGCUACGAUUUGAAAAAUGGAAGAUGAAGAUCCACCACUCGCUGUUGAGAUUGGCGAAACAAUUACAGCUGUCCAACAACAUGAAGAUGAUGGUGUUUCUGUUGGCGUUACAGUUAUCACUGGAUAUCUUGGAGCUGGAAAAUCCACCGUAACUUACACUCUGAAACUUUUCUCCUUACCCCCUCACUCGAUUUCUUUUUGCAACCAUCAAAUUUGAGCUAUAGAAUGAUAUUUCUUGUUUGGUGGAAUUCAGUUGGUUUAAUUACGUAUUGAACUCGCAACAUGGCAAGAGAAUUGCUGUUAUACUGAACGAAUUUGGGGAGGAAAUUGGAAUUGAGAGGGCAAUGAUAAAUGAAGGUGACGGUGGGGCGUUGGUUGAGGAAUGGGUCGAAUUAGCAAAUGGAUGUAUUUGUUGCACUGUUAAGCAUAGCCUGGUUCAAGCCUUGGAGCAACUUGUGCAGAGAAAAGAAAGGUAUUCUCUUGCUGUUAUAUUAGAUUUCAAUGGAGCUUCUGGAAAAAUACGUUGAUGAUUUAGUCCAUCUUACAUGUCUCUAGGCUCGAUCAUAUUUUGUUGGAAACUACGGGAUUAGCCAAUCCUGCUCCACUUGCUUCUGUACUUUGGCUGGACGAUCAAUUGGAAUCAUCGAUCAAGCUUGAUUCAAUUAUUACAGUCAGUUCUUAGUUCUUGUUCCUUCACGGUUUGAGUUAGUUUCCCCAAGUUUACUUUGAAAUACGUAUUAUAGUUUGGAAAUGUUUGUGAAUUACAUGCUAUAGUUCUUAAGUUUAAGAAUGUGUCAUAUUUGAUGUUUGAUUGAAAUUAAGAUAGCCAAUGAAGCUUAAGUUUCCCCUUGUUCUAAGGUUAAAUUUAUGUGUUGGCUUUCGUUUCUAUGUUGUUAUUUAAUUCGAUUUUGUCUGUCCAUGAGUGGAUGCAUGGUGUAGUAAAUACUUGAAUACUUCAAACUUUGUUUUAAAUUCUUUUUCUAGUGAUCUAAAGGUUUCACCCAAUAAUAACUCCUUAUGUUCAUUUGGAUGAAUACAUGCAAGUAGGUCGUGGAUGCUAAAAAUCUUCAUUUUCAAUUGAAUGAGCACCGUAGUUCAUCAUCCUUUCCGGAAGCAUUUCAUCAAAUUGUGUUUGCGGUAAUAUUCUUAUUCUUAGUUCUUUUAUGGUCUCUGCAAGUUUGCAAUCUACCAUUAAUUAUGUCAAGCAACUGCUGGGAUCUUCAUUAUUUAUCAUUUUUCAUUCCAUUAUUACUUAGUAUUUUUGUUUGUUUUAUUUCUGUCUCUCUUGCUAUAUGGUUUGUUUUAUUUCUCUCUUUUGCUAUAUGGUUUGAUUUAUUUCUCUCUUUUGCUAUAUGGUUUUCUCAAUAAUUGUCCAAUGUGCACGCCUAAGAAGUUGUGAAUCUGUUAUCCAUCAUAGGAUACUAUUAUUCUUAACAAGGUCGACCUGGUCUCUUCAGAUCGUGGUGAUGGUGCAUUGGAGGACCUGGAGUAUGAAAUACGUAACAUUAAUUCUCUUGCCAAAAUCAUUCACUCUGUUCGGUGUCAAGUAGACCUGUCUCUCAUACUAGACUGCAAUUCCUAUAAUGCUGCUGUUAGUCAUGAACUUAACUUUAACCCCUAGCUCAUUUUCUAUUUUCGUAUCUGUCCUCUUUAUCUGAUACUAUUCAGUUUUUCCCCAUUUAGAAUACAGCUCAUUUAGAAGCAUUAUUGAAAGAAAGUCGUUCUUUAUCUACUCAAGAUCUUCAUGAUACUGGUGUUCGAACCUUGUGCAUUAGUGAAGACGACAAAGUUGACCUUGAUAAGGUAGUUUCAUGUAUUUCCGUUAAAGAUUGUGUGGUUCCAUCUUAUUUUAAAUUGCUUAGGCAUUUAAGAAUUUCACGACCUGGAGUGUAGCUACAUCCAUGCUGAUUUAUGUUUUAGCCAAAGAUCCAUUGAAGUAAUAAUAUUCUGAACUACUAAUAUAUCUUUCCAUUGGCUUGCUGAUCUAUUUAACGAAGUAUUUAACUUUCGAAGUGAUUAUAUAAAUCGCUCAUCUUCACUAUGAGCAUGAUGAUUGAAGUAGGCACAAUUCGUACAAGCAAUAUAAGUUACUGCCUUGGAAAUUCAUGAUAUUUCUCAUUAAUCUGCAUUUCAUAUCCGAUCUUCGUGAUGGUGCUAUUCUCAUGCCUACCUUAUUUUCCAAUAGGUUCAUUCUUGGCUUGAGGAGAUACUUUGGGAGAAAAAAGGUGGCAUGGAUGUGUAUCGUUGCAAAGGAGUUUUAAGCAUAAAAAAUUCUGAUCAGCUACAUACUUUGCAGGUAGAUCAUGUGCUUAAUCCUAUAGUUUUUGCUGUUGGAAAAUCACUCCAAACAGGCUUCUUCUUUAACCAUCGUCCUAAUUUCCCAUCCUUUGUUAAUCCGAUUUCCAUGCAUUCCUUUUGGGUUUUGAACCCAAAUGAAAAGGUUGAGUUAUUGCGACGAUACUUCCUAACAAGAACACUCAAGAACAACACAGAAAACUCAAGAAGACUCAAAUAUAAAAACAUAUGGAAAUAUACUGUAAUAUAUACUAUAAGAGAAGUAGCAAGAUAACCUUGCCUUCCAAGUGGGCUAGUCCAAAGGAAAUCUCACAAAAUUCCUCACUCUUUGCUCCUUAUCUCAUUCCCUUUAUUUAUAAGCCCUAACAAUACCAACAUUCUACUACUAAUCCUACUAUAUCUCUAACUAGGGAGCUCUUUUUCAUGUUAAUGACUGAUUUUGAUUGGUGGCUGACAGGCAGUUCGGGAAUUAUACGAGAUCGUUCCUACACGGCAAUGGAACAAUGGAGAAAGUCAGACGAACAAGAUAGUGUUCAUAGGUAAAAGACAUACAAAAAUAUCCACGCCCACGAACUCUUACAAUGUGUUUAUUGUUGAAACUUACACAUUGUCCAUAAUAUGCAGGUCGUAAUCUGAACGAGGAUGUUCUCAGCAAAACCUUUAGAGAAUGUGCUUCUAUCUCCUAAAUUUUGUUGCUUUACUAUUUGUUCGACUACAUAGGCAAACAAGGAAGAGCAUAUGCGUAGGUGAAAUGGUUUUGUAUGAUUUCGAAGUCCUUUUUUUGUAUGUUAACUUGGAUAAGUGUUUCCUAAAUUAACUGUCUUUCGGUCUUGUUAGAGGUGUUCUAGAAAGGUUUUUGAUGGAAAGAUUUGUGAACGAAGGUACCAUUGGAUGUUUAUUUUUCUAAAUGAAAGUUCUUUUGAAAGUUAACAUUGCAAUAAAAAUAUCAAAAAUUAAAUUAGUUAAAUUAAAAAAAAAAAAACAAGAAUAACCAUUAAAUUAUAAGAUUCCCAAAUUAUAGUUUUAAAAAUUGAUUGUUCGUUCUCUUGCGAUUCGUGCUUCUUCCAUUUGUGAGGGUGGUCGCUAUUGGCUUUCUUCUCUUCUUGUUAGGAAUUAAUGAAGUUUAUUUUCUUCAAAAAAAAAAGAAAGAAAGAAAGUUAACUUACAACGUGUACAUUGAAGACAAAGAAGCACAUGUUUUGAAUUUCCUAACUUAAAUUAUGAAAGAUCAAAAUAAUAUUGCAAUAAAACAAAAGUUUAGAUUAUAUAUUGAUACUCUAUAUUUUAAAAUGCCUCAUAUUUAAAUUAUGAAAUAUAUUUUAAAAAGUGCUGUUUUUUUAGGAGUUCUUAUGGAUUAAAAAAAAAAAAGAAAUUCUUAUGGAUUUAAAAAAAUUUAAAAUUAUUUGCAAAAUAUAGAGAAAAAAAGAAAUUUUUUUUUGACAAAAUAUUUACCCAUCCUGAAACAAAAUUUACACUUGAUUAAAUAUUUAAAAUAUUUUUUUUAAAGGUUCUAUUUUUAUGAUUUAUAAAAAAGAAAAAAGUAUAAAAUUUAUUAAAAAAAAUCAGAUAGAUUUUGCUCUAUUUUACAAAGGAAAUUUUUAAAAAUGGAAGAAUUUGCAAAUUAUCUAGGUCUAUAGCAAAAUUUUAAUCCAACUACAAAAUGGAUAACUAAAAUUUUAACCCGAAUUCAAACUAUUCAUUUUUUUUUUCUACAUGUAAAUAGUUUUCAUUUUCUUCUUUCAUGUAAAUUCUGGUUUUGUUUUAUAAAUAGUUUGGAUUUUUUUGAUACGUUUAAAAAUGUCAUUCUUUUAAUAAUUCAUUUGUUUGUAUUUACUCCUUAAAAAAAUAAAAAUAUACUUUGAACGGCUAAAAUAUUGGUUAUCAUAUUGAUUAAAAUUCUGUCAUGAAUUGUAUAUAUUUUGUAAAUUCUUCUUAGUUUUUUUUUGAGUCGUUCCAUUUUUUAAAAUAAAAUGAAAAUAAGUAAAAUUGAGCCCUAAACAUAUGUAUGUAUCUUCCUCUCACUUUCAAGUCUCACGUGCUUCACCUUCCGUCUUUAGCAGCUCAGCUCCGCCGCUGCCACUUUCCAGUUCGUUGUCGCCGCCGUUCUUCCGCUCGUGCCAGCGCCGCAUCCCUCCUAACGGAUCUUCACUGAUUUUCCACUCGGUUGUUGCUACUGGUAUUAUCCCAAUCUCCAUCUAUAUCUAUCUCUUCACUUCAAAAACAUAAAUUAGGGCUUUUCUAAUGAAAAAAUGGAAUAUAUUUUUUUUUUGUUUUUGUUUUUCUUAAUAACCAUACCCGAAUAGCAACGAAAAUAGAAGAAACCCACCUUUUGAUUUGCUGCAUAUGUCUGUCAAUUGAGGCGUCCAUAUAUCUCUUUGGUCUCUGCUGAAAAUUUCCUUGCUUCUGCACCAAUGAAUUUUCCAGCUUCUCCCUCGUCAGUUGAAGUAAUCCAAUUCUCUUUUAAUUCCAAUGAGUGUUUUAUUUUAAUUGACUUCCUCAACCGUAUUUAUUUUUGUAUAUUUGUUGAAGCAGUACGCUGACCAGCGGUACUUUAAAUUUACUGAAAAUAAGAGCCUUCUCUAUUCUUUGUUCUUCAUGUUCUUGAUUUAAAAUAUGUAUAUUUGGGGUAAAAUAUACAUAUUUUUGGAAGUGGAGGGCUCAAGGGACCUAAAGAUUCUGCUUUUAUAUAUGGUAUGGAUUUUUUUUAGGAUUCUCUUAAUGUUUUUGGAGAGAAAACAAUAUCAAUGAUUCUAUGAAAUUUACAAAUUGAGUAAUGGUAUGUUGAAAAUUAUAAUUGUUGUAAGCAGAGACGUGUGAAGUGUGUACAACAAUAUGAACCUAGAAAAGGUUUCUUGUGAAUCAAAGCUUCAGGAGAUCUACCAUUAAAUUUUUGUUGUUGUUCCUUUAAUUGCAUAUAAUCCGAUAGAAAGAAAGAAAAAGUUGUUGAUGUUGAGCCGGAGUGCCUGUUUUGCCUACUUGAAUGAAUGGUCCUUGAACAGGCUGAGCUGCCAGUAUUUUAUGUUGAAUGAGAAUGGGAGUGUCAAAAUCCAACAAUUAAAGGCUGUUUGAAAGUGAACCCAAAUCCUGUUUGAAAAUUGGCAGUGUAUGAAAAGAUGGUCUUGAGUCUCAUGAUCAGAGCUGCAUAAACAGCAGCAAUUUGGGGAGAGACUGAUCCAGGGGUGCUUUAUUUGAAUUGUGUUCCUUGUGUGGUUUCAUUUUAGAAUUUUAGGCUGAUUUCCCAUAAAAAGAAUUUUAAGUGUCUUUUGAAAGAACCCCUUUCUGAAUCAGUUUGUAUUGUCUGGAUGAUUGCUUUCUGACAUAGUUGAUAGGCCACUGACUUUUUUCCCAAUUCCCAGUUGACGUACUUACAGGGUGUAAUGAUUUCUAUUAACUAUUAUUUAGCUUACCGACUGUUUUCAUGACGAGAAAUGAUUUGUUUCCCAGUGGGCACAGUAGGUGUCUAAUUGAGAGAGAGAGUGCUGAGUGUGUAAUUUUCUGCUAUUGAUAAGGGAGAUUGAGUUACUUGUUUCUGAAUAUGAGAAGUUUUGAGUUUAUGGCCUUAACGCUUGACUUCUUGCUUUUAAAAUCAAGAUUUUGAUAGAACACUGAUACAAUGUUUCUAUUUUAUUGAUACCUUCAACAGAAUUACAAUAUAAAAGAAGUAAAAUAAUAAGUGAAAAAAGAACCCUAAUCGUCUGCCCUUCCUCUCUUUCAAGGAAUAGAGAAAUUUUGCAGCCUUAUUUCUUCACCAAAUUCUUCAUACCCUUCUUCCCUCCCCAACUUCCUAUUUAUAACCAACCAACUACCAACAAAUCUAAUUACACUUUUACCCCUGUCCUAUACUAAUCUAGGUAUCUAACAGAUUUCCUCUAUCCAAAACUUCUACCUCCAUCCCUUAUUUCGCCUGAAGUCUGUUCAAUCAGCUGAACUUCAGAUUACAAAAAUUAGCCAAGGGCCACAAAGAAUUUGUAGAAUGGUGACAAAUCCAUUUAAAUUCCGGUUUGGUGCAGCCACCACCCACACCAAUCUUUUAUACUGUUCUUUGGAUCUGAAAGAGUAAUCUGAACCUCUUUCUGUCAUCUCUUGCCACUCUAUAUUCUGAAUCUAGGUAGCUUCUCUGGCUUUUGUGUAUUUCUUCACUUUGAAAUGUUCAUAGUAAAUAAUUAUUGUGAGGAAAUGAACGUGGCCAGACCUUAAUUAUUGAAAGCCAAGAAUUGUUUGACUAAAUACAACUAGCUCUUCAUUUAAAGGAGUUCAAUCAUUAAGAGGUAAAAAGGAAGACAUAGUUUCAAUAACUAACUAAGAGGUCAUGUAUUCAAUUCAUAGUAGCCGCCUAGGAAUUAAUUUCCUACAAGUUUUCUUUCACCAAAAUGUUGUUGGGUCAGACGAGUUGUCUCGUGAGAUUAGUCGAGUUGUGCGUAAGCUAGUCCAGACACUCACAGAUGUAAUGGAUGGAGUUCGACUCUUUGCUUUUGGGUGCUGUUAUUUUACUCAUAGCUAUGUUUCUGUCUUUCUUAUUGCAUUUGCAUCUGUAAAAAGUUUUCUUGUAGUGUGUGAUAUUCAAUCAUAAUUUAUUUGUGUUAUUUCUCUGAUCAUUUCUUUUAAUGGUUCUACUUAUGUUAUGGAAUUACUUUUUUUUAAUAAAAAAGACACAUAUUCUUACUCGAAAAGUUAUUGAUGUUUGUUGUUUUUUCUUUGACUAUUAACAGUUGGAACUUCUCUGCUUGGAGUUCUCCAUAAAAUGGCGUUGGUUGUGAUCUGUGGCCAGCCAUGCAGUGGGAAGUCCACUGCUGCACUCUGCUUAGCUGAAGCUCUCAAGGAAUCAAAUGUAAAAGAAGCCAUUAAGAUUAUCGAUGAAACUUCUCUUCAUUUGGAUCGGAAUCAGAGCUAUGCCAACAUGCCUGCUGAAAAAAAUCUAAGAGGAGUUCUCAGAUCUGAAGUUGAUAGAUCUGUAUCUAAAGAUAGCAUUGUCAUUGUAGACUCUUUGAACAGUAUAAAGGGUUAUCGAUAUGAACUGUGGUGUUUGGCUCGUGGAACAGGAAUCAGGUAUUGUGUGCUGUACUGCGACGUGGAAGAAACCAAUUGUAGGAAGUGGAAUGAAGAGCGUCGUGAGAAAGAAGAAGCGAGCUAUGAUGAUAAGAUAUUCGAAGAUCUUCUCAGAAGGUUUGAGAGGCCAAAUAGUAGAAAUAGAUGGGACUCACCAUUGUUUGAGUUAUUCCCACAUAAAGAUGGAAUCGAGAAAUCAUCUCAGGUUAUUCUAGAUGCUGUAUCAUACCUGACUAAAACAGUGGACUCAAAGUCUCGUGAUGUAAAAAUUUUACAGCCAACAAUUGCUACUCAGAGCUCUCGAUUUUCGGAGGCUAACUCUCUAUAUGAGUUGGACAAAGCGACGCAAGAGGUGGUUAAUGCUAUUGUAGAAGCCCAAUCUCUGGGAGGGCCUCUGAAUAGUAUCUCUCUGGGUCAGGAAUUACCAACCAUUGACAUUUCAAGGUCGGUUGGACUACCGGAGCUUCGAAGACUACGGAGAACUUUCAUCAAACUAACAGGGCAAACUAGUUUAAGCGGACGACCACCACCCUCUGAUGCCGAGAGUGCCAAGAGGAUGUUUGUUGACUACCUGAAUAGGGAACUGGGGACUUCUUGAAAGUUGAAACUAGAUUAACCUGAAUGAUAAGCUGUAUACUUGUAGCAUAUGAACUACCAAACUUUACAAAGCAAGAGGUAACAGAGAUAUCACUCUUCUUUCUGGCAACUUUGCCAUCAAUUAUUUAAGCUUUGUUGUUAUCGAUGUUUUUUCUCUUAGUAAUCAUAAUAUCUAUGUCCUCGCUGUUACAGAACUAUAGUCAUAUUCUGACAUGAGAUUUUCAGCUCAUACGGUUCCUUGAGGGUCGUAAAUAAAUCUAAGGAGCACAUCAGGAUUAUUUGUAGAUUAUGCUUUGGAAAAUUACGGUCCUUAUAUAUUCACACACACAUGAUAUAUACAUAUACAUAGUUAAUGAGUUAAUUCAAAGAGAAAAUGAGUGAAUCUUUGGUUUCUUCUUUAAAACGAGUUCCAAGAUUGUGUAAUUGUUCUAUUAAUGAGUUCAUACUUUGUUCAUGCUUUUGAUGUGAAUGAGUUUCUUUCUUUGAUAAUGCAUUUCAUGGGUCUUUUAAUGAGUUAAUUUUAUGGUUCGACUGCUGCUCAGACAACUCUACAAGAUAGGGUAUCUAUCGAGACACUGGAUAGGAUCGGGGAAGGGAGGUAUUAUAGAAGUGCAUUUAGAGUCAGAAGUACUUUCUUUAUAUGAGUAGGAAUAGGUACACUGAGAAUAGAGGAAGGGUAUCUAUCAAGGUCUUUCUUGAUUCCGGAAUUCUUAGAAUAAGAUCUCGAAUGAGACAAAGCAAUCACUCUUCCAGAGUAUCUUAGAUUAGGAGUCUUGCUUCCCGUAUCAUAAUAGGAGCUGCUUGACCAAUAGAGAAUAGAGCCGGAAGUCUCUCUUUUUGUUUCAUAGUCAGAAGUACUCUCUUUCUUGAGUUGCAACAAUAGGAAGAGCUCCUCUCAUUGUGCACAUUGAAUAAACCCUUCUCAGUUGUUUCAGAGUCAGACCUGGACAAGUUCUAGAGUAAGAAGAAGGGAGGGAGACAUGAUCGAUUGGAGGAGAAAGAGUUAGAGGUUAGAGAAGUUUCUCUUUCAUGAGUCACUGAACUAAAUAGGGUUCGAAUCCGAAUUGCAAAGAAACCUGUGGGGUAUGCUGCAAGACAAAUAUCUUAUUUCGGACUUCUUAUCAUAUCUAGCCUCUUAUCUUCUGCUGCUGCACGUCUUGGGUUGAGUCGAGCAACUUUUCCCUUCAUUAACUUCUUCCACGGAGAAUGACAUUGCACUUCUGUAAGAGUGAAAGAAUAGUGCGAGCUUCCCCCUGAUGUAGUCGAAAGAUCUAAUCCCACCGACCACCCUACAACGGGGGACCCGGACUAUGAAGAAAGAUCUCCUGCUUCCGCAACUUAUGAAAAGAGGUCAAGCUCUUGGCUCCUUUCCAUGAGAGAGAUCAGAUGUGCUCCGGUGGGGAAAGCUGAGUAGUUCAGUUGCCUUUGAUUGUGAGUUCAUUGGGAAUCUUUGAAAUCACCUCAAGGCUCAACCUAUAGAGGAGAGGAACUUGGUUAGUUUAUCUUUUCCAAUACUCAAAUAAAUAUUAGAUAAAUGUCUAUUUUUAUCUUGAAUUUCAAUUCUCAUCAAAUUAUUGAAGUUAAGUGCCUGGAAAAUAUUUUGUUUUUAUAAAAGAUUAUGUUUUACAAAUAUAUUUUAAAAAGUGAUUUUAAAAAAAUAAUAAUAAUAAAGAGCGCUUCAUAUACUCUUUAUAGAAAAAACCACUAAAAACCAAAUUUUAUCACAUUUAUUUUUCUAUGGAGUGUUUUAAGUUAUAAAAUAUUAAGUAUACAAAAUUGGUAAAUUUUCAAAUAAUGAAGACAUUAGGGAUUUUUCUUUUAAUUAAAAUUAUAUACUUUUUAAUUGGAAAAUUGUCAAAGAAAAAAUUGAACAAAAUACUUACCUUUCAUAAAAAAAAAUGAAUUAUUAUUCUUUUAGUGGUUUUUUCUUUAGAAAAAUGAUUUUUUUUUUAUUUUUUUUUGAAGUUUAUAGUUUGUUUUUCUUUUUAUUACUCUUGAAAGUAAACCUCUUUUUAAUUUGAAUAUUAGUCAAAGUUGAAUUUUUACAAAACUAUUGUUGAAAUUAUUGAAUUUAGUUUUACAUUACGUUUGGUCAGACUAUUGGAUAGAACUUAGAAGGUGGAAAUCGCAACAUUUAAUUUACCAAUUGAUGGAACAAUGAAAUUAAUUUAAACGAAUUGAUAUUCAUAUUAGAUUACGGUAUCUAUCUCUCACAAAUGUUAAAGAAAAAAAAAUAACAUAUAUACACACACAUUGUAAUUAUCAAGAUUUCAUACUGAAUCUGAUUAUUUUUCUCUCUCAAUAUUUAAAGAAUUAAAAUUUUUAAUUUAAAUUAGUUAAAAAAAAAAAAAUUCUCUUCUCCCAUUUAAGAAUAUCAAUGUCGAGAUUUCAAUUUUAAAGAUACAUUGAUGAUAGAAUAUUAAUACCAAAUUUAUUUAGAUUAAUAAGUAACUUAUUCUUACUCAAAAAUAAGAUUAAAAAAUACUGUUAUUAGUAGUCAUAUUCUUAAUCCAUGAUUAACAACAAUCCACGGAUUGUUCUAACCCUAUAAUGAGCAUUCAUGUCCAUCACAUUGCGAAUCAUAUUAAAUGGAGGCAAUGGGUUUUCUUGAGUCAGUCUCCUUGGAUGAUCAGAGAAAAUUAAUGGCAAUUUUUCACAAUUGAGCUCCAUUCAUUCAGUCUUUACAUCUUGCAAGUCUUCAGCCGUCAGUAAAGCAAAAAGGAAUAAUUAAUUUGAACAACGAUGAAUGAAUCUGUGAAUGUUUUGCUAAUCAAGCUACGCACGGACAAAACUUGAGGGAGGAAAACUCAAUUGAACGAAAAAAUCAAUCGCGUGAUGAAAGAAAAUAUGCUGCAUUCAACAUAGAAGAAUGUACUGAUAAUUAAAAGAUAACUAUUUAUUACCAAGUUGGUUUGUUGUUUAAUUACAUUACAUAACUAAUUUUCAUUAGUAGAGACGAAAUACUAACCAUGAACAUCUUCCAAAUAAGUUGAACCCAACUUACAAGUUAUGUUCUGGACUGCAAUCCACCUUUUUGUUUGUUGGUUCAAUCAAACAUGAUGUGAGGGGCUUACAACAAGUUUGAAUGUCUUCCUCCAUUCCCCACAUAGGUAUGACCUCUCCCUUUCUGUAAUCAGGCAGAAUCAGCAAAUCAGUUUAAUAAGAUCUUUUUUAGGUGGUUUAGCCAACGAGUAAAGUUGUAAAUUUUAGGAUAUUGUGAACUCAUUAGAGCUGAGUUCACAGGGUAAAGAGGUAAUAAAGCAUAAAAUUGAUGUUUUUUAGUUUGGGACCCACAAACUCUUAGAGUCAAUAAGGAGGUGAGUUCGCAAAUUCCUCCCCUUCCAACUCGUCCUCCUCAAACCCCUUGAGCCAAACACCUUCAUGACACUUCUAACUAUAGUGUUCAGAUAGAACAACAGAGACAACAUAGAAAGCUUAUCAAAGUAAAUAAUUUGCCUGAAAUAAGUUACUGUUUUGAGAGCAUUAACAAGUCAUUUAGCCAAAGCAGUAAUUGCUACGACCAUCCUAGAGGUGAGAGGUCAGAAUUCCCCAACAUCCAAUUUUUGUAAAAAGAAGAAACAAGCAGUUAGUUCUGAGUAUAGGAUCCUUACUGUGACAGAUAACAGUUAACAACCGCUGAUUUUUGCCACACGAAAGGUUCUAAUAACCAACCUUCACUUUUCCAACAACAUCCUAACAUUUCAACCAUUUUUGAGAUGUAUCUUCCUUUCCACCUAGUUACUGCUUGGCUGCUAAGUGAAGUCACUCUCGAACUUCUUUCCAGUUUCUAAAGUUAUUAAACAAUUAUACGUUUUAUAAUAGACAUGCAAGAGAAAAUAUCCAUUUUUUUUCCUCGUGUUGUUAAUUUCAGUAUCUCAAAAUGCCUAUCAUGUUCCUACUGGAAGCACAAUGACUGCAAUGAAUCCAGUCAAUUGACAGUGAUGGAUAUGGAAGCUGUCUUGUACAAUUUGAUGUGUACAAUUGCUAUACUCGAUAGAUCCAGUUAUGCAGUUACUAUAGUCGUUAGAUUCAGGCUCAGAAGCUACCAGUUCAAAGAUCCUAUCCGUAGAAGAUCCUCCAAAGACUGUUUUGAUCGAAGCUAAAGUAACGAUGCACAAGAGUAACCAGUUUAUAAUCGAUCUACGGCGAAAAUACACAAUGAACCAGGAGCUUUCCAUAUUCAAUUGUGAAACUCAGUUAUACAUGGAGUCGAUCAGCCUAAAUUCAUAAUCCAUGAUUAACAAUCCUCAUGUUCUUGUAUAUUUACUGCCUGUUAAUGACAGGGGUAGGAAUCAAUUGACUUCAGGUUGAAGGUGAUAAAGUUUUGAAGAACUGGGUUGAGGCAGAUUUGAUGUGUAGGGUUAGUUUUUUUUUCCUUUUUCCAUGUCAGCAACGCCAAAUUUUUUGUCCAAUUUUGUGCAGUCAUUCCUUGAGGUUCAUGGAUUCUCUCCUCAAAGGGGAAAUUGUUUAUUAUGAUUCUUUUUCUCUGUACAGACAGUACCUAAUGUACAAAUAUUGAAUAGGAAAAACAGGCACCAAAGCCAUAGUGGAUUUCUUUCCUUCUUCUUUGUGGCAGUGUUAUACAGUUGCAAUGUCAAACUCAAACUCACAUCGUCCAAGGACUUUUUGGGACUUGGCACUGCCUCUACCUCUAUUUUGGACCUGAAAAGUUCAACAUAAGAUUCUCCAGAAUGGAACUGAAUAUCCUUGACAGAUUUAGGGUGGUGUGUUUGUGAGUGAUUUUGAUAUGGUUAAUAUCAUUUUCUGUCAUGUUUAAAGGAUGCCUUUGUUGUGUCUAAAUCCACCAUAAAACAUUAUUAAAUCAAGUUAAUCAAAUGCGUUGAAAUUGAUUUUGAAUCAUUAAAAGUAGUUUCAAAUUGAUUUUAAAAAUGACAAAAGUGACUUUAACUAUUUGAAAACCACUCCCAAAGAUGCAAAAAAGAAAAAAAAAUCACCCUGAAAAAUAGUUUUAAAUUUAAUCAUUCAAAAGCAUUCUUAAAUUUUAUUUGUUAAGAAACACAACUAAAAAGUGUGAAACCAAAUAUUAAUUUGAUUUUGAAUAAUUAGACAUGUUUUGAAGAGAUUAUGAACAUGACAAAAGUGACUAACCAUUUUGGAAUCAUUUCUGAAGAUGCCUUUAGCAAUAUGUUACCAUUGAUGAAGAGUUAGGGUCAAGUUUGUUCUUUGCUUUGACAUUCAUAAAUUAGGGCAGGCAUUAAGAAUAAGAAAAACAUCCUUACCCACAAAUAAAUUUGCACUUUAUCAACUAAUGUUGCCUUUUCAAAUCAGCAAAACUUCUCAAGUUCAAGCAUCUGCUAGAGAAAUGUAAACAAUGAAACAAACAUAUAACAGAACAUCAGAAAAACGUAUUAAAUAACUAAUGAAACUAAAAUAGUACCUCCAACACAUUACCGAAGAAGUAGAUGGAAAUCACGCCUCAAACACUUAAUCCUUUCAACUUAACACAGUAGAUAAGUUUGCUCAUCAACGUCAUGAAGCAAUUCGUUAUCCAGUAACGCAUUUCAUUUAUCUACAACAUAUCACAGAAAUAGAUGGAAAUCACCUGAAUGCCUAAUCCUUUCAACUCAACAUAGUUGUUAAGUUUGCCCUCAACGGCAUCGUGAAUCGAAUCAUAAUCCAGUAAGGCUUUUGAUUUAUCUUCAACACAUCAAAGAAGAAGGAGACGGAAAUCACCUGAAACACCUAAUCCUUUCAACUCAACACAGUCAAUAAGUUUGCUCGAUAACGUCAUGAGGUGGUUCAUAAUCCAAUAAGGCAUUUCAUUUCAAAUCUGUUACUGCUCGAUUUCUCCUCCUAUCUCUAGUGGUCAUUUUCUCCCCAUAUCUCUGAAAAAUAUCAGCCAAAUCAACCAAUCCAACUUCUCUCAACUUAUUCCCCACCUCUCUAAACAUUACCACCCCCUCCUCAUUCGAAUAGUAAUGUAAAAAUUUGUUGUAAUCAAACCUUGGCACUUCAAGCCCUCUUUUCAUAAGUCUCUCCACAUACUUUGUAGCCUCCAAUGACUUCCCAUUCUUCACCAACCCUCCAACAAAAAUACUAUCAAAAUUCACAAGUGGAUCCGAUCCUUUCCUCCCCCUUUUCCCUAGAUGUCCUUGCAACAACAUUAUAUAUGUAUGCAUUAUAGGCUCACACCCUCUUUCUAUCAUUUCCCUGAAAACUUGAGUUGCUUCAUUUGCCCUUUUCAACUUCAAAAGUCCCUUGAUAAAUGCAUGAUACACAUCCAAAUCAGGAUUCUCAAUUCGUCUCAUUAUAUUAUAAGCUUCUCUCCUCCUCCCUCUUGCUAAAAGUCCAUAAAUAAGUGAAGAAUGUACCGAAUUAUCAACUUCAAGUCCUCUCUUAUGCAUUUCGUCAAACACAAUGAAUGCUUGUCCCACCUUACCUUUAUUACACAACCAUCUUAUCACAAGACUAUAAGUUGAAGGAAUCAAAUCAUUCAUCCUAUCUGAUCUAAGUGCCUGGAAAAGUUUCAAAGCUUCGUCCAAUUUAUUGGUCUUGAAAAGAACAUUCAUCAUCUCCUCCACAGCUUCCAUUUCAGGCUCAAACCCUUCAUCCACCAUUAAGUUCCACAUCUUUGAAGCCUCAAUCAAAUCCCCCACAUUGCAAAACCCCUUAAUCAACAACUUAUAAGUAACCCCAUCAGCUUUGAUCCAUUCAUUCAAUUUCAUAACCAAAAACUUAGCCUCAUCCACUAGUUUACAGCCACACAAUUUCUCAACUACUCUAUUCAAAGUUACUAAACUAUAACAAAACCCAUACCCAUUCAUCAAAUGGAAAAACUCUACACAUUUCUUCAACUCUCUGGCCGUCGCCAGAGUUCUCAGAGCAACAACAAAGGUUUUUAUCAUUAACCAACCGCCGCCGCCCCAUUUCUUGAAUCAAACCCCACAAGAGAUCGAUAUUUCGUGACUUCCCAACAACAUCAAUCAACUUGUUGAAAGAGACAGCCGUGUGAGUGAAAUUGGGGUGAGUUUCGGUGAAUUGGAAGAAUCGAUAAACGGGACGCCAUGAGAGAGGGAAAGUGUUGCAUACCUGGAGGAAGAAUUCGUGUGAGAGGUUGAAAUUACAGGCGAGAAGUUUGGUGUGAAGCUUGAGAUCGGGGGAGUUCUGUUGCUGAUACAAAACGGUACAAACACGGCGGAGAUGGGUCGAGUCGAUUGGCUGAGGAAUGUUGUCGGCAGCCGUGGAGGAGUCGGAAGUAAAGGGAGAAAAACGUUGAUGAAAGAUAAAGGAAAAUGAGAAAUUAUUGAUGAUGAUACGUCGAUAGGUAAUGGCUGCCAUUUUGUUUCGCCAUUAGAGAGGGAAAUGGAGAAAAACAUAGCAGCUCGAAUUUAUAGAGAAGGAGAGAAACCAAAUAUUGAAGGGGAAAAGUAUAAAAGUAUAAAAGUAUAAAUAAAAAAUGGAGAUGCAGGGGAUCGAACCCUGUACCUCUCGCAUGCAAAGCGAGCGCUCUACCAUUUGAGCUACAUCCCCAUGUUUUGAUAACCAAUUUAUAUCAUUUUUAAUUAUUAAAAUCUUAAAAUUUUUUGAUGGAAUAGUUUCCUAAAAUUUAUUAAAAAUAUAUAUAUAAUUAAUAAAGUAAAUUGAUUAUAUAUAAUUAUAUAUAAUUAUAUAUAAUUAUUAAAGUCAUGUGUAUUAGAGUACAAUUUAUUAUUCUUAUUAUUAUUUGGUUAUGUACUUGAAACGAACACUUGAAUAUGUGCUAAUGAUAGCAAACCUUAAUUGUGAUAUUAAAAACAAUGGUUUGAAAAGCAUAAUAGUAAUCUGUUAUAUGUUUUAAUAAUAACUAAAAAAACAAUAUAUAUAAAUUUAAAAAAUAUAUUUGAAAAAAAAAGAUAAUUAUAUAUACUAACAACUACCCGAGCCUAUUAUCCAAAUAUAGCCCGAGGAAGUCAUAGAAUAGCUGAAUUUUGAAAAUAGUGAAUUCAAAUCAUAUCUAACCUAUCGAAUAAAUGGAGGAAACCGAAUGUAUCCCAAAACUUGAGUGGAGCCAACCAUUAGAUUUGAAACACUGUGACACUCCAAAACUAGCAAGUUAUUUUAAUUUUUUUAGUUGUUAGUUUUUGGAAAUUGAAAUUCUAUUUUUUAGAAUUUAGUUUUGGAUUUAUUGGUUCGUGAAUUAAAUAUUUUUUUAUUUUGAUUCUAUCUUAAUUGCUUAUUUAUUUUUAUUAUUUAAAGCUUUUCUUCAAACUUUAAAUUAUUUUCUUAUAUAUUUAAAUAAAAAAAAUCUAUAAUUAUUUAAAUAAUAAUAACCUCAAAAGUUGGGUUGUUCAUUAUUGGUUAUUGAGCUAACACAAAGGUUAUUGACAAAAGUCAUAUUUUCAUUUACAUGAACGGUGAGUUAAAAAGCAUAUUAUCCGUCUAUGGAAUCCAAAGGAGAGCUUCUAAUUUCUAAAUCCCAAUUCCCACUCCUUCAAAAAUCACCAUAGUGAUAAUUUAAUACAAUAUGUAUCAUACAGAAUUAACAUUCUCAUUCCUCCAUUAUCCAACCAAACAAAAGAAGGAAUUAAAUACCAAAGCCUUUUUUUUCUCUCUCUCUCUUUCACAAUUUAUUAAAAUUUAUUUAUUCAAUGCAAGUUCAAAUCACAUUUCUUGAUAAGUACUUAAAAUUUGUGAACCAGACUUGUGUGCUAAGGCAAUUUCAACGGAGGUAUUUACUUGAGUUUGUCAAAUGAUGCAUCACCAAAAUUGCUUCCCAUUGGAAUGUUAUCUGGUGGAACAUGAAAACGGAGAUCACCAUCCAAACGCCAAUGUUUCCUGGUCAAUAAAUUUGUGGAUAAGUGAACAUUGAUGAAGCAUGCACUAAGAUUUAGUUAUUCAUUUACCAUUCAACAAAAAUUCCAAAUAUAACAAAAUUUAUAUUUUAACUUCCAAAGUUUGUCUAUUAGUAAGACUAUGUUGUAGAAGUCAAUCACCAAUAAAUUUUGGUGUAUUUAUAAAAAAAAAUUAAAUAUUGAUAUACACUUAACUAUAGACCUAAAAGUGUUGCCAUGGUUAAUUACCCUGUUUUUCAUGAGAAUUGUUAUUAUUUAACCAAUUUCAAAGAAGUAGAGGACCAAAAUAACUUAACGAAAUUCUAUUAAGAUGUCAAAAUUGCCCUACGGAAAGUAAACAGAUUUCCUUGAAAAUUUAAAGAAAGAAGCUAUUCUUGCUUCCGAUACGUACCACAAAAAGAAUUCUUCCUAAAUCUUGACUUUGAACUUAUUAGUCAACUUCCAAAAAUAAUGUUGAGAAAAAGAGGAGAGAUUACGUAUGUACCUGACCAUUAGAAGAUAAAUCUUGGAUUACAUUUCUAAAUCUUCCUCUCCAGAGGCUUUUCUUGAUUCAUUUUCUGCCACCUAAUGCAGGAAGUUUCCAAGCAACCUCUGAUCGAAAAUCAUGUUUGGAACCUAGAAGAAGAAGCAAAGCUACUGAGUUAGGUCCUAGGCAUCAAUGCAUGUGAUGUAUGACAGUAUAAGCAAGAAAACAGAACGUGCCUUGUCCCCGAAGAAAAUCUUUGUAUUAUCAGCAAUGGCCUCGAUAAAUUUUAGCUCAAGAAACUGGGGUGUAAGCUUCAACUUGUUAGCUUCAGCUUCUUUUAGUACACUGAGAAGAAGGAAGAUGAGAGAACAUUUAUGUCAUUAGGUAUUCGGUAUCGGUGCAACAGGCAUUCAUUCCUCACUUUGAAAGCAAAAUGAGAAAGUACCGGUAAUAAUUGGCAUCCGCGAGACUCUUUUCACGAGCAAGAUAGAUAUGGUUAUCAAUUUCUUGUUGUCUCCUGGAACUCUCCUUCUCCAUCAAUUUCUGUUCCAUGAGGAUCCUGCUAACAUUAGCAUUCUUCUCGGCUUCGCUAAUUGCCAUUUUUUUUUUGGUCUCUGCUUCUUUCUCUACUACCCUUUGGCUCUCUACGGCAAUUAGAACCUAUCCAAGUAUGCCAAGAUUCAUUAGAAUAAAUACAAGCAGAAAUAUGUAUUUUAUUGAAAUAAUAAUAAUAAUUAUAAUAAAAGUCUUGAAAGGAUGAACUUUAGGUUUCUAGCUGCAUAAAGCACUAAAUGGUGUAAAUUUGGACGAAAUUUGGUCCAAAACAUUAAGAAGUAGCAUGAAAAUAUGGGUUUCUAGGUUUCUAAAGCUCUAAGAAUCGUCUAAUGAACUUUGGUUCAAAACGUUAUUCAUAUGAAUAUUGUGGACCUAAAAUACACCUUCACAGGUAUUCAUGCUAAUUUUUUUAAUUAAAGAGGUAAACUCUAUUUUGAAUUAUUAUGACGUGUAAGACUAAAGAACCAACAAUACACUUAAUACAAGGCACAUACUUUCAGCACUAGCCUUUGUGAGCCUCUGAUUUAUACCUUGUUUGAAACUCAAACAAAACGAGAAUAAAGUUGGUUUCCCAUGUUAGAGAUGUACCUUUGUACGUUCCACUUCCAUGUCUUCAAAGUUCUUUCUGAUAGAAUUUGGGAUGGUAGGUUUGGUUACACGAACACUGACUAUUUCAAUACCAGGAGCAUAACGUGUACAGUCACCUUGGAGGGCAUCUUUCAUUGUUUCAUCGAUCUAAACAUGAAAACCAGUCACGGAUCAUUCAUACUAAAGAAACGCUUGAUGCCAAUCAAGAAAGAAUAUACGAGAAGUUUCAUGGAAACAUAAGCUUUUACAGCCUCAAUCAGAUUCCUUGAAAGAAUGGAAAGCUGAAGAAAAGAAAAAUAUCUGGCACAAAUGAAUACAAAUAAGGCAGUAAGUUGCCAAAAUACUCAAGGUGGACAAUUUCACUAGCUAGAGUUUACAAUUCGCACGGUGCUCUUAUCAGCUCUGCAAGCCGUUUGUGAAAAUAAAAAGAUGCAAGGCUUUAAAAGCACACACCUGAUCAAAGACAUCAAUAUAAACUUGUUGAAGACUGUGGGAGCUACAAAACUGAUUGAUCUCAUGAUGAAUUUUAUCAUAUAUCCAUAUGUUAUCAUAAUUCACACCAUAGUUGACCAGGGUGUCAUACACAUAUUCUUUGCGGAGGCGAUUGACAACCUGAAAGUAGCAUCCUUAUCAACUAAGAUGAAAAACAUGAAAAUCUAACAUCAAUAAUUGUGAAGGAAUUUCAUAGUAAUUGCACCUCUAUUUUCUCGAAGUUGAUCAUCACACCCCCUUAGUACCACAUGGAAUGUCCCUUACCUGGAUGUGGACAUCAAUUAGAACAUCUUCAAAAUAUUGAAAUCCUAGAAUCGACGUUAAAUUCUAACUUACUUGAUCGGUCUGGAGGGUCACUUGAACAGCCACAAACUGGGUUAUCAGUGGCAACUUCAGAUGGAAACCUGAAAUUUUUAACAUGAAAAAAAUAAAAGGACAUACGAUAUGCAUAACAACAAAAAAAGGUAGGAAGGAGAGACUUAAACCUGGAUCAGUUAUUGUCUUCAGAAGGGCACCUCCUCUCCAAUAUACCCCCACGUGACCCUCCGGUACUUGAUGUAAAAUAGAAAGAUUAUUUGACAAGUUUGAUUGAGAUGGAAAGAGCACCUACAUGUAUGUAAUACAGUUAUACAGCCAGUAGAAUCAACCAGAUAAGUUACAGUGAUUUUGUAAUUGUUCAUUGUACACACUUAGGCACAAAAAAUGGGAAUGCCAAAUAAACAUUUAUAAGGUGAUACAACUUCUUGACCACGUUUUGUGUAUGUUAAUCAGUAUUUGGACAACUAGUACGGAUCCAAUUGUCAAUUGUGCUUUCCCUCGGUUGAUUGUCCUAUGAAAACUAAUACUGAUCCAAAAUCUACUUUAUAUAUUAAACUUAGCAGACCUGCCAUGUGUGAAACGUAGAAUUUAUCAAGUUUACAUAAACCGUCCGCUGUUUGCUUCAAUUUGUUGAACCUUUUUUCUUAUACGACAAAAUUUGGCCAAAAUUUCUCAACUAUGUCAGACUCCACAUUUAAAAGCCAUGGCCGAACUAGCUACAAGAAGAUCAGAGAUUCAUAAGACUACUCUGUAAUAGAAACUAGAUAGAAACUUCUUUCUUCAUUUUUUAAUAGUACAUCAUUGGAUUUUGCGAAUCUCAUACUCAUACGCUUGAUGUUUCCAUCGAUGGCACUACUCCAUGUGUAUUUUAAUCAAUUGGGUAAUCUCUCUGUAACUCCCACAUACGGCACUGGAUAUGACUUAAAAACAAGUAAACAAACAAGUAUGCAAUCAAACAGUAGUACUGAUGAACUUAUUGUAAAUCGAAGAAACGCAUUCUUUAAUACAUCAAACCAACAAACUAACUACCAAAACAAACAACGUAAAAAUCGAACGUAUUAGCAUUCUAACUCCAUUUCACAACGGAGAAAAACAUAGACGAAGAAUCAACGCAUCUAGUUGAGACAAAAUACUUUGACCUCAGAUAGAAUAGAAACAAGACGGUGUAUCAAAAAUCAAUUGUCGGAAUCUAUGGCGUAAGAAAAUCAAAAUGAAAUUUCAGAAACAAAAACACGAAACCUAGCGUGUUUUGCAGUUGGAUAAGGAAUGAAUAAGAUAUACCAUGGAAAAGAUGGCCAGGAAGGAGGCGAAAACUAGGAGUAUGGAUGAGGAACUCCCGGCGGAUUCUGGAGGACGAGGCUGCGGAGAUGGCGGUUGCAGCGGCUGAUUACGAUCCAUGGCGCGGUCUCGGUGUAGAGAAGACUGAAUCAAAUUAGUGGAGUUUUGUGUAGACUCUGAUUGGCGGAUUGAAUUUAUACUGUUUUGCUAACGGAAGGUAAAAAGAAAACUGCUGCAAGAAAGGAAUUUCUUACCUCCUAACCUUUCACGUUGGGCUGAAAAUAAAAUUAAUGGAGAAAUGUCUUUCUAUUUCUUGUAUUUUUAGAUUUUUUUUAACAUCACUUUUACGUUAAAGGUUGAUUUAGUUCCUAAAAUGGACACUUACUCAUCAAUCAAUAGACUUUAUCAGCAAUAAUGGUAUGAUUUAGUUCCUAGAGUUUACAAUAGGUAUUGAUAUGAUUUUGUUUGUGUGGGUGUUAAUUUUAGGAGAGAUAGAUAUGAUGAGAAUUUUUCAAAAACAAAUUUUGAUGAUUGGAGGGACCAUACCCUUCUCAAAAGGGCUUUCCACGUGAAAUAAUUGUAAAGUUGAGUGAAGUUUGAAUAGUAACAAACAAAAAGAUAGAAACGAAGGAGUAGUUUGUAACUUCCACGUGAAAAAUAAAACAGCCUCUCCAUUUGGAUUUGGAUAGAGAGAGGAAGAAAAAUUGCAUUUGCCCGCGCUUCCAUUAGCAAAGAUGCUGUCUCCAACAAUGGCUUCGACUUGGGGCUCGGCUCCAUUGCACAUUCAAUGGAAGAAACCGAAGCGUCCGGGUGUUAUCCUUAACGAGUUACCUUCAUUUCUUCCCAAAGAAGUCUACAACAUCAAAGACCAAUCUGCUCGAAACCUCGCUUCAAGGAUUCAGAGGCUACCCGUAAGUUCACACCUGGAAAAUCUCGUACCAUUUCGUCGUUUGCUAGUUGUUUUAACAAUCAUUUAAUGAUUAUUUCACAUGGGUUGGGGAAAACUGUAAUAGAAACUCUCAAUUCGAGGAAGUUCAAGCUAUGUUUUUUGUGGAAUUCUACCUGUUAAUGUGACUUUUGAAUCGAAGGGGUUUUAAGCUAAGAAUUGUUCUUGCUCUGCAUGUAGGUCAGCUUCUCGGAUUUUUGUAUUAUGAGUAGUUGCGUUAAGCCGUCAAUACAGAACAAAGACUGUCCUGUGGUUCUUCUCCAUGGCUUUGACAGGUUUCUUUCACUAGUUAGAAAUAAUAUUCGUGUAAAAUAAAUACAACGCUGUUUGUUGGUUCUGUUAUUAUUGUUAUUAGUUUAUCUUUUCCUCGUUCAUCACAUCUUAUUGUUCAGCUCCUGUUUAGAAUGGAGAUACACAUAUCCAUUGCUUGAGGAAGCUGGUUUAGAAACUUGGGCUGUCGACAUUCUUGGCUGGGGCUUCUCUGAUUUAGGUUUGUCUAAUUGCUUUGUGUUCCUCUAUUCAUUGAUCGAUAAACCAUUUUUUCUCUCUAAUUUUCGUAGUUGCAUGUGAUAGAAAGACUCCCACCAUGUGAUGUGACUUCUAAACGUGUUCAUUUGUAUCAGGUAAUGAAAACCCUCCUGUUUAGAUUGUUUUCCUGUAUGUAUUUGGGGCAAAUUUCUCUUCAAUUCCAAUUCUGUUUCCUUCCUGUAUGAUCUUAAUAUGCUGACACUUGCUUCAUUGUUAUAACUUAUAGGCUUGUUUUAUUUUUUCAUCAUUGCUAUAAGCUUUUGCAUUAAUCAUUAUUUUCCUGUUCUCUUUAAGUUUUUUUUUUUUUUUCCUGAAUAAUUCUUUAUUAUCAGUCACACUUAUAUCUUGUCCAGUUAUGUUGAAACUAAUUAAGUUUUCCCUUAUGCUGACUAUAGCUUUGGAAAUCUUAUAUUAAAAAGCCAAUGGUAAUUGUUGGACCAAGCCUUGGUGCUGCUGUUGCUAUUGAUUUUGCUGUCAAUUAUCCAGAAGCUGUAUGUAUCUACCAGCUGGAAUUUAUGACUACAAAUUUGAAGUUAUAUCCUCAUGUAAAGUCAUUCCAGAGAGUCUUCCGUCCAAUAUAACGAGAUUAUUUCAGGUCGAUAGGCUUGUGUUGAUUGAUGCAAGUGUAUAUGCAGAAGGUACAGGAAACUUAGCUACCUUACCAAGAUCGAUUGCCUAUGCUGGGGUGAGACUUUGCUUACUUCUGUGAACAUUACAUCAAGUGUGCCAAUGCUAAGCACAUUUGAUGAGAGAUUGAUUUUAUGCAAUUACAAUUUACAAAACCACAAAAUUUACUUCAUCUGUACAUCCUUUCCCAUCCAUUUUACCAUACCAUUAUUGCAUCACCACAUGCUUUCAUGAUAAUUCUUCUGCUAAAAUCUUCUGGGAGAGAAUCGUUCUACUAAUUUUUUAUCUACAAAUUUGAUUUUUUGCAAAGAAAUUGACAGUUUCUAGGGGGGAAGAUUUUUACACUUGUUUCUUUUCUGAAAAAUCGUCUUGGAGACACUUCUUAUGUUUGCUGAUUUCUAUGUAAGUCAUAAGUUUUUUAAACUUUUUUAUCAGGUAUUUUUAUUGAAGAGCAUUCCUUUGCGCGUAUAUGUGAAUGUUUUGACCUUCACUGGUAUACCAUUUAGUACCAGCCUGGAUUGGGCCAAUGUAAGUUUUCCCCGACAUUAAGGUGCAUGUUUAUCAUGUAGUUGUUGACUUGAUGUGUAUUUUGUGAUAUUGGAAGUUUUGCUUGACAUGAAGAUAAAAUGUCAUGUCCAUAACCAAUUGACUUACAUCCUGCUUCGACUGUUCUCCUUCUACUCUACUUAUAUUUUAUUAGAUUGGCCGCCUGCAUUGUUUAUUACCUUGGUGGGAGGAUGCGACUGUUAGUUUUAUGUUAAGUGGGGGAUAUAAAGUCAGCAGCCAGAUUGAAAAGGUUAGCACAACUCUUUUGCAAUAUGGUUGUUGGAAAAUGCAAAAUGUAUCUUGUUUUUUGAAUUAGAAAAUUGCAAAUAUAUUGGUGAUCAUAAGGAAAAGUUUCCAUUCCUCGUCAAGUUAUGUAGGCGUUUUCAUCAAGGGUUGUUGGAAUGUUUUUUUGUUCUAAGGUCAUUUUCAUAUUGUUCAUUCGACAAUUAUCAUAUCGACAUUUGAGAAUCAUUAGGUACUUCUGAGAGUUACGUGCAUUUUGGUUCAACAGGUGAAGCAGAAAACGCUUAUUAUAUGGGGUGAGGAUGAUCAAAUCAUCAGCUACAAGCUUGGAGUGGUUAGUGUUGUAAUUUAGAAUUCAGAAACGUAUAUGUCUUAUUCUCAUUGAGUCAAAGCAAUGUUACAUAUUUAUAUAGAGAAUAAACUAAACCCUAGAGACUAAGUAAAAUUACAAUAAAGGACAUAUGUAUAUAUAUAUAUAUAUCAUAACACUCCCCCUCAAGCUGGAGCAAAUAUGUCGAUCAUGCCCAGCUUGUUGCACAGAUAGCUUAUCCUUGUUCCAUUUAAAGCUUUAGUUAGAAUAUCUCCCAAUUGUUCUCCGGUCUUCACAUAUCCUGUGGACACCAACCCAUCUUGGAUUUUCUCACGAAUGAAGUGACAAUCCACCUCAAUAUGUUUAGUUCUUUCAUGAAAUACUGGAUUAGAUGCAAUAUGAAGUGCAGCUUGAUUAUCACACCAUAAUUUAGCUGGCACGGUAAUACUGAAGCCUAUCUCAGAUAAUAGUUGGUGAAUCCAUACUAUUUCACACACAGAUUGUGCCAUAGCUCUAUAUUCUGACUCAGCACUCGAACGAGAAACAACAUUUUGUUUCUUACUCUUCCAUGAAACUAAGUUUCCACCUACAAAAACACAAUAUCCAGAAGUCGAUCUCCUAUCCUCACGAGACCCCGCCCAAUCAGCAUCAGAAAAACAUUCAACUCUCGUAUGUCCAUGAUCUUUGUAUAGGAUCCCACGUCCAGGAGCAGCUUUUAGAUAACACAAAAUCUGCUCUACUGCAGCCCAAUGAUCCACUGUAGGGGAAGACAUGAAUUGACUUACAACACUUACAGAAUAUGCAAUGUCUGGUCGAGUCACUGUUAAGUAGUUCAACUUCCCAACUAAUCUCCUAUAUCUCUCAGGAUCUUUACAUAAUUCUCCUUCUUUAACAAGUUGCUGAUUUGGCAUCAUUGGAGUGCCACUUGGUUUGGCGCCUAAUUUUCCUGUUUCAGACAACAAAUCAAGUACAUAUUUUCGUUGAGACAAAUAAAUACCUUUCUUGCUUCUCAUCACUUCAAUGCCCAAAAAAUAUUUCAAUUGGCCCAAAUCUUUUGUAUAAAACUGACCCUGAAGGAAAGUUUUGAGAGACGAAAUACCCAAUACAUCAUUUCCAGUAAUAACAAUAUCAUCAACAUAUACAACUAGUAGAACUAUACCCUUCUCAGAUCGGCGAUAGAAAACUGAAUGAUCAGAUGUACUCUUCUUCAUACCAAAGCAUACAAGGGCUUGACUAAACUUACCAAACCACGCACGAGGACUCUGUUUCAAACCAUACAGAGAUUUUCGAAGGCGACAUACUUUAUCACUCUCCCCCUGAGCAACAAACCCUGGUGGUUGUUCCAUAUAAACUUCCUCUUGAAGAUCACCGUGAAGAAAAGCAUUCUUAAUGUCAAGUUGAUGCAACGACCAUUUAUUGGUAGCAGCCAUGGAAAGAAAUAGGCGAAUGGAAGUUAACUUGGCAACCGGAGAGAAUGUAUCUGAAUAAUCAGUGCCAUAGAUUUGAGCAUAACCUUUGGCAACAAGGCGAGCCUUUAAACGAGCCACUGUUCCAUCAGGAUUCAUCUUGACAGCAAACACCCAUUUACAACCAAUGGCCUUCUUUCCUGCAGGACGAGAUACCAAAUCCCAAGUACCAUUAUCAUCUAAAGCAGUCAUCUCCUCAAUCAUUGCAUUUUGCCAGCCAGGAUGAGACAAAGCUUCAUGAACAGAGUUAGGAAUAGAUGUGGACUCAAGAGACGUAAUAAACGCAUAUGUGGAGGGAGAUAACUGGUGAUAGGAAAUAAAGGAAGAAACGGGGUAAGUACACUUGCGUUUACCUUUGCGAAGAGCAAUGGGAAGAUCAUCACUUGGCGCUGGAUCACAUGAUGAAGGAAGCAUUGAUGGAGGACAUGAGUCUGAAGGUUGUGGUGGAGGUCGUCGGGAGUAGACUUGAGAAAUCAACGGGCGGGAAGGAGACACAUCAGUAGACAAGGAUGGUGUGGGAGAGGUAACCUCAUAUAUAAAAAGAUUGUCAUCCUCCCCCUGACACAAACUCGAUGGUGAUGAAGUAAAGGGUGUAUCUUCAAAAAAGACAACAUCAGGCGAAACCAGAUACCUUUUAAGGGUAGGACAAUAACAACGAUAACCCUUUUGAACACGUGAAUAACCCAAGAAGAUACACUUCAAGGAUUUGGGAUCUAACUUAGUAUGAUGAGGACGAACGUCACGAACAAAACAGACACAACCAAAUAUCUUAGGAGCAAUAGGAAACAAAUGCUUGGUAGGAAAAAGAACACGAUAGGGAAUCUCACCAUUAAGAACAGAGGAAGGCAUUCUAUUAAUCAAAAAACAAGCUGUAGAGACAGCAUCAACCCAAAAGAUUUUUGAAACAUGCAUUUGAAACGAUAAAGCACGGGCAGUUUCAAGUAAAUGCCUAUUUUUCCGCUCUGCAACACCAUUUUGAGAUGGAGUGUCAGCACAGGAAGAUUGAUGAAUAAUGCCAUUUUCACACAAGUAAGAGCCAAGAGAAUGAGAAAAAUAUUCACCCGCAUUAUCAGUACGCAAAGUUUUGAUAGAGACAUUAAAUUGGUUUUUUAUUUCAGUAUGAAAGGCACAAAAAUGAGAUAAUAACUCAGAACGAUUUUUCAUUAAAUAUAACCAAGUUAGACGAGAAUGAUCGUCAACAAAAGUAACAAAAUAACGAAAGCCUGUUUGAGAUACAACUGGACACGGACCCCAAAUAUCAGAAUGAACUAACUCAAAUGGAGCAAUUGCUCGUUUAUCGACUCGAGGACUCGAACUAAGACGAUGAAAUUUCGCAAAUUGACACGAAUCACAAUUUAAAGAGGACAAAGACCUAAAUUCUGGAUAAAGUUUCUUCAACACAAACAAAGAUGGAUGACCUAAACGACAAUGGACUUCAAAAGGAGAGGGAACGACAGGACACGCCACAGCUUGCGAUACUUGAUGAUCAAAGAGAUAAAGGCCUCCUGACUCAUAUCCUCUACCAAUAAUCUUCUUCGUCACACGAUCCUGAAACAAGCAAUAACCAGAAAAGAACAUGACAACACAAUUUAGGUCAUGAGUAAGUUGACUAGUAGAAAUUAAAUUAAAGGAUAAGUUAGGCAAAUGUAACACAGAAGAGAGAGAAAAGGAUGGGGUAAGGUGAAUAGUGCCAGAGCCAAGAACAGAAGAUGUGGAGCCAUCGGCCAAUGUAACAGAUGGGAAAGGGGCAGGGGACAACGGUCUAGAAAAUAGGUGAGAAUUACCUGUCAUAUGAGCUGUGGCACCAGAGUCUAUGACCCAUUUGGUAGAUGAUGUAAGAAGACACUUUAUAUUACCUGGGGCAACAGUGGAUGCAAUCGGAGUAGAGGAAGAUGACGCUUGUAAUGACUCUUGGUAAUUCUGAAACUUAGCAAACUCAUCUGCAGAAAUAGUAACUGACGCCUCUGGUAUAUCGCAUGUGGAGGCUAUCUGAGCAUGUUGAGAUCGUUGACUAUUCUUAUAUAGCAAUUUCCGACAAUCACGUUUCAUAUGGCCUGGCUUACGACAGUAGUUACAAACAAUCUCUACAGACUCUGGUUUUCGAUGAUCAGUACUAUUCCUCUGAGGUGCCCGAGGGUUAUUGUUCUUGCUAAAGAGAGCACUACUGGGUUGAGGAAUAGACACACUAGUCGGAGAGCUUUCAAUGCGAAGGACUCGAGUGAAGGCAUCAUCUAAUGAUGGAAUCUUGGAGUCAGAGAGAAUCUGUGUCUUUGCCAUUCCAAAUUCAGGUAAGAGUCCAUUCAGAAAAAUCAUAACAGCCAUCUUCUCUCGUUGAACUUGUUGAACUUUAACAUCAGGACUAAAAGGUAACAACAAGCCAAGCUCGGCAAUGAUCUUCUUAAGCCGCAUAAAGUAGCUGGUGACAGACUCAGCUUUCUGUUCCGCACGAAAAAAUUGCAUACAAACUUCAAACAUUCUAUGCACUUGCUCUUUACCUGAGUAUAGAAAAUCCAAAAAUUCCAAAAGUUCUUUAACAGACUCACAGUGAUCAACCAAUCCAAUUAUCUCACUCUCAAUUGAAUUCUUGAUCUGAAGAUAUAAACGGGCAUCAUCACGAAGCCAAUCCUUCUUCUGCUUUGCAUCUUUUGGGGGAUCUUCAGUCAUAUGAUCAUCCAUAUCAGUACUUCUCAAAUAAAAUAAAAUUGUCCGACGCCAAUCGUAAUAAUUGGAUCCAUUUAACUUAUGUUCUGUGAUCUUAGAGGCCAAGGGAAUAACGUUGGAGACUACCAAAUUUUUUAUGUCGGCCAUAUUGAAGUCACACGUUGAUUGUAGUCCACUCGAACAAAGAGAAAAUCAAUCCAAACAGCUGCAAAAUUGGAAAAAGAGACAAAACCAAUCGUGUAACCUUCGGUUUUCGUCAAACCCGAAUGUUAUUUGAUAGACCCAAUGGUACAGACUGGCAGGAAACAAUGGUUCGAGACAAGCCCAGAAGACAGAAGACAAAUCGGACUUCUCACGCGCUCUCACGCGCCGGCGCGUGGGUGAAGGUGACGAUGAUUCCGGCGGCGCGUGAAGGUCACGCGCGGUGUUUUCCGGCGAUCGGCGAAGACAGACUUGGGCGGACGGAGGUGGUGCUUCUUAUGGUAUGGGCGGUGUCGACAAAUGGUCACCGGAAGGUAACCCAAACUCCAAACCUAAUGGAGGUUGACAAAUGGUCACCGGAAGGUAACCCAAACUCCAAACCUAAUGGAGAGCUCUGAUACCAUGUAAUUUAGAAUUCAGAAACGUAUAUGUCUUAUUCUCAUUGAGUCAAAGCAAUGUUACAUAUUUAUAUAGAGAAUAAACUAAACCCUAGAGACUAAGUAAAAUUACAAUAAAGGACAUAUGUAUAUAUAUAUAUAUAUAUCAUAACAAGUGUUAUUGUAAUUCUGAAAAAUGAGACUUGGAUAGAAAUUGAAUUGGGUUGACAGAACAGACUGACAAACCCCUUGAAACUAAGUAAUUGAAACAAAAUAGAGAUUGAAUGUGAAAUACUUUGUUGUCUUUUGUCUUUUGAAUUGAAACAUAUAUAAUAAUAUUGUUACAAAUAGAAUAACUUCUCAUUAGUUGAAAUAUGCAAUGCAGAGGUUGCACUGUGAGUUGCCAAAUGCAGUUAUUCGUCCAAUAGCCGAAUGCGGGCACCUUCCUCAUGUUGAGAAGCCAAAUCUUGUUGCCAAAUUGAUUACACAAUUUGUUCAUGAAGAUUCCAGAAAAGAGGUUCAGUUUGUUAACAGUGAAUAAUUCUUCUUUGCACAUGCUUACAUUUUCUUCAUUUUAUUAACGAAUUUGCUUCACCCUGCUCAUGGAUUUUCAACCCUGACGUGUGUUCUUCUGAGGGCUGGAAGGUGCUCUACAUGUUUGAAAUCCAAUAAAAUAUGACGUCGUCAAUAUAAACCCAAACAAAAAAUCUGCUCUUGCUUGUUUCCUUUUCCUUAUGAUGGUGGAAAUAAACCCCUCCCUCGAAAUCAAGACAAGUAAUCCUAAGUUGAUGGAUACAUAUAUCUUCGAUCAAGAAGUUCUAUCCGUCUAUGUUAUUAGGUAAAUAAUAUUCUGUCCAUUAGAAUGGUGCACUGUAUUGGGGAAAGGAACCAGAUGAUCUCAUUUUGAUUCUCGGAUUGUUGUGGUCUUGGUGGGGCCUUGGUCUUUCGAAAUUGAUGUUCCUUCUUCAUUGGAUCUUUUAUCCUAAGUUUAUGGUAAAGUUUUAUGGACCAAUUUUGAAUUAUGGGAUUUUUUUCACUUUUUUUUAGAAAAUAAGGGUCCGUUUGGUAACGUUCCAGUUUAUGUUCACUUUUUAAGAAAUAGAAGUGUUUGGUAACGUUUUCUGUUUCUUGUUCUAAAAAAAAUAUAAACGUUUAUCAUUUUAUAAAGAAUUAUUGGGAACAAAAAAAGUAGUGUCACCCGUUUCCGUUUUUCAAUUAUUUCUAUUGGUUUUUUUUUCUCAAUUAUUUCUAUUGGUUUUCUUUUCUUUUUUUCAAUUCUUUUUAUUGAUUUUCUUUUCUUUUUUCUCAGGUUUCAUUUUCCUUUCCAAUUUUUUUUCUAUUUCAUUUCCAUUUUCCAUUUUUCUUUUGUGAUUUCUUUUUUCUUACUCUUAUUUUCAUCUUCUUUCCCAAAUAACCACUUGCCUUUUUCUUCAUUUUAUUUCCAUUGUCUUUUUCAAAUAAUCAUCAUCUUCCUCUUCCUCUCAUUGCCUUUGAUGUCUUCCUCUUCCUCUCAUCAUCUUCCUCUACACGACGCAUUCUUCUUCGUUGGAUUUGGGUUUUUCUCUUCCUCUUUGGGUGAAUUGUGUUUUCGUCGAAUUUGUGGGUUUUUGUCAGAUAUGUGUCUUAAUUGUGAGUUUUUGUCUUCCUCUUUGUCUUGGGUUUUAGUCCUCUUCAUCGUGAGUUUUCGUCUUCCUCUCGUCGACUAUGUUCUUCAUAUCUCAAUCUUCAUCUCAUUCACCAUAAGAUUACAAGAAGACCUUCUCUAAGUUUGAUAAUCUUAUGUUUUAUGUUUAAUGGAUGACAUAUAUUAAUCACACACAUUUUCUAUUUCUAUUUCUUUUUUAAGGAAACCUAAACCUUAAACAGUUAUCAAACACAUUCAUGUUUCUUAUUCUUAAAAAAGAAGGAACAGGGAACAAGAACGUUACCAAAUGGGCUCUAAAAUAUUUCACAUUUUAGCUUCGAUGUUUAGAUUGAUAAAGAUGGUAGUUAAUUGGUAUUAGAUAGUUCAAUAUCAUUAUUAACUUCUUAAAAAUAAAUGGACCAAUUGGUUAACUUGAAAGAAUAACAUACCUAUACCUCUUCUAAUAAAGUUGGAGAUUUGGAUGGCUGUAGAGGACUAAGUUUGUCAAUGAAUUCUAUUAUAAGUUUGUGUUAAAUAAUUUUAAGUAUAAUCGAGUUCAUUCAUAAAGUUAUACAUUUAUUAAGAAAUACAUCUCUCUCCAUUAUUUUUUUUUUCUUUAUAGAACCCUAAACAUACCAACUCAAUCAUAGCAUAAUAGCAUUGACCAAAAGUCAUAGGGAAAAAAAAAUAGUGAUUAGACUACACCUAAUCUCAAUAUUCUUUUAUCCAAAGUAAAAAUGUAAGUAAAAAAGUUUUUACUUUUUCUAUAACGAAAGGUGAUGGUCGGCAAAUUGUUGAGAUGGAAACCUUACUAACCACACACAAUUAUAUAAUAUAUUAAAAAUGAUAAAUAUUACUAACACACAAUUAUGUAAUAUAUUAAAAAUGAAUGAUUUAUUCCUUUGUAAAUGAUAAAAUUAUUAAAAAAAUAUUUAUAAAAUAUAGGAAAGUUUCAUAUUUUAUAAAUGAUAAAAAUAAACUUUUAUCACUGUUAAUAUCAUAUUGAUGAUAUUGCUGAUGUUUGUUCUAGUUUAUUGUAAAUAGAAUGUUAAAUUUGCAUUCCAACCAAAAAUUAAGUCAAAUGUGUUUUAUUUUUCUCCAAUGACUAUUUUCUUUCUUUAGUUAAAUAGAUUAGUGAAAUUGCUUUUUUUCCAUCUUGUCAGAUUGAAUUAAUUAAGAUUCCAAAAACAUUUUUCAAAAUUAAAGUUUCACUGGCCAAUAUGAGUUUAUAAAAAAUUGUUGUCAUACAACAUUUACUCAUUAAAUUCUGGGCAUGAGUCUAUAUAGCAAUCAAACAAAUAGUUGGUAGGUAGUUCAUUAGUCUAUUCACCACACCAAAUGUCAAGUGUUGUUUGGAUGAGUUUAAAAAACUCAAAAUUCUUUUAAAGAUUUAUAUACAUAACCUCAUUAUUAAAGUUGGGUAUCAUGUGUUUUCAUUCCAUUUCUUGUCCCACCCAUGUUGUCAUCCAUUCACCUCAUAAAUAUGGACCUUAUAUAAAUCUUAAAACUAUAUUUACCAUAAUCAAAUUCCCAUAAACUACUUACUUAGAGCAUAUUGAGUAACACAACUCAUACGACUUUAUUAUUAAAUGAAGAAAUUAAUAAUGAACAAAAGAGCAGAAUAAUUGAUUAGUGGGUACAAAGUCCCAUUAAAUUAAGGAAAAUACAGCCUCUAUUAGAUACACAAAAGUGAAAAAUAUCUAAGAGGAUCAGGUUCCAUUCUAG